Molecule: long non-coding RNA, 146224 nt
Filed under: Capsicum annuum
Lineage: Eukaryota; Viridiplantae; Streptophyta; Magnoliopsida; Solanales; Solanaceae
Description: long non-coding RNA (CANN_LNC012075)
Source: RNAcentral
GUAAGUAACAUGUCUUUUCUCUUCUUAUCUAUUACUCUAGUAAUUGACCGCAGAGACAGGCUGCAAGGUAACGCUGUGUGAAAUAGACCCCUGUGGUCCGACCUUUUCACGGACCCCACACAUAGUAGGAGCUGUGGUACACCGACUUGUCCUUUUAACUAGCACUGCGGUAGUUAAUAAAACAUGUCCAACUGAUAAAGUAUUUCUUUCUGCUAUUUACAGUUGUCUUCUCAAGGAGCAGGACACGAUGAAAUCGACUUCGAGUUUCUUGGAAAUUCAUCAGGACAACCUUACACGGUUCACACCAACGUUUACUCCCAGGGUAAAGGCAACAAAGAACAACAAUUUCGUCUAUGGUUCGAUCCCACCUCGUCGUUCCACACCUACUCUAUUGUCUGGAACUCUCAAAGAAUCAUGUACGUUACAAUCUAAGCUUCCUUCAAUCUAAAAAGAAAAAGUUAGCACCUCGUGUUGGAUCCUUCAAUCAAAAUGCAUAUUGCAUUUUUGGAGAAUCCAACAUGAGCGUGGCAGCACUUAUGGAGAGUUGAGCAAAAUUGCUUCUUAAUAUGCAUGUUUAACAUAAUUGACAUUUGUCUAAUUGUCCAGAUUUUUGGUGGAUAACAUACCAAUAAGAGUGUACAACAACGACGAAGCAAUUGGUGUUCCGUUCCCAAAGAAUCAAGCAAUGAGAGUUUACGCGAGUCUAUGGAAUGCUGAUGACUGGGCAACCCAAGGAGGGCGGGUGAAGACGGAUUGGUCAAUGGCUCCGUUUACAGCUUCUUACAGGAAUUUCAAUACAAAUGCUUGUGUCUGGUCAGCUGCAUCAUCUACUUCAUCUUGUGGAGGCUCUAAGACUGACUCAGUGAACAAUGCUCAGACAUGGCAAACUCAAGAACUGAACGCUAAUGAAAGAAAUAGGCUUCGAUGGGUUCAGCAGCGAUGUGUUCAGCAGAAAUACAUGAUCUACAAUUACUGCGCCGAUGCUAAAAGGUUCUCUCAAGGUUUUUCUCCUGAAUGCAAGCGUUCAAGGUUCUAAGGAUUGAGUUUACUAAUGUUGUCUAUAUAAUUCUCUUUUUUUCAUUUCUAUUCUUUAUUUUUGUUCUGGGAUACUAGGAGAAAAAGAACAUAGUGUAAUAUUUUGUGUAAGCAAUGUAUUCUUUAUUCUUUUUGUAAUCUUGAAAUAGAAUGAAUUGUUUUUUUCUUGUCAAGCCUGCCCAUCUUUGUGAACCAUCAUUGUCUUUUAGUAAUCUCUUAGAACACACACAAAGGUAACUGAAGGAAGGGACUAUUAUAUUAUGGGCUAGCAAGUAGCAACUGAAGGAAUUUUUUAUCGAGAAGUUGAUAUCGGAUGGGGCAAUGAACAAGGUAAAAUACAGGAUUGAUGUCAACUUCUCACCCUCUCACUAGACAGAUAUUCAAGAUCAGAUAUCCAGUUGAAAGAGGAGCAUCUAUUUGGUAGCUUUGACACCGUCACCAUUCACCUGUUUAUACUACAAUUCUGUUGUUUCAAUGCUAUCCCGCCUUAUAUCUGUUAUUAUUUCACUAACAAGUUGGUUCAAUGGUAAUGUAGUUACCUUCUCAAGGAAUAGCAAACAAUGAGGUUGAUUUUAAGGUCUUAGGCAGUCUCAGGGCAACCAUAUGCAGCUUAUGUCCAAGGAAAAAGGCAACAAGGAACAACUUGUUACGCUAGUCCCGGACAAGUACUCUGGAAAUAGAAACUUGAAUGGAAAAUGUAGCUUUAUAUAUACCGGUAAUUGUGCCGCCUGUGUGAUUUCUUACUACGUGAAUUACAUUCUAAAUCCUUCACUAGCGCCAUCAAUUAAAAGGCCACUUGAUUUUCCUACUUCUAACUCAAGGAAGCUCUGAUUUACACACAAUUAUCAUCUCAAGGUGCAUGACAUGAUGACAUUGACUUUGAGUUUUCGGAGAAACAUCAGCAACCAAUGUUUACAGUGACGAUAAAGGGGAUUAUUAUGGCCAUGAAAAAACUUCCACACCUAUGGUUUUGCUCUUUACACUACCAGAUAUCAGGCAGUAAUGUAGAACAAUUUUCAAGCCUUCUCCAACUUGGAAUAGUAAAAGAACUCAAGCUAGUUCACAUCAUCAUCAAAAAGAUCCUAAAAUCUUAAUAAACGAAUUGUAUGCUCCGUAAACCCAAUACUUUAAUGAUAAACAUCUAUCUUCACAUGUUUACUGCUUUACAUCACAGAGUAUAGGCUGUUUUAGAAUCUGUACUUUAAUAGUUGAUGCUUUUCUUUUUCAAUCAGAUUUUUGGUAAGAGAAACCAAAGCUAGAAUGAAGUGAAGAGAAGAACUAUAUAUUCAGACAGUAAGCGAGAUGAAUGUAAAAUACCAAACUAUGCUUUUGCAUUGAUCACAUACCGGAAAGCUAAUUGAGCACUGAUUCUCAAUCGAAUUUGAAAAGAUAGAUCAAAAUUCACAAAAAAAAUAAAAUGGAAUAAAUCUUCUUCUAAAUGUAUCCCCACAACAGGUUUUGUCAACAUAUUACAAAGAUUGAUAUGCUUUGCGGACCGAUGGCUUCAUUCCCCACUUAAGUACAAUGUACUUACAUGUUCAAGGUUCACAUGUUCCAGGAAAGCAAAAGGACCAGCAAAUUCAACCAGGUUUUGCAGCUGAACACCUCAAAACUUCUGAAGCAAGAUUUAAUCCUACUUCUCUAUUCUGCCUGCAGAAGUAAGUAGAAAACAAAUUAGGAAUGGCAUCAGGUCCAAACACAAUAGGUGCAUCGACACCCCUAUACACGCACCAGAUUUUAGAGCCGGCCCUGCAACUCCCCUUUAUCCCAUUUUAACACCUCUAAUUGGUCAUAGUACACAUAAUAAGCACCUCUACAUGGUUGAGCUAUGUGUGCGAAUGCACGCGUGGGUAACACAUCACAUAUAACAAAUCUUUUCCACCUACAUACUAGUGGCUUCAAGCACAUAAUGGCUUAAUAAGGAAUUUUAAAUGUUGCCCAUGGAAAAUAUAAUACUUUCUGAAUCAUUUAUGCAAGUAGGAUAAUGUAAAGAACUUUUCCGCCUUCCUAAGUUCUAAGCAAAAAAGUACCAUAAAGACCAGAGCAAUAAUAUAUAUGUGAUCAGUGGUGGAUACAUACUAUGUGCUAGUUUAUAACCUUUGCUCAACCUGUAUUUAUGUAUAAAAUUAUCCAUUAUAUAUUACUUCCUCCGUUUCAAUUUAUUUCUCUUACUUUCUUUUAUUAUUCAUUUAACAAGAAUGUCUUUAUCCUCUUUUGGCUAUUUUCUAAUUAACUUUUCACGUGGCAUGUUUAAGACUGCAGAAUUAAAAGGCAUUUUGAUACAUUUCACAUUUAUUUAGUUAUGAUGAAAAGAUUCAAAAAUCUUAAUUUACCUUCUUAAAACUCUAUGCCAAAUCUAAAAACUGAUAACAGAUUGAAAUGGAGGGAGUAUUGUAUACUAACUUGUAGUUUUUAUAGUAACUCAUAAACUUCAAAUUCUAAAUCCGCCAACGCUAUAAUUCUCCAUCAUAUAUCAAUACAUAUACCAACAAAAGAAACAUACUUAAUUAACUCAUGUUACAUUUUCAAAAGCUUAAGAGCAAGAAAAAUAAAGAUAGCUAAAUGAAAUUUUGCUUAGUAGAACUAGAAGAGAAGGUGAAUUAGUGGAUUUAAUUACCUUAAAGGAAGAAAAAAAGAGAUUGGGAGAAAAUGCAGGAGCAAUGCCAUGGCCCUGAUGACAUAAAACCUAAUUGUUGUGAGUGAGAAACUUUGGAUUAAUGAGGAUUUUCUAACUCCAACUCACCUUUCACACACACACUGCACUCUCUAUUUUCUGUGGGUUUAACAAGGGGUUUUUGUUACACAUGUUUUUGUUUGUUUGUUUCUUUGUUGUUGAGCGAAAGAGUAAAAAGUUAUUAGGUGUGAAGAGUUUUUCUUAUUUUAACUAUCUUUAAUUAUUUAUUAAAAUAUACUUUAACUAUUAAAUUUUUCUUUUUCCUAUCUGAAACACCACCUCUUUGCGUAUAAAAAGUAAUUAGUAAUAGUUCAAAUAAAAAAUUGGGGCAUUUGAUAAUUUAUUUAUAAAACUCAAAAUAUUGAUAUAUUUUAUUAAGUGUGUUUUUAAUCAUUGAUUUUUCAAAACAGCGUGAACCUGCAAAGGGGUCCAACUCACAAGUAACAACUGUUUUUUUUAAAAAAAAAAAUUUGACCUAACUAAGAUCGGAGAGAUCUUUAUUAUAGCAUGAUAGCUCAUGUUGGCACAUAUGCACGCCUUAUGAUGAGGAGGAAACCAUAUUUAUUCAUUUCAGAUUGGCCUAAUACAUAAUACUUUUAACUUGAAAUUAAAUUAUAGGUAUAUAUUUAACUUUAUAAAUAUACAAGUAGACCUUUUAAAUACAUAAAAGUUAAACAAAAAAACACUCUAAUCCUACUUGACAAAAUGUGUUUAUACACUCAAAACAACGCGCAUCAGAGUUAAAAUUUGAGUAUUUUUUUGUUCAACUUUUGUAUAGUUAAAAGGUCUAUUUGUCCGCUGACAACGUUAAAGGUCAUACUUAUGAUGUGCCUUUUUUUAUUAGGUGGCAGCAUCUAAGUGGACUACUAAUCCACGUAGAAGCGAUUGAGUUUCACGCAUGUAAGUUGUAGAAUUGAAGUAUUUUUUUGUUCAGCUUUUAUAUAGUUAAAGGGUCUACUUAUGCACUGUCAAGGUUUAAAAAUUAAAUGUCAUAGUUAUAAUUUGAUGUCAAGUUAAAGUACUGUUCAUAUAUUAUUCCUUUCAUAUUUUGUUGAAACGCCUAUGGUUGUUUCUUUCCCUUUGUUUUAUAUUAGAAAAAAAAAAAGUUAAUGCAUAAAAAUGACCCUAAACUUAACACCAAAUUAUAAUUUUGACCUUAAACUUUGAUAGUGCACAAAUAUAACCUUUAACUAUUCAAAACUGCACAAAUAUGACCUUCAAUCUUACGUGGCAAAACGCGUGUUCAACAUGCAAAACUGGGCGCGUCCAGCUUAAAAUCUAAGGGCAUAAUACAUAAAUAUGACCUUAAACUUUGACAGUGCACAAAUAUGACCUUUAACUAUUCAAAAAUGCACAAAUAUGACCUUUAAAUGACUUUUCACUAUUAUUUUUUAUUAUUUUUGGCUCAAAGAUGAAAAUGACAUCUAAUUUCUUUUGUCAUUGUGGAAAAAGAUCAAUAUUGAAGAUUUAUUAAUUAGGUGGGUCAGCCUCAUACGAAAAAAUCGCACGGGUAUUUAUAUAUAUUAUAAAACAGAGGGUGAAUUUAAGUUAUAUAAUAUAUCUAAAUAUAAUUUAUUUAAAUAUUAAAUUAAUAAUGAAAUUAUACUAAUAAUAAAAAAAAUUAUAGUUUUAAUAAAACGCUAUUAAAUUAACGUUAUUAAGGAUAGUAGUAGUAGUAUAUUAAAUUAACGUUAUUACAAUGUUAUUAAAUUAACGUUAUUAAAACAUUAUUAAAUUAAUGCAGGGGCGAACCUACGUGGUUGCCAUGGGGUUCACCCGAACCCCCUCGGUAAAAAAAUUACGUUAUAUAUCUAAGAUAGAAAAUCUAUAUUUAUAUACGUAUAUUAAUGUUGAACCACAUGAAACAAGACACUUAGAUAGUCCAGUGGUGUUAUUUGCUCUUCUUGGGCAUUUCCUUUAGCCUAAUGCGCGGGUUUGAUUUUUUAAUUAAAAAAAAAAGUUAGGUGUUGCAGUUAUAGAAAUAAAAUAAUAAUAAUAAUAAAAACGACGCCUUUAUAACACAAAAAGCAAAACUUUGAUAGUGCACAAAUAUGACCUUUAACUAUUCAAAACUGCACAAAUAUGACCUCCCUCCAAGUCAGUCCUUUUAACGACGUGGCACCGUGUGAUUGGAUUACCUUUCCACGUAGACGCGAGUGAAACUCAUGCAUGAGGUUGCAAAAUCGGAGGUCAUAUUUGUUCAGAUUUUGAAUAGUUAAAGGUCCUAUUUGUGCACUAUCAAAGUUUAAGGUCAAAGUUAUAAUUUGAUGUCAAGUUUAGUGUCAUUUUUAUGUAAUAACUCAAAAAAAAAAAAAACUGGUACCACAAAUUUAUGUCUACUUUUUUACUUUUUACUCUGUUUUUUCCAACUUAAGCCGUAUAUUCUAUUUAAUAUUUUAACUAAAAUUUAUUAGCUGACUAAUUCAAAUUCAUAACGAAAAUGUGAAAUGUCCCUUUAUUAUGUUUACUGUAAAGGUAAAGUCUAUCCUAGAAAAAUACGAUCUUUUAACUCUCCAUUUUUUGUUAUAUUUUUCCAGAGACCCGCUACUCAAUCUUUUUUACUCCAUAGUACUUCUUUUAACAUCGCAUGUUUGAUAUUCAUAUUAAAGUAAGAUUAAAUUUAAAUUCGUGCAUUUUAUGGCCCAUUUUCGGAGACGACAUCCUCAGCAGAAUAUUUUCCAUAAGGCCCAAAUCCUAGUACCUGUGAUUUGGGCAUUGGUGGAUUUUGGAUCUUCAGUCAAUAGCAUAUAGUAAUUGUAUCCACUCGUAAUUUGCAUUCAAAUAAUGCCCUUUGGUUUUACCUGUUCCAGUCUAUGCUUUAUAAAGUGCGUCUACACAAAACAAGAAAUGAUCUCUCCAACACAUAAAUGGUUGUGAGAUCACGAUCCCAAAACCGAGUGAAUAGUGAGUUAGACAUAACUCAUAUUCCAUUAUUGGAGUAGGUAUAACCAAUCCAUUUAACCAUUUUAACUAUAAAUGCGAACAUAUGUUAGGUCAAAUCCCAUACCAUACGCGCUCUACAAUUAUUGUACAUUCAUCUAGGAUAUCAAAUUAUUUGAUUUCCAAAACUCCCUUCGAUUGAAAAUAAUGUGAAGUGAAUUAUCAUUGAUUUCUCCUCAAAUUUACGUUCACGCUUUCAUUUGUUCAUCAUAAGAAUUAUGUAAUCCAAGUUAAAGGAGGUUCAGCUGGUAUACUUGAAAAAUUAAAACUUCUAUCAGAAGGUGUUCUUCCAAAUUCAUCCCACUGUAGAGUUGGACACUAUAAGCAAAUAAAUAUUGUAAAUAUGAUAUCUAGGUGACACCGUGUACCAAAACUUAGGACAAAUGGAAAGAUAUCAUCCAACAUUCUUUUGUCUCUGGUGAGAUUUAAACCGUCAUCUUUUAGUAGAGGAGGUUACAGUAUCACCACUUCAGCUAGCAGUUCCUUAUCACCACAAGAAUCGGAUAAGAUGACUUCCCAACAGAGCCCCACAAAGGCCUAACAAGUAGCUACAGUGCAUUUCAAAGGCAAUGGAGCAAAUAACAAACUGGUAUGUUGAACACGCGAGACAACACAUCUAAGUUGCAAAAGUGAUGGGAGGACAUAGACAAAUAAGAAAAGAUGGCCAGCAUCGAAAAAUAACAAUGAGAAAUGAUGGAUAAACUUGCAUAAACCAGGUGUUAAAAGUGAGAACCAUCACGUCUCAUGCAUGAAUCAAAAAUAAACCAGCCCCAAUCCACAUUGAGAAAAGAAUGAAAAAGGGACCAGAGAUCAGGUGAGUUGCAGGUGUCAAUGUUCACAAGCUGAUGGUAAUAACCCACAAUGGCUGGCUGCGAAAGCAUCUCUUUAUCCCACGACAACCUAGAGAAAAGAGGUAGCUUUCUCUGCAGUAGGUGCUACUUAUGUGGAACAACAACAUACCCAGUGUAAUCCCACAAGUCUGGCCUGGAAAAGGUAGUGUCUAUGCAGAUCUUACCCCUACCUUGGGAGGUAGAGCUGCUGCUUCUGAUGAGCUCAAGGAAAGGCAUAUCAAAGGGGAAAGCCAACAACCAUCUUUUUCUUCACUUUCCCAUUACAAACGAGAUUCGGAAACUAUUUUGGAACUUCCUGGGAGUCAAAUGACCCAUGCCAAACAACACGGCUGAUUUUUUGUGGAUCAGAGCAGGUUCAGACAGAAGAACGACAAUAUGGUGGAACACUACACCAGCUUUUAUCUGGUAGACAAUUUGGAAAGAAAGGGACUUGAGAUGCUUUGAAGAUAAGAACAAUCACAUCCAGAAGAGAAAGGCCAACAGCAAUUUUUUUAUUCUACUUUUGGCAUCGAAUGGAACUUUGUAAAUGAAGCUGAAUCUAUCUUAGAGCGCCUAGUCCCUACAGCUAAGGCUAUACUUUUGUCUUCACGCUUUGGAACAAUUUACAUAGUUACGGCACAUUCUUAAUGCUGUUUAUGAAUACAAACUUAAAAGGAACUAGAGCACAGCAAGUUCAUGGCAAUGUAAAAGAUACUAUUACUGCUACAUAAGAUAUGGUCAAAGUAGAGAGCAUUGUUCUGGCUUUUUCCACUGCAAAGCAACUAAUUGAAGGAAGGGGCAUCAGCAAUUAAUUGAACCAGAAAGAAAACUAUGAAAAUGUAGUCAUGUGACUGAGAUAGCAACAACCUUGCUUCACAGUGAUAUAGCUCCAACACUUUAUAAAUCCGAAAAAUCAAGGAAGUGUUUAAGCAAUUCAACCAUUCGACGGAAAAGUAGGAAGGGGCAACAGCUAUUACUCCAACCAGAAAGAAACUACAUAAAUGGUCCGGUAAUUGCAAUAGCAACAACCCUGCUUCAUAGUGAUAUGACUCACAAGACUUUAUAAAGACGAAACAAUCAAUAAAGUGUAGGAGCAAUCCAAUCAUUCUACAAAAACACAGUAGUACAUACAUAUUCAGCAACUCUUAAAGCAAUAACAUAUUGUAAUCAAACUCCUGGAAUGAGAAAGAAGCAAUCAAAAAGUGUUUAAGCAAUUCAAUCAUUUCAACAAAAACACAUUAUUACAUACAGAUUCAGAAACUCUUUAAGCAAUUACAUCACAAAGCAAAAACUACAAAUCCAUUGUAAUCGAACUCGUGGAAACAAGAAAGAAGCACUAAUAGAAGUAUGUCAACUAUCUCCACCUUAGCAAACAAACAUAUUUCAGCACCAUAAGCUAAUAACCAUAAUAGUGUAAUCUAUUAUCUGAUUAAGACAAAAAAGUUAACUAGUAAUCCAACAUAACCAAACAACUAUCAAAACUGUAAAUUCGAUAUCUUGAUCAGCACAAAACCAAAAAGACUAAAAACAUAUUCAAGAUCAAGCUAAGGGUUUACACUGUUUUUCUUCCAUAUCGAAGAUACCAAAUAACACCAACAACAGCAACUGCAACAAGUGAUGAUCCAGCAACCAGUGGAAAAUUUACUUCACCACCGAAAAACCCAACUUUAUCAUCACCAAUAGGAAUGCCAUUAAUAUUGCUAUCAGCAAGUCUUUCAGUAAUAAUCCUUUCUUUCUCAACCAAUUUCUUCUCCAACGCCGCGGCUUUCUCAAUCAUGUCCUUAACUCUCUUCUCUAAUUCCUCCUUUUACCAUAUGAAGUUAUCCUGUUACGCGUUGGGUCGGGGAAGGGCCAAAGGGUCUAUCGUACACAACCUUUCCUUGCAUUUUUGCAAGAAACUGUUUCCACGGCUUAAACCUGUGACCUCCUGGUCUUGUGACAUCAACUUUCCUAGUUAUGCCAAAGUUCCCUUCAUAUUUGAACCAAUUGAUAAGCAAUGUAAAAUUGCUGGAACAAGGGGAGCUAAUGGCCCGCUAACAGUGCCUGGAUUACCUAAAAAGAAAAUCCAAAUAGCAUACAAAUAAUGCCAAGCUCAACCUAAAAUUGCAUGAACAAUCAGAUUAAAUUCUGAGAUUAUAAUAAAACCUGUGAUUUUCAAACAGAGCUAAAUGCAUGAUAUCAUCUCUGAGAAGUAAUACCUGAACACACAUCGUCAGACAUACAUAAUCACUGUGACAACAAUCAACGAACUGCUUUGAAGAUAAAACAUGCAAAAGAGACACGUUAAGACAAGGAAUAAGAAGAAAUUUAAUAAAGUAUUCGGGUGGGAGUAAAAAUAGAAGAACUAACAAGAAAUCAUAGAUUUCAUGUAACAAUCUCUUAUAGAAGUUAAAUAAACCCGAAAAAAUGUAACAUCAUCUAGCUUAUAAAGAGAUAUCGAACAAAAUAAACCAUAAAAAAAGGUUACAGCUUAAGAGCCGCUAUUGCUUCAGAUUUGAAGUCAACUCUCAAACUCAACACUCUUCUAACCUCAGCUGGAGUAAGUCUCCAGGUCAUGGGUCCUGAGUUUUCACCCCAGAAAUCCAGAAUUUCAGAUACCUUCUCCAAGUUUAAUAUUGUAGCCAUUUGGGUUAGACGAGCAAAUUUGUCCCUAACAGUCCUCUGGGUCAUGUUGGAGAAGUAGCUCACAAGGGCUCGAACAUCUCUGUCAAGUUGAAGACCUCCAAGUUGACUGAAUCUCUUUUGCAUCAUGAUAACCUCAAGCCUCUUAACAACAAAGUCGAUGAUCAGAUGUACAAGGGAGUCAUAAUUGUUAGCAGUCAUCAAUGGUUGAAGCCAAGCCACAUUGGUCUCUACAGCAUGGAGAAGCCUUUGAACCCAUGGGUCAUUCACCUCAUUAUCAGCAUAUUCAGAUUCAGACAGCUCAUAGCUGAUUGUUGCAACAGUAUCCAACAUUGGCCGAAUUCGAGGUGUCACUGUAGCUACUAGUUGUUCCAAGCCAAUGUUCAAGGCCUUCUUGAAACCAUUGUUAAUCUCAUUUAAUUCAGAUAAACAUGAUUUGACCCUCUCUCUAUCUGCUGGUGCAGGAAACACCUGACAAUGCACUCCAAUUAAGACCAACACAAAAGAACCAAAGGUAGAAAAAAAGAAAGAAAAAUGUAACCUAAAUGGUAUCUUCUGAAUGUGUUUUGAGGUUAUGAUUCAUCCUGAAGGUAAUCUUUUUUGAUAAGCGAUUAGCUUCAGAAUGAAUCAUAAUCCAAAAAAUCCCUUCAAUGCUCAAAGACUAAAGGCAAGAGAUGAAUGUAACAGAUAUCAUUCUAGAUUAUAAAGGUAAGGAUGAGAAAGCAAAGAAAGAACGAGUAACCUAAAGAUGGUAUGAUACCAGUGAAAUCUGAGGCUAUAUAUGGAUACUUGAAGUUCAAGGGAUUCUCAGAAGCACAACGGUUUUCAUGUCACAAGAAUAUGGCAUGAAAUGGAUGUAAUAGACAACCAUUCUAGAAUUCAAUGUUCAACUUACUUAUCGCCCAAAAACCAAAAAAGUUGGACAGAUUAGAGCUAAAAGGGAUGCAGAGUAAACGUAGAGUAAGUGCUGAUAGAAGAAGAUGUUUUAUUAAUGAAGCAUAAAGCGUAUUAAAUAGAGUUACAGAUAAACUAAGAUGAGUCCUAAACUAACUAAACUAGACUAGUCCUAAAUAAACAGAAAUACUGACUAAUAUUACACGUGAUGUUUCAAUACGCCCCCUCAAGUUAGGCGAUGAGUCACUAAGCCUAACUUGAAUAUAUUCUUCCCAAAAGUAGGCUUAGGCAGUGCCUUGGUGAGGGUUUCAGUGAUUUGAUCGGUAGCAUGAACAUGAACAACUCGAACCUUUUUGAUGUUGACAUGGUGGCGAACAAAGUGAAAAUCCACUGCAGCAUGCUUCACUUUGCUAUGGAGGACCGGAUUUUUACUCAGGAAUGUGGCUCUAAGAUUGUCACAAUAAAUGGUAGGCAUCUGAUGUACUGGAAAGCGCAGCUCAGCGAGGAGAUUGGUCACCCAUGUGGGUUUCAGAAAGGGCAUUAGCCACUGCCCUAUACUCAGACUCAGUGGAGGAGCGAGAGACUGUAUUUUGCUUCUUCGAGGACCAACUAAUAGGAUUGUAACCAAGGAACAGGAUAUACCCGGAUGUGGAAACUCUGUCAGCAAUGUCCCCACCCCAAUCCGCAUCAGAGUACACAUGCAGAUUGAAGUCCUCAAUGGGGGUUACACGUAGGCUUAGUUGGAUGGUGCCACGCAGGUAAUGAAGAACACGCUUCACAGCUUUCCAAUGGAGAUCUGAUGGUGCUUGCAUAAAUUGAGACAACUUAUUUACUGCAUAUGCAAUGUCCGGUCUAGUGAAAGAUAGGUAUUGAAGCCUGCCUAAGACCCGACGAUAGCAUGUUGCAUCAGUCAAGUGAGUACCAUCAGAUAGCGUGAUUAGCUCAGAUGCACUCAUUGGCGUGUGGACACUUUUACAGUCGGUCAUUAAUUCAUCAUUCAGGAUCUCAUUCACAUAGUUUGCUUGGGUGAGAAUUAAACCAUCAGAGCUGCGUAUCACUUCAACACCAAGAAAAUAGUGAAGAUUACCCAAAUCUUUAACAGAAAACUUAGAAGCAAAGGAAGCAAUAACCUGGUUGCUCCCUGUAACAAUGAUGUCAUCCGCAUAGACAAGGAUAAACAUUGUGUCACCUAGACCCUGCCUGACAAGUAGGGAGGCAUCCGACUUCGUCUUAAUAAAUCCUAUGGAGGAAAGAUAACCCGUGAGUGCAUUGUACCAUGCUCGAGGGGCUUAUUUCAAGCCAUAGAUUGCCUUGCGUAACCGACAUAUGUGAGUGGGUUUGUCAUCAUUAGUGAAACCCGAAGGUUGUGCCAUGUACACCUCCUCGUCCAGGUUGCCCUGGAGAAAUGCAUUGUUGACAUCAAGCUAGCGGAGAGUCCAGUUAUGGCGAAGUGCCACAGAAAGUAUUAUUCUGACCGUGGUAGGCUUGACGACUGGGCUGAAAGUCGCGUGGAAGUCAAUGUCCGGCCUUUGAGUGAAGCCUUUCGCAACCAGUCGUGCUUUAUAUCUAUCAAUAGACCCAUCUGCUUUCCUUUUUAUCCUGACAAGCCACUUGCAGGAAACAAUAUUUUUAGUUGGGUCAGGAGGAAUAAGUUCCCAAGUCUGGUUUUUAAUUAAAGCAUCAAGUUCCUGUUUCAUCGCUUCACGCUACUCGGGAUGUUUUUGUGCUUGUUUGACAGUGGUGGGUGUGGUGGUGGGGUUCAAUUUAGCCAAGUAAUCAAAAAUUUGUUUGGGUUUGGUGAUAUUGUUUUGGGAGCGAGUGACAACACGGGUAGGAGGAGAGGGACAUUUAGGAGAUGAGGGAGCGAGCUACAACUCAAGGAUAGGACGGACUGGCUGAUGAACCAUGGGUGUAGAUGGAAUUGUGUUCUGCGAUAAUAAACAAGGAGAGGACGCGAGCUGUAAUUUGUGUUUGUGGGUAUACGCGUUGGUAUAUUUGUAGGGAGGGCUGGUGGUGUGAGCUGUUGGGCAGUAGGGUGAGAGGAUUCUGGGAGCCUUGGAAUUGUAGAAGAUGAGGGUGAUAGAAAUUUACCUGGGAAAGNNNNNNNNNNNNNNNNNNNNNNNNNNNNNNNNNNNNNNNNNNNNNNNNNNNNNNNNNNNNNNNNNNNNNNNNNNNNNNNNNNNNNNNNNNNNNNNNNNNNNNNNNNNNNNNNNNNNNNNNNNNNNNNNNNNNNNNNNNNNNNNNNNNNNNNNNNNNNNNNNNNNNNNNNNNNNNNNNNNNNNNNNNNNNNNNNNNNNNNNNNNNNNNNNNNNNNNNNNNNNNNNNNNNNNNNNNNNNNNNNNNNNNNNNNNNNNNNNNNNNNNNNNNNNNNNNNNNNAAAUUGGGUCAAAACACUGGUGACAGUGAUGAGAUAAGGAAAAUCCGAGAUAGAUACACGGGGUGGAUUUUGGUUCAAGUUUAUUUUUGGAGUAUGGUUUAAGCCAUGGAUAGCAUAAACAACUGAAAAUUCGCAGGGAGCUAUAAUCAGGCAAUUUUCCAAGUAGACGUUGGAAUGGGGAUUGGUUAUCUAGUUGAGAGGUGGGCAAACGGUUAAUGAGGUAGACCGUGUGAUGACAUGCGAAAGACCAAAAUUGGGGAGGAAGGGACGCAUCAUGUAAGAGAGUUCUUGCAGUUUCGACAAUAUGGCGAUGUCGUCGUUCUACAAGCGCAACUCGUUGAGGUGUAUAUGGUGGAGUAGAGAGGUGCUCAAUUCCGUGAAGUGAGAGAUAAGGGUCAAGACUUUUAUAUUCUCCUCCACUAUCAGUGUACAGUAAUAAUAUUUUGGUGUCAAAAUGCUUUUCCAUCAUAGGAUGGAAUUUUUGGAAAAUCUCUUUGACCUCACUUUUAUUUUUUAAUNNNNNNNNNNNNNNNNNNNNNNNNNNNNNNNNNNNNNNNNNNNNNNNNNNNNUGUCAAGAGAUAAGACUGGUGAUGGCCCCCAUAAAUCACUAAAGAUUAUUUGAAGCGGUUUAGAGCUAUACAAUGAUAAUUGAGUAAAAGGAUGCCGAUGAGCUUUAUUAGAUAAGCAAGAAUUACAAUAAAAAGGUUUGUCCCGCACAUGAAACGGUAGCGAGAAUUUAUUUAAAAUAAACCUAAGAACUCUAAAGUGAGGAUGACCCAAACGUUGAUGCCAACUAGUGAGAGGAGUAGAUGUGGCGGUCAUGUGAGCUUGGGGAUGUGAAAUAGGCCACUCAUACAGUCCAUUGUUUGUCCGACCGUGCACCAACAGUUUCCGCAUUUUCAGAUCCUUCACAACAAAGUCAAAGGGAAAAAAUUCAAUGGACUUUGAAUUGUCUUGACAAAAUUUUGAAACAGAGAGAAGUUUGUGUUUAAUAGAUGGGGCACAAAGAGUGUGAGAUAGCUUAAAAACAUUAUUUGAUGCAUUUAAUUGAGUAGAACCAGUGUGAGAGAUGGGAAUUUUGUUACCGUCACCCAUGGAGACAUCCUCAUUACCAUGGUAUGGUUGUAGGUUGUGUGGCUCCAUGGUGAUGUGAUGGGUGGCUCCGGAGUCGACUAUUCAAGGGUUAGUAGCAGCAGUAAAUCCAGCAGCAUAGCUGGCUUUGGCCUCAAAGUGAUUAUGAGACUUCGAACGACAAACAUUGGCGGUGUGGCCAAUCCUAUUGCAUAGUUGACAUCGAGUAACAGUCUUUGGAUUGGAGUUGGACUGCCACUGUGAUGUAGUGUUCGGAUGUGAAUUCUGGUGCCACUAUUGAGAAUUAUUAUUCUUCCUAGGAUUGUUACGGUUAUUGGUAUUGGAUUUGGUGGGAGCCGCGACCGCGGCAGUUAUGGGACUGGAAAGUUUCUUAACAUCCUCAUGACGAAGGAAGAGUUCAUGGUCAAGUAGCUUUUCAAACAAUUCUUCAUAUGAGACAGCCGUAUCACGUGCAUGAAUGGUAGCAGAGAUUUCACGAAAUUCAGGACCUAGCCCGCCGAGUAUUUUGACAAUGAGUUCAGGAUUUGACACAGGAGAACCAUCAGUGGCUAACUCAUCCGAAAGGGACCGAAUAGUAUGAAGAUAUUCAGUGAUGGAGCAAGAUUCCUUAGUGACGCGAGCAAGUUGAUCACGCAGGCUGAAGACACGCGUUUGUGAUCUGUUUGCAUAAGUAGUAUGCAGAGUGUCCCAAGCCGAUUUGGAUGAGUUGGCUGCAGCAACAGUCGGAGCAAUGGUGGGUUCAACAGAUGCCAUGAGGGCAUUUUGGAUGAGUUGGUCUUGACGGAACCAAGUUAAAAAAGCAAGAUUGGGAGAUACAUUGUUGCCAACGGUCAGGAGUGGUCCCAUCGAGAUGGCCAAAUAGAUUAUAACCAUACAUAAGCAUGGAGAAUUAAGCUUUCCAGGUGGCAAAGUUGUGGUCACCGCUGAGUUUGAUGGGUAAUUGGGACGCAGGGUUGAAUUGAAUAAUAAUGUUAGCACCUAUUGUGUUAUCAACAUUAACAACUCUGGGAUUGUUGGCCAUUGCUACUGAUUUGUGUGAGGAAGAGAGAAAAAAAAUAGGAUCGUACUCAUUAGAGAGUAUAGAGCUUUGAUACCAUGUAAACGCAGAGUAAGUGCUGAUAGAAGAAGAUGUUUUAUUAAUGAAGCAUAAAGCGUAUUAAAUAGAGUUACAGAUAAACUAAGAUGAGUCCUAAACUAACUAAACUAGACUAGUCCUAAAUAAAUAGAAUGCUGACUAAUAUUACGCGUGAUGUAUCAAUAUGCAGUACAGUACAUCAUGCUAAUACACCUGCCCGUCUACCAACAUUUCAUAGCAUACACGAAGUUGAGCAACAAAAUUACAGCUUUACUUACUUCACCUCUCAAAAGGCAGAUGCCACAUUCAUAAACUAGACUAACAUUGAAAUAACAAGAGCAGAUCAAUACAUGAAUCUAGGACUAACCUCAGCACAUUGUUCUUCAAUCUCAUGCCGUAAUUUCAAUGCAUACUCACCACUCACAUCCAUAUUAUUCAAAGCCGUGGCAAUCUCCGUACCCGUCUUUUGAACAGCAACACCACCGGUGAACAGCUUUGCUCCAAGAUUAGGCUCUCUGAUCUUCUGCUGCAAAGCCUCGUUGUACUCACCACCCAAUAGACUUACAGCACUGCUUAAAACUGCAAUCACAGAGUUGAUAUUUGAAGUGGAUAUGGACCUUCGACAACAGCUCUGCAGAACAUAGAAGACAUCGUCCACCAUGGAAGUUGUGAGACUAUCAAACACGAGUUCAUCAAUUUUUAUCGCUUUCCUCACAUUCUCAACCAUAAAGUAUCCUUCCAAGAUCACAUAAUAACCAGUAAUAUCCUGCACAACUUUACUGAAAUUACCACUCCUAAAAGCUUUCGUGGCACGAGGACCUAACUCAGGAUCAACAGAACUCAAGCCCCUAAUCUUUGAUAUCAUAUACCCCGUAUAAUCCUCACCCAAUUGCGUCAAAGACAAUAUCUCCUCCAAAUACACUUCGAUCUCUCUAGGGUCCGGUCCUUCAACUCCAACAGAUAGCAAAUCACUCUUGUAAGAAUUAAUCUCCGAAGUCACUUUCGCUAGUUUCCUAUACUCCAUAUACUUCUUUAUAAUAGUCGAACCGCGAGAAUCACACUCUUCUUGAAGUUCACAUAUUGCAUAAACAAUACCAUCCUCCCCACACAAGCUCCUUAAAGUUUCAUCAUUCUCCUCAAUAGCCAAAACAAUAUCUUUAAACAGAUUCGUCAAACAUGACACAAAAUUAACCUCAUUCUGACCAUUUCCCCGGUGAUCACUCAUCAUUUCCACCAAUUGUUCAGACUCAAUACGCGAUCUCAUAGCAAUAACCUUCUUCAAAUACGCCACGUAAACUUGCAAUCCCUCUUCCUCCAAUGCCAAUGGCGGAUACAGCCUUAUAAACCUCAAAACCUUUGAAUGAUCACGCUUAUCAACUGCUUCCCCUAAUUUCCUCCUCACAAUUCCUUCAAGCUGCUUCUUCGAAGCGAGCAACUGCUCUCUCUGAUCCGAAGCAGCUGAAUCCUUAUACUUCGCAUCAAGCUGAAGAAAUGUCUGUACAAAAACCGCAGCAGAUUCAUAAUCCUCCGAAUCAAGCGCCUUCCGCACACCGUCAAGGCAAUGAGACCGAUCAACAAUCGCAUCAAUACGCAGCAACGUAUCAUUAACACGCGAUUGCGCUAGAUCUAGCUGACGCACUUUCGCGCUUACUUGAUCAGCAAGCAAUGACGUAGAACUCACAUUGGCACACAAAUGCUCGGCAUCUGCUUUAACAAUAUCGAGUACUUGUGCAGAUUUUUGCAAGCUUGACAACUGUUUAUCGAGGUCAGUACGAUGCAAAAGUAUUGUAUCGAGUUCUAGAUCUAGUCCCCGUUGAUAAGCAAUGCAUUCAUGGAGAAGCCUAGUCAUAGCUCCGACGUCAGUGAGAUUUCGCACUUCUUCUAAUGAUUCCGGUGUCCCGAAUUUCGAGGAAUAUGAAUCUAUGUUUGUCGAUUCGUCGGAUUCUACUCUCAGUGCCAUUUUUUCCCAGCGAAGUUUGAUGAAUCUCUCGAUUCCGACGGUAAUCGCCGGUUUCGGGUCGUUCAGUUUAUUGUGGGUGUUAUUUUGGGUCCAUUUGGUGAAGCUUUGAAUUAGUUGAGUGAAAUUUCAGUUAAUUGAGGAAGGAGGGGGAUGAAAUUUUAGUUUACAGUAAUAGCUCAAAUUUGUCAUAGUUACAAAAUUAGCCACUUUGCACAAUAACCAUUUCGGCACAUUUAAAAUAUAGCCGCGUAAUAGUUGUUGAAUAGCUUUGUUUUUCUUAGCUAGACUAGAUUACAAUUAAUAUUAGUUCAUACAAGUGUCGUCUAGUUUGGUGCACUAAAGUUUCCAUUAUAUACUAGGUUCAUGAAAGAGUAUCAAUGCAUCAAACAUAUAUUUGUAUUUAUGUAUGACAUACUCAAAUAAAUGCAAAUAAUGCAUAUACUCAUUAAUAUACAAAUACGAAUACUAAGUUUGAGAGAGAAAGGGGGGAGGGGGGUGAAAAUAUAAAAUACAAAGAGGGAGAAAAAAAAUACAAAAAGAAAAAAAUUAUCAUUAACAAGUAUUUCUGCCAAAGUAGUCAUUUAUCAUCCAUGCUCAAAGAGUGCUGAAACUUACACAAGAGUGUAUUGUACGCAAUCUUAUUUUGCGUUUUUGCCAGACACUAUUUUCAAGACUUAAAUUCGUAAUUUCUUGAUCACAUAACAACAACUUUAUCAAUUACUCCAAGACUCAAGAAAAACAAGCUACUCUCCAACUACAGGGUGGCUAUAUUUUUAAUGGGCCGAAAAUUGGUUAGUGUGCAAAAUGGCUCUAGUUAAAUGUGUCCAUUUGAUUUAUUGAUCCUAAUUUUGUUUGUGUUUCUCUUUUAGUUUCAUUGUGUGAUUGCGUUAUUCUUAGUUCAUUUUAUAUUUUCUUUCUUUUUAUUUUGACAUAAAUGUUAUUCUAAAUAGAUAUAUACUUAAAACCUUGCUUUUAAGAUUAUUUGAUAUUGUAGAAUUGUGAGAAGAAUAAGAGAUAUUUUUAUGUGAAUAAAUACUUCAAUAUCGAUCAUUUUAGUGAUCCUAAAAACUAACAACUAGUGAAGCUAGUAGAAUACAUGCUAACCAUUUGUAUGGCUAUAAAAUUAUUAAGAAUUGGAAUCUAAAUUUUCUAAAACAACAUUUGUAGUUAUGAAACUUUUCAAUAGUUAAAGAAAUAGAUACAGAAAUGUAUUUUUCUUUUUGAACAAACUAAUGAAGAAACGUCAAAUAAAAGUGAAAUGAGUUAGGGUGUAUUGUUUUUUUUUUGGAUAGACUUUAAAAAGGGUCACAUGAAAAAGAGAAAAAUAAAUAUUAUUUAUAUUUUUUGUUUAUAUUGUUCUUUUUUCACAUCAUAUACUGGGUUAGCUAUCAAUAUCAAAUAUAAAUAUUAUUCUUGAAAGCCAAAUAAUCAAUCUCAGGAAUCAAAUCAAACAAUUAGUAUAUUGUAUUCAACCUUCAUAAAGUGGGAAAGUGUCAUUCUUUUCGGUAUCAAGUCACUAAUUAUCUUUGUUUACCAAAAAUAAAGCAACUUAUCUUUCUUUUCUUUCCCACUAUUUUGGAAAAUUCAUGGCACAAGGAACUUCUUGAUUAAGAAAUAAAAAAAGCUAGAAGUUCCAAAAAGCAAUAUGUGGAAUUAUCUUUUAUUUCAAAGAAUAGGUUUUAUUCAUAUACUUUAUAUUUGUUCGAAGUUUUUUUUUUUUUUUGUUUCCCAAGGUAUUCCCACGGCCGGUAGCCGUGAGCCGUGAGACUAAUCCUGCAUUUCUCUGUCAGCGCACUAAGCGAUAGGGAACCGGCUACAAGCCAUGAGACUAAUCCUCCAUUCCUCUUUCAGCGCACUAAGCGGUAGGGAACUGACCACAGAAUUUGCUCCAUUCGCCAGAGACGGGGAUCGAACCCCUGACCUCUUGCUUGAGGGACAUGGCGCUGAACCACCAUGCCAACUCUAGUGGUUUUGUUCGAAGUUUAUUCUCACAAAUAUAGUCAAUUCUUGUUUAGAGAUAGGCAGAUAGCAAAUUAAAUCCUAAAAUUUUGUCUCGAUAGGACUUGUAUUUUUAUCACGUGCUAUGAAAUUCAUGAAUGGAGCAAUUAAUGUAAGGUUAUUAAUUUAUUUUUUAAUGUGACGAAUCUUGUAUGUAUUCUUUACAAAAGGAAUUUAUCCAUUUUUAGGGAUUUCAAAGGGGCAUGAAAAUACAGCAAAACUCCGAAAUUAAAAGAAAUGUAAUUUCAAUUCCUUCAUAAUCGAAAGCCAAUUCUAUUUUUGCUAGAGACAUUUGAUAGAUAAUUGAACCCUAUGUUAACCAUUAUUUUCAUAUCCAUAUCCAUAAUAAUAUGAAGAGAAAGUCUGACUUCAAAUUGUUUAAGAAUAGGGGUGUUUAGUUUCCGACCACUCUGAAUAGGGGUGUUUAGUUUCCGAUCACUUUUACUUAGAAUUAUUCAGUUCUAUUUUUCAAAAGGAUGGGGGAGAUAGAAGAGAAGAGUCAGAUCGAGGUUGAACCAGGAUUUUCACUAAGAAGGUUCAAAAUUUCAGGAAAAAAUCAUCGAAAGGGAGCUCGACAUCUAUUAUAUAUAGAUAAAAAUUAAUUUUAGUUACAUAUGAAUAGUAUAAUUUUCCGUCGAGAGAGGUUAUUCGCCCUUGGUUAGAGUGUCACUUUAACGUGGUAAAACAUGAUGAAUACAUGCAUAUGGCAAGUGUUGGGAGAUUGUUGAGUAAAGCUAAUAUCCUCCUGUGAGUCUUUAACAAACGUAGUCAUGGCAAACCCCACAAGUCAACUUACUUAAAAUUUUCACCUUUCUUUUUGCUGCAAAAGUUUAGCUGAUCUCUUCAAAUAAACUAUUACUCUUCUUAAUUAAUUCCAGCUAAUAGUCCGUCCUUAAUUUCUCUUUACAUAUUUGUCAACUCACUACGUAUAUUGACAGCUCUAUGCACUAAAAUGCUGUCAAUAACCUUCCACUUCCAUGUGCCAUAACUGUUGCAAUUAAGUUUUGAGGUUUCAAAUUCAUGCUAGUACCUUCUUCGGAGAAAUGAUUUUAUAGCUUUUACUACUUUACUUUUAUAAGAAAUUUUCGUAUUUACAUAUAAUAGAGAUCUAAAACUGUCAUUUUCUUCUAUUCAAAUUGUAAGUGGCCAAGAGAUCUCAUUUCCUCCCUCAGGCAAAAGGAUUAGAGGAUGCUAUGUGAAUUAUUACGUAGGUUAGGAUUUCUUGAAGUCCAAAGUGUAGAUAUCAUAUUUACUAUAUAAAGUUAUAAGUGAUGCGAAAGAAGAACGAGUAAUCUAUAUGUGAACGUUAAUCCUCGUUGUUUAAUUUAAUUUGAAUCAAUAAGUCAAAUUCCAUAAUAUUUCAUGAUCAUGACCAACGAAAUAAAAAGAGAAAAAAGAAAAAAAAAAAAAACCGAAAAGCUUAAAUGUAAUUUUCUUGAUGGGAAAAAAAAUUAAUGUGUUAAUAUGGAAGAAUACGUCAAUUAUUUGUUUAUGUAAUAAUGAUAAUGUUUGGUCAAUUAUUAUGAAACACAUGACUUCAAUUAAGAAGUUUCCAUCUUGGAGACAUCAGACAAUGAAGAAUAAAAGACUCGCUAAACCGAUUGCCACAAUUUUUCAAAUAUAUAGUUAGUUACGCACUAUUAAUUAACUAUGCUACAGAACUAUCUUGUAUAUAAUUAAGCACCGUCAUGAUCAUGAAUUAUAUAUUUAGUUCCAAAAUGAUACUAUAAUGUUUUUGUAUAUGAGCUGUUUGGUCAUUGCAUGGCAGCAUGUUUCUGGAUGUUUCCAUUAGUUCUGCUCAAUCAAGUUGAUAAUUUAUUUAACUAAAUAAUUACAUCACAAUUUUUCCCCAUUUAUGAUAUCCAUCAUGUGUAAAGAUAAAGAUCAUUAAGUUAGUAAGAUUUGAGUUUUAAUUAUAUGUAUGGCCUGGUGUAAACGAUAAACAACAACAUCAAUAUAUUAUUAGGUGAACGAUAUAUAGAUAAAUCUCUGGAUAAAUAUUAAUUCAUAUUCAGAUUUUAAAAAAAGAUUAAUCGGCAAUGUGUUUAUGGUAGGAUCAAACAAUUAAUUGUCAUCACAUCAAAAGUUAUAGCUGACGGAUAUGAUGCUAGUUUAAUUUAUUUUGUAACUCAUUCCAUUAAGUAAGCACAUCAUGCCACCCUAUUGGAACACCUAAGUCUUGUCGUAAUAUUGCCGCAAGUAAAUCUGAUAAGAUUAAAUCCAAUUCAAUUCCAAGACAAACUCUUUUGGAUACUAGUUAGAGUUGUAUUAUAUCUUUAUGAGCCUUACCCGUUGUUGUAGUUAGAACUCUCUCUCUGUAUCCUUGUAUAUGUUAAAUAUAGUAGGAAUAAAAAAUUGAGAAAUAAUACUUACGGCAAGUUCUUGAUUUUAUAUGGUAUCAAAGCUUAAAGACUGAUGCGUCUCUGUUCAUAUUUAAUUCUGAUGGAGUUCAGAUUUUCAUACUUGUCUACGUUGACGAUGUUAUCAUUACUGGGAACAAUCCUUCAUUUCUUGAAUCCAUCAUCUCCAAAUUAGGUGUUGAAUUCGCCAUCAGAGACCUUGAACCUCUAUCAUUCUUCCUAGGAAUUCAAGUGACCCGUCACUCUACCGGUAUAUUCUUGUCUCAAGAACGUUAUGCCUCUGAUAUACUAACGAGAGCUGGAAUGCAAGCUUGCAAACCACUGCCUUCCCCCAUGUCUACUUCCACCAAGCUUCACAUUGGUUAUAGCGCCUCUUUCCAUGAUCCUACUCUCUAUCGACAAAUUGUAGGGGCACCACAGUACUUGACACUUACAUGACCUGAUCUCUCAUUCUCUGUUAAUAGGGUGUGUCAAUACAUGCACAAUCCCACUAUAAACCAGUGGGCAGCUGUGAAAAGGAUAUUACGCUAUCUUCAGCAUUCCAAGCAUAUGAAUUUGCUUAUUCCUAAGUCCACAUCCUUCUCGUUGCAAGCAUUUACUGAUUCGGAUUGGGCAGAUUCCUUGGAUGAUAGAAAAUCUACAGGUGGAUUUGCCAUAUCUCUUGGUUCAAGUUUGGUAUCUUGGUCAUCAAAGAAACAGUGUACAGUUGCUCGUUCAUCCAUAGAGUCUGAAUAUAAGGCACUUGCCGACGGUGCGACAGAGUUGACAUGGAUUCAGUCCUGUUAUUUGAACUUGGUAUAACUUUAUUUGAUGCUCCUAUCUUAUGGUGUGACAAUAUUGGUGCGGCCUAUCUUUCUAUUAAUCUGAUAUUCCAUGCUCGCACCAAACAUGUGGAAAUUGACUUUCACUUUGUUCGUGAUAAAGUUGCUCGAAGGGAUUUAUCUGUGAAGUUCAUCUCCUCAAAGGACUAGUUAGUUGAUUUGUUCACAAAGCCUUUAGCAUCUGAGAGGUUUAAAUUUUGAUGUUCCAAACUGAUGGUAAGCUAUCAUCCAUCAGCUUGCACGGGGGUAUUGGAACACCUAAGUCUUGUCGUAAUAUUGCCACAAGUAAAUCCGAUAAGAUUGAAUCCAAUUCAACUCCAAGACAAACUCUUCUGGAUACUAGUUAGAGUUGUAUUAUAUCUCUAUGAGCCUUACCCUUUGUUGUAGUUUGAACUCUCUCUAUAUAUCCUUGUAUAUGUUAAAUAUAGUAGGAAUAAAAAGUUGAGAAAUAAUACUUACGGCAAGUUCUUGAUUUUAUAUGGUAUCAAAGCUUAAAGACUGAUGCGUCUCUGUUCAUAUUUAAUUCUGAUAGAGUUCAGAUUUUCAUACUUGUCUACAUUGACGAUGUUAUCAUUACUGGGAACAAUCCUUCAUUUCUUGAAUCCAUCAUCUCCAAAUUAGGUGCUGAAUUUGCCAUCAGAGACCUUGGACCUCUAUCAUUCUUCCUAGGAAUUCAAGUGACCAUCCACUCUACCGGUAUAUUAUUGUCUCAAGAACGUUAUGCCUCUGAUAUACUAACAAGAGCUGGAAUGCAAGCUUGCAAACCACUGUCUUCCCCCAUGUCUACUUCCACCAAGCUUCACAUUGGUGAUAACACCUCUUUCCAUGAUCUUACUAUCUAUCGGUAAAUUGUAGGGGGGCUACAGUACUUGAGAUUUACACGACCCGAUCUCUCCUUCUCUGUUAACAGGGUGUGUCAAUACAUGCACAAUCCCACUAUAAACCAGUGGGCAGCUGUGACAAGGAUAUUACGCUAUCUUCAGCAUUCCAAGCAUAUGAAUUUGAUUAUUCCUAAGUCCACAUCCUUCUCGCUGCAAGCAUUUACUGAUUCGGAUUGGGCAGAUUACUUGGAUGAUAAAAAAUCUACAGGUGGAUUUGCCAUAUUUCUUGGUUCAAGUUUGGUAUCUUGGUCGUCAAAGAAACAACGUACAGUUGCUCGUUCAUCUAUAGAGUCUGAAUAUAAGGCACUUGCCGGUGGUGCAACAGAGUUGACAUGGAUUCCGUUCUGUUAUUUGAACUUGGUAUAACUUUAUCUGAUGCUCCUAUCUUAUGGUGUGACAAUAUUGGUGCGGCCUAUCUUUCUAUUAAUCUGAUAUUCCAUGCUCGCACUAAACAUGUGGAAAUUAUCUGUCACUUUGUUCGUGAUAAAGUUGCUCGAAGAGAUUUAUCUGUGAAGUUCAUCUCCUCAAAGGACCAGUUAGCUGAUUUGUUCACAAAGCCUUUAGCAUAUGAAAGGUUUAAAUUUCGAUGUUCCAAACUGAUGGUAAGCUACCAUCCAUCAGCUUGCACGGGGUAUUGGAACACCUAAGUCUUGUCGUAAUAUUGCCGCAAGUAAAUCCGAUAAGAUUGAAUCUAAUUCAACUCCAAGACAAACUCUUUUGGAUACUAGUUAGAGUUGUAUUAUAUCUCUAUGAGCCUUACCCUUUGUUGUAGUUAGAACUCUCUCUCUAUGUCCUUGUAUAUGUUAAAUAUAGUAGGAAUAAAAAGUUAAGAAAUAAUACAUACGGCAAGUUCUUGAUUUUAUACACCCCAACCCAUCGUGGUCCUCGCCAUAAGGAUUUUCUGCUAACCAACUGUCUUCCUCUUAACACGUGUCACAUACAACAAGUUGUUCUUGGAAAUUAAACUCAUGACCCUUGUUUUGAUACCACUUGUUAAGAUCAAAUCUAUAUAAUCGUGCCAAAAGUUACACAUCGAUCUCUUUAUAUAACACCUGCAUGUUAAAUGUUUUUUUAAUGAACUUUUCGAAUUACAAUCUAAAUAUCUGAAUUUUUGAGCAAAAAACUUGUGAAAAAAUAUUUGAUGGUGAUCUAAAAUAUAGCAAGUCAUUACAAAUGUCAGAUAACAACCUAAUUUCCAACGUUAUUCGAAAGAAUAGUUUUUCGAAAUUUAUAUUUGGACAACUUUUUAAAUAUAGAGACAAAAUCUUAAUCGUAAAACUUAAAAAUAACAAAUCUACCUAAGAUUUUGCUAAUGCUUCUGACAGGUAAAAUAUAAGCUAAAUUUCAAUAGACUUUCCUUAAUACCACAAACCUUGGUACAUAAUUUCCCUUCAUGGAACAUUAGUGCUUGAAUUUUAAGCUUAAACAAAAUGAAUUCACAUGCCAUUUCGUAUAAUAAUAGCUGUAUCGUAAUAGGUAACCACUAUUAUAAUUCAGAACAAGAAAAGAAUAUUGCAUGCAUGUUCAGAUGAGGUAAUGUAAAUUAUCAGGAUUUAGGGAUUUUGAGUAUUCAUGAAACACACAUAUUGACGCUCAAAGUUUUAAGAUUCAGCUUGAAACCAAAGCACCCAGCUAUCUUCUUGAUUUCAUGGGUGUUUUUUUUUUAAGCUUAUACCAAUUUUUAUACUUUUUUACAUAAUUAUACAUACUUUGUAUCAAAUUUAAGGGGUGCCGAAGCAACAAAAAAAUGCAUAUAGGUCCGCCCCUGAUAGAGGUAGAGUCUAAUAGGACGAGGGUGUUCAUCCAAAUCUCUAAUAACGAAAAAAUAUUGUACGAUUUUUGAAUGUUUAAAAUUAUUUUUAGAUAUAUAUUAUAUACUUCCUGAACUCUCUUUAUUUUCUUGUUUAUUUACUUCUUUAUAUUUAAUUCCCUUGAUGAAAUUCUGACUGCACCACCAUAAUAUAAACCUAUAAUAAGUCAUCAAAAACAGAAACAACGCGCAAACAAUUAUUCUAGUCCACAAUGAUUAUGAAUAAACUAAGCUUUAAUUUAAUUUCCAGCUCAACAAUUAGUGUUGCCCAAUUGCCCAUCUUCCUAUAAUGUUCACAAAUAAAUAAAUAAAUAAAUAAACAAUAAUUCCCUCUCUAUAGUCCACCUAUAAAAACACUCCUAAACCAAUCCAACAAAUCAUCAUAUCUUACUCAUUUCUCUUCAACAAAAACUUUCAUCUAAUUUGAAAAUGGCUAAUUCCCAUUUACUUCUAAUUUCCAUUUUAAUUAUGGGCAGUUUAGUGGCUGCCUUAGCUGCUGGUAAUUUUAAUGACCUUACAGAAAUUACUUGGGGUGAUGGACGUGGUAAAAUAUUAGAAAAAGGCAAAGGCCUAUCUUUGUCACUUGAUAAUUAUUCCGGGUCGGGUUUUCAAUCCAAGCGUGAAUAUCUUUUUGGAAGAUUCGACAUGCAACUCAAACUUAUCCCUGGAAAUUCUGCUGGCACAGUCACCACCUUUUUUGUAAGUCAUUCCACUUUUUCUCAAGUCGAAUUAGUUGAUUGUAAAUAACUGAUAAACGUGUUGAAAAACAUUUUUGAGUCAUUUGAUUUAGUUGAUCGUAAAUAAUUGAUAAACGUGUUGAAAAACAUUUUUGCAGUCUUUUUGUAUAAUUACUAAUUGUUUUUGCCGUUGUAAAAACUAGUGGAGUAAUCACUACUAAGAAAAUCACUAUUUUUCUUUUGAAUUCGUAUGAAAAAGGUUUGGUGGCUAUUUCCACUGAUAUAUUUUGAUUGAAUCAUGAGGAAACAGAAAAAAGUAAUGUUAUAAGAUAGGGACUAUUAAUUAAGUGAUCAUUUAAAAAUCAAUUUUAUUUUCAACUUCUAUAUACAGUAAGAAACUUAUUUUUAGUGUUCUAUAUACAGUAUAGGUAAGAAACCUACUUUUAGCGGUGAAAAUUCCAUAAUUACUUUCAUUAAUUUUGUACUAUAUGUUGUAGAUUAUUUUUUUCUUUAUGCUUAUUGUUGAUUUGAGAUGAUCAGAGAUGUGUGAAGAUCGUAUUAGCAACAUAAAUUUUCACAUGAAAAAUUAGAAAGGUUCUCCUUCUUUCAAUCAGAAUCUGGAAGUGCAUCUCAAUAAAAUUAGUGGCUUAAAUCAAACUUUAAUAAAAGGCCACAAAUAUAUACACAUACAUAUAAAAAUAAUAUUAUAAUAAUUUAGAAUUAUCUUUAUUGUUCUUGCAUAUUAGUUAUUUUUUUGUGCAAUAUUUUUAAAAAAUAUAUAACCUUUAACUUCACAUAUUAAUAUAUGAUUAUUAAUAAAAUUAAAGAUUAAUUCUAGUUGAUAAGAUAUUAGUUGUUUAUUUGCAAUACAUUAACUUGUAUGUUUUUGUUAAAACUUUAUUUAUUAAUAUGAAGUUUGAGUUAUUUAAUUCAAUGUUCUAAAAUAUUUCUAGUAAAAAUUAGAUAGUUUUUUCUUUCUUUUGAUUUUUAUAUAAUUUUUUUAAAACAUACUUCACAAUCUUCAUUAUUAUUUCAAGUUAAGUUGAAAUCAUAAAAUUUACUAUUAAAAAUUUUGAGGCCUCAAAAUUUUGAGCGGCUAAAGCGAUCUACUAGUCUUAUCCUUAAUCCACUCCUAAAAUCUAUUUUCUACUAUGCAUUUUUCCAGUGAUUAUGUUUACAACACAAAUUUCUAUGUCUAAUAGGGAGUAACUAAGUUGUGCAUGUUAAUUUGUGUAGCUAUCAUCACAAGGAGCAGGACAUGAUGAGAUUGAUUUUGAGUUCUUGGGUAAUGUGACUGGAGAGCCUUACACAGUGCACACCAAUGUUUAUUCUCAAGGAAAGGGAAACAAAGAACAACAAUUUCACCUUUGGUUCGAUCCAACUACAGCAUUUCACACUUACACCAUUAUCUGGAACUCUAACCGCAUAGUGUAAGUCUACUUACAUAUAUAUAUAUAUAAUCGCAUUAUUAUACAUCAUCUAUCUUAUAUUUCAUUUAUAUAUUUUUUUCGUUUAAAAAAGAAUGAUAUACUACUUAUAUAUUCAUUUGUUCUAAACAGAAUAAUGUAUUUUAAAAUCUGAAGAUAGCUUAAUUAACUUGAACUUCUCAUUUACCCAUUGAUAACAGUAGUUUUGUGUUAUAAUAUAUGCUGUACUUAAAAUCACAAAUUUCAAAGUCACUACUCAUUCUGAUGGACGGAUCUAUUGGAAAUUGGCUAGACGAAAACUUCUUUGACCGACUUUUUAUUGAAAAUACCUUAACGACAGGCCAAUUUUUUAUGAGAUAUCCAUUAGAAACUAGCGUAUUUUUUAAAGUGAGUUUUAUAUUGCAACAUGCCAACACAUAUAUUACUAAUUACUACCAUAUUUGAGAUUACAAUCAAACGACAUGUGUCAUAUCACUAUAUCAGGGGUGGAUCUAAAGUGUGUCUCAUAAAUUCACAUGAACUUAAUAACUUUUCCUCAAAUUUUAUUAUGAAAUUACUGAAUAUUUAUAAAUAUUUUACCAUGAAUCCAAUCACUACUUAUAUUUAUAUUAAUUUGAAUUAUAACCGUAAAAAAAUAUAAAUUUUAAAUUUUAGAUCCGUGUAUAUAUGUUACUCACAUCACAUGUUUCAUCAUGAUGAAUCAGGUUCUUGGUAGAUAACAUCCCCAUUAGAGUAUACAACAACCAUGAAACUAUCGGAAUUCCAUUCCCCAAAUCCCAACCCAUGAAAGUCUACUGCAGUCUAUGGAACGCAGAUGAAUGGGCUACACAAGGUGGUCGAGUCAAAACUGAUUGGUCACAUGCACCAUUUACUGCCUAUUACAGAAACAUCAACAUUGAUGGGUGCACUGUCACGGCCGGGGCCUCGUCAUGCAUGUCCACUGAUGCUUUAGGAAAUUCUAAGCCUUGGCAAAAUCAUGAACUCGAUGCUAAGGGUCGUAACAGGGUCCGAUGGGUGCAGAGUAAACAUAUGGUUUAUAAUUAUUGUGCGGAUUCUAAGAGGUUUCCUCAAGGAUUUUCUCAGGAGUGUAAGCGUUCAAGGUUUUAACGAAUCGAAUUUAAUUAAGUCCUAAGAUUUGAAGCUCGAUGGAUAAUGGAUGUAGCCUGGUUGGUUAUGGGAUUGAUUAUUUUUAUUUUGGUGGUGUGAAAUUCUUUAUUUGUUUUGUUUUGUUGUACCAAUAAAUGUUGGUUAAUUUAUUUUAUUUGAUUAAAUUAUAUGUACUUUUCAAGUUUAUACGUUUGUAGUGGGAGAAUGUGUCUGUAUUAUCAAUCCCUCGAUUUAAAUAAAAGAUACUGUUACCUUUAAAUGAGUUGUGAUAACUUCUAAAGGGAGCAAAUAUUGUUAUUAUGCCAAAACUUUUGAAGCAUUAUACUCAAAAUUAAAUUAUUACUUUACUUCUAUUAAUAAUAUAAAAAAGCUCACAAAUCAUAUAAGCUUAAUUACAUAGGAGUGCAAGCGAACUCCGCUUGUAUGAGCUUGCUCAUAUUGUCGGUCUCAACUCAAGUUUGGAUAAAGGAAGAGGGUUGUCGAGAGUUAAUUAUAAACAGUUUCUUCACCCCCUAAAGAUAAGAGUAAAGAUGAGUACAUCUUACCUUCACUAGACUUCACUUGUGAAAUUACAUUAAAUUUAUUGUUGUUGUCGUAGAAAAUGCAAGCAAAAACACAAAAUUGAGUUGACAGUAUUGAUCUCUUUUAUAGGGACGAUAUUCUAAAUUUUUUUGUCUAACCUCAAACAUAUAUAGUCACAGCUAAUUUUGUAAUCCUGGCCAUUAAUUCAAUCUAAAAGAUCAGACUUAUUUGACUACUUAACUUUUUGCUAAAUAUUUAUUCAUUUACUUGUACAUUUUGAAGUUGUAAUUAACGAAAAGCUAAGUAACCGUACCAAGAAUUGUGCUCACAAAUUACAUAAGAUACAACUUUUCUUUUAUAAUCAUCUAAUAGCUUAAACUCACAAUAGUAGGAUUGAAAAUGAAAGGUGCUUGAGCAACCCCUUCUUGUCACUAAUACAAAUUCACAUUACAUAAGUUACAACUUCUUUAAUCUGGAUUUCUCCAUUUAUAAGGGUUGAAUUUAAGACUUUUAAUUAACGAUAGAUGGAUUUCAUCCAUCCACUGCAUCUGUUAAUGGUGUUAUCUUAAGAAAAAAAGGUGAAAUUUAUGCCAUAAAUAGAAAUUGUAGUAGAGGAAGAAAUCUGGAUAUCUACUAGUAAUUUAUAUGUCCCUUUUAAUUUGAAACACCUAAAAAAGGACACGUCUUCAGAGUGGAAAUUUCGUACAAGAAGAUUCAUGAAUCAAUAUUAAAUCUAACUUUAAAUGUGAUAUUUCUACCCAAAGUCAACUCGAAUAAGGUUCAUAACACGACGAGUUCAUGGCAGGCAAUGGCAUAUUGGGUAUUACAAAAACACCCCAAGUAAUUUAAUAGUACAUAUUUAUUAAAUUUUUGUUGGCACUGAGCGGAAAAAAAAAAUACCAAUGUCACCGACAAUAUGGUCAGUUUUGAAAACGCUAGAAACGAUCUUUCAUGGACACAAAAUUUUUUAAUUCCUCAGUAAGUCUAGAAUGUUUGAACAGUUCUGACUAUAUGCCGCCCCUAAAAUUAGGAUAUCAACAAAGGUGUCGAUGCAAAUUUAAGAUUUGAAUUUUGUGAUUUUAUAUCUACCAUUUAUUGAGUAUAAUUUUAUAACUUUAUGCUCCACUUGGAAAGUAUCUGAGUAUGAAUUUCAUUUAGGUAGAAUAGUGUACUAAUAUAUUAAGAGCUACGGAUCCAAUGUAUGUUCCAACACCCCGUACGUCCGAAACCGCAGGCCCUCCAAAUCUCCAAACAAACAAAACAAACGCGUUACAUUUCAAAACAUCAUUUUCAAUCCUUUCAAUUAACAGCUAUUCUGCCUUCAUUUAAUAUAAUUCCCCCUUCUUAAAUCCUUCCUCCUAACUCUACUAUAUAUAUANNNNNNNNNNNNNNNNNNNNNNNNNNNNNNNNNNNNNNNNNNNNNNUAUAUAUAUAUAUCCAUCCAUCCUCCUUUCUGUCUCAAUCUCAACACACAUUCACAAAACAAUUAUCCAAUAGCACAAGCACAUAUACAUUGAUUAAAAAAAUGUUGCUGCAGCUCUCUAUUCUUGCAGUUCUCUUGUUAUGUCCUGUAUGGGCUGAAAAUUUCUACCAAGACGCGACGGUCACAUUUGGUGACCAACGAGCUCAGAUAUAAAGAUGCCGGACGCGUACUCGCCUUGUCCCUUGACAAAAUUUCAGGUUCUGGAUUUCAGUCCAAGAAUGAAUAUUUAUUCGGAAGAUUCGACAUGCAGCUCAAGUUAGUACCGGGAAAUUCUGCUGGCACUGUCACUACUUUCUACGUAAGUUAACACUCUUUUAUUCUCUUCUUAACUUGUGCUAGUGGUAACUAAUAAAACAUGUCCAAUUGAUGAAGUAAUUUUUUUUUUUGGGUGCUAUUUGCAGUUGUCUUCUCAAGGAACAGGGCACGACGAAAUUGAUUUUGAGUUUCUUGGAAAUUCAUCAAGACAACCUUACACGGUUCACACCAACGUUUACUCCCAGGGUAAAGGCAACAAAGAACAACAAUUUCGUUUCUGGUUCGAUCCCACCUCAUCAUUCCACACCUACUCUAUUGUCUGGAACUCGCAACGUAUCAUGUACGUUACAAAUUAAACAUCCUUUGAAUCUUAAGUCUAAACAGUUGCUAGAAGUACUUAGAGUUCAUGUCUGACAUUUUUCUAAUUGCCCAGAUUUUUGGUGGAUAAUAUCCCAAUAAGAGUAUACAACAACCAUGAAGCACUUGGCGUUGCAUUCCCAAAGAAUCAAGCAAUGAGAGUUUACGCGAGUCUAUGGAAUGCUGAUGACUGGGCAACACAAGGAGGGAGGGUGAAGGCGGAUUGGUCAAUGGCUCCGUUUACAGCUUCUUACAGGAAAUUCAAUACAAAUGCUUGUGUUUGGUCAGCCGCAUCCUCUACUUCGUCUUGUGGAGGCUCUAAGACUGACUCAGUGAACAAUGCUCAGACAUGGCAAACUCAAGAACUGAACGCUAAUGAAAGAAAUAGACUUCGAUGGGUUCAGCAGAAAUACAUGAUCUACAAUUACUGCACGGAUGCUAAAAGGUUCUCUCAAGGUUUUUCUCCUGAAUGCAAGCAUUCAAGGUUCUAAGGGAUUAAAGUCUAUGACUAUUGUCUGUAAAAUUCUCUUGUUCUUCUUUUCUAUUCUUUAAUUUUUGUCCUGGGAUAUCAGGAGAAAACGAACAUAGUGUAAUUAUUUGUGUAAGCAAUGUAUUAUUUAUUCUUUUUGUAAUCUUGAAAUAGAAAUAACAAUGAAUCAUUUUCCCUGCCAAGCCUGCGUAUCUUUGUCGCCAUCAUUGCCUUUAGGAAUCUCUUUGAACACACCCAAAGGUAGCUUCAUAGCCUGACAUACCCAGUGUGAUCCCACAAGUGGGGUAUCGGGAUGGUAGGAUGUGAUCUUACCUCUAAUUUCGUGGGAUAGAAAAGUUGUUUCUGAUAGACCCUCAGCUCAAAAGAAAUGUAAGGUAACUUCAUAUAGCCAUAUUUUGGUUAACUAUUGAAGGCUGUGUUGGAAAGAACAAGGAAAUUUAAAGAGAAAGUGAACUAGAAACAGAGCAAAAGAGAUGAAAAAACAACUCAUUGUUUGUAUUUUCUGAUACCUAAUGAAAGUAAAGAGACUUGCCUAUAAAUAGGCUCACACUAAAACUGAAAAAUAUUAUAAACUAGGUCCACUAACACACUAAUUACUAAUUGCCUACUAAUCUGCAAAACUAUCUAAAACUUGCUAGAAUAAAGGAAACUAACUACCAACUUCCUGAAGACUUGGUCAAGCUUUUUUGAAUCAUUUCUCAACACUCCCCCUUGAUUCAAAACUGCAAUCUCCAAGUUGACUUCUGAAGAACUCGUGCUUUGCUUGCGGAAGUGACUUGGUGAAGAUGUUUAUCGCUAGCUCAUUUGUAUCACACGACUUCUUUCUCAACACUCUCCCUUGAUUCAAAACUGCAAACUCCAAGUUGACUUCUGAAGAACUCGUGCUUUGCUUGCGGAAGUGACUUGGUGAAGAUGUUUACCGCUGGCUCAUUUGUAUCACACAACUUCAAAGCAAUUUCUCCGGCAGAAACAAGACUUCGAAUAUAGUGAUAGGGGACAUCUAUGUGCUUUGUUCUACCGUGGAAAGAUGGCUUCUUCGUCAUCGCAAUAGCAGAUCUAUUAUCACAAAAAAUUUGAGUCGCGCCAGAUGAUUUUUGAUUAAAAUCUGCAACAAGUCUCCUUAAUCAAACUACUUGACAAACUGUAGAAGUUGCUGCAAUAUACUCAGCCUCUGAAUUGAUAAGGCCACCACUUCCUGCUUCUUUGAACUACAUGAAGUCGCUCCGGAUCCGAGAUUAAACAAGAAACCAGAUGUGCUUUUUCUUUCAUCAAUGUUAUCUGCAUAGUAACUAUUAGUAAACUAGUUAAUGUGAAAUUUUUUACCUAAGAAUACUAAAUUCCAUGUUCUGACAUCCCAGGAAUAUAUCUCAAUAUUCUCUUUGCAGCUCCAAGGUGAAGUUUGCUUGGAUUGUGCAUAAAUCUAGAUACAACGCCGACAGAGAAAGCAAUGUCUAGCCUUGUAUGAUACAUGUAGUUCAAACCACCAACCAGACUUCUAAAAUAAGUUGCAUUUUCCAUUUCAGAACCAUCAUCAUGACACAACUUCUCAUUGAUAUUCAUCGGAGUAGUAGCAACAUUACAAUUUACCAUAUUGAAUCUUUUCAAAAGAUUGGUUGCAUACUCUCUUUGUGAAAAAAAUAUGCCAUCAACUUCCUGUUUCCCUCAAGACCAAGAAAAUAAUGCAACAUUCCCAAAUCAGACAUCUCAAAAUUCUUCAUCAUACAGUCCUUAAAUUCGGUGACAAUAAACUCACUUGAACCCAUAUAUAUCAUAUCGUCAACAUAAAGACAUACAAUCAGAAAAUUAUUUUUACCUCCUCUUUUUAUAUAAAGAGUAGGCUCAUUGUUACUCCUUUCAAAGCCAAUCUCCUGGAAAUAAGAAUCAAUUUUGAAGUACCAUGCCCACGGCGCUUGCUUUCAGCCAUAAAGUGCCCUUUUUAACCUGUAAACCUUAUUUUCUUUACCAUUAACUACAAAACCUUCAGGUUGUGAGACAUAAAAUUUCUCUUCCAAAUCACCAUUUAAAAAAGCAAAUUUAACAUCAAAUUGGUACACUGGCCAAUUUAAUUUCACAGCCAAGGCUAAAAAAGUUCUCACAAUUUCAAAGCGUGCAACAGGAGAAAAAGUUUUGUCGGAGUCGAUACCUUGUUGUUGAGAAUAACUCUUUGUGACGAGCCUUGCCUUGUGUUUUUGAAUGCUUCCAUCUGCAUGAUAUUUAGUUCUAAACACCCAUUGAGCCCAAUAACCUUCUUUCCUUUGGGCAAAUUUACCAAGUCCCGAGUCUGAUUCUUCUGAAUAGCUAACAACUCUUUUUCCAAAGCUUUGCAUCAUUUAUCCUCUCCUUCAGCAUCUUGAAAGAAAAUAGGAUCUGAAAUAAGUAAAGAAAAAGUACAAAAUAUACUGUCAGCAUAUCUGGGAUUUGGUUUCCUGUCCCUUGUUGAUCUUCUUAAUUGAGUUGGUUUAGCUAAAGGUUCUUCCAAUAUUGAAGAAGUAGCUGGUGCAAUUGAUGAGGUAGUCGAUGGACCUGCCAAAAAAAGAUUUGCCACACUAUCUUGAUCAACAAUAUCAUCAGAAGGCAACAAUUGAAUAUUUGAACUUUUAUUUUCAAAAUUAAAGUUCCAUCUUGCAUCUUCAUUAAACACAACUUUUCUAUUGACCGUAAUUUUUCCACUCACUGUAUUAUAUAGCUUAUAAGCCUUGGAUUGUGUACUAUAUCCAACAAAGAUACAUUUUUUAUAUUUUUUUUAUCAAGUUUACGUCGAUCUUGUGAAUUUACCAAAGCAUAAGCUAUACAACUAAAGACACGUAAGUGGCUUACCUUGGGCUUGUUACCUCUCCAAGCUUCAUAUGGUAUUUGAUUAUAAACUGCCUUGGUGGGGAAAAUAUUUAGCAAAUAGACAGCAGUGGCAACAACUUCAGCCCAAAAAUAUUUCAAUAUGCUUCUACCUUCCAUCAUGCUUCUGCCCAUUUCAAUAACUGUGUGGUUCUUUUGUUCGGCUACACCAUUUUGCUCUGGUGUAUAAGGUGUUGUGAUCUCCCGAUGUAUUUCAUUUUCUUCACAAAAGGAACUGAAUUCUUUUGACAUAAACUCAGCACCUCUAUCUGUCCGAAGUGUUUUGAGUCUACAUCCACUUGUCUCUCAACAAAAGAUUUAAGUUUCUUGAAAUUGUCAAAUGUUUCAGAUUUAAAUUUUAAGAAAUAUAUCCAACUCAUACGACUAUAGUCAUCAGUAAAAAGCCAAAAAUACCGACUUCCCCCUAAGGACUCAACACUCAUAGGACUGCACAAAUUAGCAUGUACUAACUUAAGACAAAUAAAAGCUCUCCAAGACUUACCUACAGCAAAAACCUUUUUACUUUGUUUUCCAUAAACACAACUUUCACAGAAAUCUAGAUUCUCAACUUUUGGCAAUCCAGAGACCAUUUCCUUUUGGCUCAAUAACCCAUUAACAUUUAAAUGCCCAUAAUGCAGAUGUCAUAGUCUAGUUUCAUUAUCACCACUAGCUACCAUAGCACAUUUCUCGAUCAUUGAAACUUCUAAAGGAAACAUUUUAUUGUUAGUCAUUGGAACUUUAGCAAUGGUUUUUCCAGAUUUCUUAUUUUUAAUAGUGCAAACACCAUCGUCAAAAGAAAUUGAGUAUCCACUAAUCAUUAAUUAUUCAAUGCUAACAAAUUAUGAGAUAGAUUAGGAACAAACAUCACAUCUUCUAAAAUCCUAGCAUUACCUUGGCUGGUCAUAAUGCUAACAACACCUUUGCCUUCAACCAAAAUUUUCUUGUUGUCUCAUAGCCUUACAUUUGAUUUUUUGGACUCAUCAAGCUUCUUGAACAAAGAUCUUGUUCCAGACAUAUGGUUCGAAUAUCCGCUGUCCAAAUAUCACAUAUCGUUAGGAGUUUAUUUUUUAAAAUAAAGGGUCAUGAACAACUUACUUUCAUCAUCAUUUUCCUCAGCAAAGCUUGCUUGGCUAUUUUCAUCCCUCUACUUUUGCCAACAAUAAGUUUCUUUAUGACCUAGUUUUCUGCAGUAGUUGCACAUAAACGUUCUGUUCUGCUUCUCUUCAUUUGAUCCUCCUCUAUCUCGACUUCUUCCACGACCUCUUCCUUGAAAUCCACCUCUGCCUCGGCCACGAUUAACAAAGUUUUCUAGCUUAUCUUUUUUAUAAGUGGACUCCCCCUUCACCUGAAAUGCCUUCUCUUUAUUUUUUUAAAGUGACCUUAGAAGCCUAUCUUCAUGAGCUUGCAAAGAACUCAUUAGUCCAUCAAAAGUAUAAUCAGAUAAGUUAUGAGAUUCCCCAAUCGUAGCAACAAUAUGUUCAAACUUUGGAGUAAGACUCCUUAAAACUUUUGAUACAACAGUUUCUUCAGAUAUAUCUUCACCAUAAGACUUCAUUUGAUUAACAAGACAAGAAACUCUAGACAAAUAAGUUUGAACAGAUUCAUUACUUUUCACAGAAAGAGUUUCAAAGUUACGACGGUAAGUCUGCAAUUUUACCGUAAUCACCUUAGCUGAACCUUGAAAUUCCUUCAAAAUAUUCCAUGCCUCCACAGACGUAGUUGCUGUUGCAAUUCUUGCAAAAGUUGUGUCAUGGACUGCUUGUUGAAUCAGGAACAAUGCUUUGGCGUCUUUCUUUUUAAUCCCUUUCAAUUUGUCUGCCUCUUCGUUAGUGCCUGCUUGAUCCACAAAGCCUGCUUCCACCAACUCCCAAACUCCAUGUGAUUUGAAAAGAGUUUUCAUUUUGAUACUUCAAAACUCAUACUUUUCACCCAGUAAAAAUUGGCAUGAAUGGCUGCGAAACCUCAUGAUUCACUGCUAUUUUUGUUUUGCUCUCACACUUUCUGUUAGAGUUGUGACCCAAAUUUUGUUGAUCCGGCCCUGAAAGUUUCGCGGUGCGACCCAUGUUUGUGAUUUUUCAUGGGUCUGUGGGUCCUAGGACUUAUUUGUAUGCACGUAUUAUAUAAGUGCAUUUAGUGGGUUGUUUUGGGUGUUUCAAAAAUACACAUCAUUGAGACUAUCGUCUCCACAAUUAUACUCCUCUCUAUUAUAGUGAAUUCUUCUGCUUCUAUCCGUGAUUUUUCCCGCAAGGGUUUCCAUGUAAAUAUGUAUGUUCUUGUUUUUCCUUUUGCUUAUGGUUUACUUAUUCUGUCUGAUUCAUACCACUUUCUCUUUCGUUCCACUCAAAUACUCAAUUGAUAUAAGCCUCAUGAUUUACUCAAUUUCAAAAGGAACCUGGCACUGAUACCAGAUUUGUUAGAAAGGAAAAGAAAAUCUAAAGAGAAAGUGAAUUUGAAAUAGAGUAAAAGAGAUGAAAAAAACAACUGAUUGUUUGUAUUUUUUGAUGCCUAAUGAAAGUAAAGAGACUUGCCUAUAAAUAGGCUCACACUAAAACUGAAAAAUACUAAAAAUUAGGUCCACUAACACACUAAAUACUAAUUGCCUACUAAUCUGCAACACUAUCUAAAACUUGCUAGAACAAAGAAAACUAACUACCAACUUCCUAAAGACUUGGUCAAGCAUUUUUGAAUCAUUUUUCAAUAAGCUGCUAGAAGGAAAUGAAUGUGAGAAGUUGGAGAGUAAAGAAAUGAAUACAAUUACUCAUCAUCUUUCACAAACAUAUGCUAUGACAAAAGGGCAAGCCAACAACAUCUCAUAGUUGUAGUUUAAUACAUCUUUAUUAAAUUUUUGUUGACACUGAAAGCGUAAAAGAAAUAAUAAAGCAAGGCCUAUAUCACAAACAUUGCAGUCAAUUUUGAAAAGGAAAAAAAUUCAUAAAUAACAUAUUUAAGGCCAUAAUUAUGAGAUUCAUAGCAACACUUUCAUAAUUAUCUAAAGUAGCAACUUGUAUUUUGUAUUUGAACAAACUGUUGCUAUAAAAAUACAUGUACAAAUCUUUUUACUGCCCAUAUUUAACUCAAAUCAGUUUAAAUGUAGAGAUUCCUCUUCCAAUUAAACCUCUUAAUGAACGUGAUUUUCGUUAUUUGUUACCCAGUGAAAUCAAAAUUCAAAUUUCAGUUUCAAAGUAACGUGUUCAACCAAAAAAAAAAUCAAAAUCAAAUUCAUCUGAAGCUUCUUCUGUUCAAAAUCUUCGAAAAUUUAAAUUCAACCAUUACCACUUUUAAAGGUAUGUAAUCGUAAAAUUUUUAUCUAAUAUGAAUUUCAUAAUGAACGUGAUUUUCGUUAUUUUCUACCAACUGAAAUAAAAAUUCAAAUUUCAAUUUCAAAUUAACGUUUUUAACCUCCCAAAAAAUCAAAAUCAAAUUCAUCUGAAGCUACUUCUGUUUAAAAUAUUCGAAAAUUCAAAUUCAACUAUUACUGUUUUUGAAGGUAUUUAAUCGUAAUUUUUUUUUUCUAAUAUCAAUUUCUUAAGUUGUUUGAAUUUGAUGAAAAAAAUUUCGUUCUUAAUGGUAAAAAAUUUGAUCCAUUACGGGUGUUUCGUUCAAAAUUUCUUUCUUAAUCAUACAAAAUUUGAAGCAUUACGGGUGAUUCAUUCAAAUUUUUUGUUUCAAUGAUAAAUUAUUUUUGAAGAUUUUGUAAGAGAAUUUUGGAGAAAAAAGUAAUGAAAUGGUAUAUUGAACUGAUCGAACAUGUCACGACCCGAACUGGGGCCUGGCCGUGACGAACAUCCCGAACCAUGAAAGCUCGAAAUGCCCCUCUUUAUCUGGUAAUCAUGCACAACAUUCAUAUAAUAAAAAAAAUAUGAAAAUAUAAUCGAAUACAGAAACAUGGUCAUACUCUGAAUUUAAUUUAACAAUGAAGGAUAAAACCUCAAUAUCAACAAAACAACAUCUGAACCAGUCUAUGAAAUCUCUACUACAUCUGAAAAUAACAACUAUCUGAAAACUGGGACAAGGCCCCCAGUAGACUAAAACCAUAAUAAGUAACAUAAUCUGAAAGACAUAGGCCUUCUGAAAUAAAGAAGGCUCACCAACUACACACACCACUGCUGUCUGAAAACUCUAUGGCUUAGCAGGACCUCUGAACUGAACUUUAGACCCUGGGAGGUAGAGGGGUCAAUACAAAUGUACUGGUACGUAGAGCAAAUCCAAAAUAAUAAUUUGUAUUCAACAUAUAUGAGAGAAAUUUAAAACAGUUCAUAAACAUAUCAUAUAGUAAGAAAUCUCAUGAGCAUUUUCGAAAGACUCUGUAAAAUCAUCUGAACUCUGUGACACUCUUUGUUUUACUUCUGCACUAGGUGGUAUACCCUACAAUUCUGUAAUUCCAUGGGCUAUAUGGAAUCUGCCAUUAACUCGGCAACCAAGCUCCCAACCCUAGUGUGCCAUAAGGGUCGGAGUCUCUGAAUCUACUACGCCACACGGCCGUCGCCAGCGUACAAUAAUAAUUUUCCCGUAUCAGCAAAUAUGGUUUUAGGUUAAGAGUUACUUGAACUCAAGCCUUCUUAUGGUAACCACCUAACUCUCUUUAUGCCCAUUUUUAACUCUUUAAAACAUGCAUUCUCUGAAAACAUAUUCUGAAAACAUUCUCUGAAGACAUACUCUGAAAACAUACUCUGAGAACAUACUCUAUUAUGGCAUACAUACUUAUGGUAUCGUCAUACCAUUGACUUGAAAGUCACAUCUUUGAGCCAUUAUUAGCAUAUUAGAAUUUCUGUCUCCAAAACAUAAAUAUGGGACCACCAUAUCAAUAAAUCAGUUCGAAGUACCCUUUCCUUAAAUACUCAUGUAAACACAUGUAUGCAACUCUCUUUGACAACAUUUCAAAUGAUACAAGGUGGUCAUGUAAAAAUUCUUAAUCUUAUGCAAAUCUUUCUCUCUUUAACAAAAUAUAUUUAUAUCAAGAAACUCCCUCUCAAAAUCUCUAAAUCAUGCUCAAAAUAUUAUGGUAUUUGAGUAAACUAUUUUCAAGCCAUAAAUCAUGCAUAUCAAAUCAUUCAAAAUAAGAUCACAAAUUUAAAGUCAUCACAACAGAGGGAUUUCAUAAUUUAUGCUCUCAAACAAUCUUCAAAUCUAAAUUUUUCAUACAUAUACAUAUACAUGUAAAUCAAUUUAAGGGGAAAGGCCUAAGGGCCAAAUCAACAAUGCAUUUGAACAUUUAUAUUGCAUAAUAAAAUCAUGUAUUUCAAAAUCCCUUUCUAAAAUCAUGCUUGAAAAUCUUUAAAUCAUGUUCUAGUAUUUCCAAGCCUAUGUAGUUUUUAGGAUAAACCCCACGUAUCUUAAAUUAUAAGAUCUGAAAUAUGGAACCUAUAUCUUGAUAGAUGAAACCCGGAUCUUGAUUUGUUUCUUGGAGAUCUUAAACUUAAGGCUUGAUUUUCUUGAAUUUCUUGUUCUUGGAGAAAACCCUAAUUUGAUCUUGUUUUGAGAGUGAAGAGAAAGUUUUUGAUGUUGUAAAAUUGAUAAUGAUUGAUUAACAACACUUAAGGGGUGAUUUAAUUAGUGUGAAAGAUUUUUGGAGUGAGAUAAAGACCAAAAUAUCCCUACGAAAUCACUUCCCAGUUGCUGAAAUUCUCAGCUGACGACCAAGCUGAAAAGCCGUCAGAUCUGUGACAAGCCGUCAGCUUUUGUCGUCACUUGGGAGUUGAAAUUGAUGGGUUUCUACCUAAGGCUGAUGACAUAUUCUGACAAAUCAUCAGAUUUGUGACAAGUAGUCAGAAUUAUCGUCACUCAGUUGCCAGGCUGAUAUGUUGGAGUAAAAUAGGCAUAACUUUUUUGCUCUGAUAUUGGAUUUUGGCAAAAUUGGUGGCGUUGCAAAAAGGACUCAAAUACCUUUAAUUUUAUAUAUAGUAGCCCCCCAGUUCUUCAUAUACAAGGAGUUAUGAUCGAUUGAAGUUGAUCUAAGUUUUGACUCUCACUAAAACUUGAACGAUAGGAAAGCUUUCAACUAGUCCUUGAGGUAAAGGACCUCUAUGAUCUCGACUCAUGACCAACUAGAUUCACACACUAAAUAAAUGAUUAACACACUAUAUUUGGAUUGGAUUUAUAGCUUUUGGAACAUCUACACGUAGAAAUGACGAUUUUUGUUCUAGCCCGAAAUGCGGGGUGUUACAGAACAAUGUAGUGAUCAAAAUCGAUUAAAUUGCUCAAACUCAAUUUUUUAUGGGUUCUGAUUCUCGAAAUUUAAGAGUAUAUUUGUAUUUUUGUAAAGUUUGAUUAUGAAUAUUUGGUUGUGUUCGAUUGCUGUUUUUUAUGGUUUUGCAUUUAUAAGUAAUUGUAUAUGUCUAUUAUAACUAUUCGCAGCCUACUGAAAUGUAUUUUUUUGUUAACACUAUUUAGGUGAAAAAUAGUAGCAAUGGAAAGCGUCCCAAUUCCUGUGAAUCAUUCUGGAAGGUGGAUAUAUGAAAAAAAUAUGAAGAGUACAUUACUGAUGCAAUAUUGUUGAGCAUGACAGCGUUAUACAAUCAACUAUAAAAUCUUUUGGCAUCUCACAUUAAUGUGGAUUUGAGCACCAAACGUAUUCAAAUUGAAUAUCAAAUCACUAAAAAUGUAGGACAAAUAGAAAUACAUAAUGAUUACUUGUAUAGUUGUAUAUUUGUAUUAGGCGUCAUAGUUAACAACAUAGUUUUUUAUGAAUUUGUCUAAAUGUAUUUGCUAAAAUAUAUAUUAUAACAACACAGAGUAAACUAUAUAGUAUAUGAAUACAUAGUAAAAUACAUAUAUGAAACAACUUAUGUAUUUAAUAUUAUAUGAAAACAGAGAAAAAUACAUAUAUAAAGCAACAUAUGUAUUUGGAAUUAUACGAACACAAGUAAAAUACAUAUAUAAAUUAACUUAAUAUAUAUAUAUAUAUAUACAGUGCAUAAGAAUAUGCGAAACCUUAUAUGUAUUAAACAUGUGUAUGUAAUGUAAACUGCAUAUGUAUUUUGAAGAUAAAUCUGAAUACUGGAUAUGUAUAUAUUGAAAUGUAAACUGCAUCCAUAUAUGUGUAUAUAACUGUAAACUUGAAUAAAACACAUACUGUAUAAUUAUUGAAAAUAUAUUCAACACAAGAGACUAAAAUGAAUAACUUUCGUUCACUUCAAAAUGAAUAACUUUCAUUAACAUCAAACAGAAAAUAAGUUCAAAAAACUAUUGCACUAAAUUACUAUCAACAUCCAGUUAAAUCUUGUCAAAUACAAAAUGGAAUAAAAUCAUCAACAAUCAUACUUCAAAUACUUCUAUGACACUUGUUAUGUUGCUUUCCCUAACAUGCCUCAAUGGUGCUUCAUCGUCACUUUGAGCUUUUGCUUCUUGUUUUCUCAUGCCGUAGUCCCACAAUAGUGAAGCAUAUCUUAUACGAAGUACGUUAGGAUUGAACUCAAUCGAAGGAAUGCAUUGACCAUAAGAAAGACAGUUUGCAUAUGUAACCAUAUAUAGUCCAUAACCCCAACUGCAUAUUUAAAGAAAAAGAAUACCCAAAUGUAUAUUUCAACAUUGCGAUAUACUAAAAAUACAUAACUAUUAUAAAAAAAUACAUAUAGGCAAAUACCUCUUCAUAAAUAGUUCAUAUAUAAAUGUAUUUUUCAUAUUUACAAAUUAGCAUAUGUAUUUAACAUAUAAAUACAAAUAAAUAUAUAUUACCCUAAAAUGUAUAUGUAAGCUAUCAACUUCACCAAAAUACAUAUCAGCUUCACCAAAAUAUAUAUUCGUAAAUACAUAUCAGCUUCACCAAAAUACAUAUUACCCCAAAAUGAUAUCAGCUUUACUGAAAUCCCUAAUACAUUUCAGUACAUAAAAAUACAUAUACACCGAAAAAUACCUCUUCCUCCUUAUCUUAUUCCGAUUCAUUAUCAGAAGAAUUUUUAAUAUCAUCAUGUACAACAUUGCUUGAAUCUUCAAUUUCUUUAGCUAUCCUUUUCUUCUCAUAUUUUUGUAAUUUUGUGGCUUUUGGAGAAGGAAUUUUUUUCAACAACAACUAUUACUUCUCAUUAUUGAAAAAUUAAAAAUAAUUUCAAUAACCUAAAAAUGACCAAAUUCAAUUCAACAAAAACAGUUAAGAUCCUUCUUCAACAACAAUAACUACUAUUGCUUCUCAAUGUUGAAAAAUUAAAACCAAUUUCAAGAACCAAAACUGACCCAUCAACCCAAAUACACACAAAAUGCAAAUCAAAAUUCAAAAAUAUAAAUUAAAAGUAAAAACAAAAAGAGCAAAAAAGAAUUCAUACCUGGAGAAAAUGAUGAAUUUCAAGAAAAAUAAACCCAAAAAAUACAGCAAAUUCGUAGUGAAAUUUAAAAAAAAAAAAGGGGGCUAAAUUAAUAGUAGAAGAAUUUGAAGAAGAAAAGAAAACAUAGGAUUUAAAUUUGAUUUUAAUGGAAUUCCUAGGCUUUUUAGAUGUUUUUUUUUUUUAAGUGGAUGAAUAAUUGAAGCGUAAAAAAAUAGUUAAAGGAAAAAAAUUUGAAAGAGAAAACUGAGAAAAAGCGUGAAAAAGGUAAAGUAAAAAACAAUUAAAGAAAAUAAAAAUAUAAUUGGCAUGAAAAAAGAACCAUUUACAUGGUAACUUUUUAAAGAGGAUCACUUUUAAAAUAAUGUUAUUUUUGUUACGCAAUGUACUUUCAUUAAAGUGUCACUAUUGUUAACAAUUUAAGUCUUAAGUAUGCUACUUCAUGUAGUUUUUCCUUUUGAAAACGAUAAAAAUGAGUUUUCAUAGGGACAAACUUCUUGAUCCUUAAUUCCUGUGUAGGUUUGAAUGGUCUAGAUUAUACGCCCCAGGCACCUGAAAAUAGAACGCAAUCAUUCAGAGAUUGAUCUAGAAUUUAAUUUUUACUGUGUUUACCUUUAAGGUUUUUAGUAUUUUCUCUGUUAUAAUUUGUCAUGAAUUCUUAUCUAUUGUUUGUUACGUUUUAUUAGAUUUGGUGGAAUAGCUUCAGAGACUCUUAUACUUAUUCUGGUUUGUCAUUCUGGACCCUUUACUUCACGGAGUUUCUUUUCAUCUAGACCCCUGAACCUAUUCAAAACAAGCAUUUUAAACACCUCCGACCAUUGACUAAAUAUAUGUGACAUCAAACAUUUUAAAAAGGAAAAAAGAAGAAGACAACACAAAAUAAUUCACAAUUCUCAACCCCAAUGUCAUCUUCUUCACCCUCCCCUGCCCCUCGAACGAUAUGACAUUAAAUUAAUUGGCUGGACCUAUUGCGUCCUUCACGUCAAGGCAAGUGUGCAACAUUCAACGUCAAUAGUGUUCUAAAUUUUUACUUUGAACAAGCUCAAAAGUCUAGAUAAAACUCCUGUAGAAUAUAGGAUUGAAUUGACAAAUCAAAAUAAGUACAAGGAGCUCCAAGUUAUUUUGCCUUGAAUGUUUACUUAUAAAUUUUUAGACCGCAUGGUUCAAAUGAACCCGUAUUGCAAUGAUGGAUCCACCCUUUGAACAACACGAUCAUACAAAAAACAAAAAGCCUGAAACAAUUAACGCGAUAGGUAGAAUAUAUUAAUGUCAAUCUUACCCUUUUGGUAAGGGCAUUUCCAAUCCACCUCUAUUUUAUCCUCUAUACUCUAUAUUGGGGUUGGGUUAGGGGGAGGGGGAAUAGAGGGUGCAACUUCAAUCACCCUUCAAAAUCCCCUAUUCAUUUUUCUCUAUUUUAUUUUUGAUUAUAAUUUUAAUAUUUAAACUGUAUAACAUUUGUAAUUUAACAUAUUAUAAAUUAAACUCGAUAAUUUAUUAAGUCUCUAGUAUUCAUAAUUAUUUUUAAUAUAAUAUUUUUAUUAUGUUAAUUUUAAAUUUUAUUAAUAUAAUUUUUGUGUAAAUGGUGGUAGAUGAAAAUUAUCUAUUUGAACAAUUUUUAGUUAGACACUAGUAAACUGAUUCACGUUUCGCGCGAUUACGAAAAAAGGUAAAAUAUCAAUAAUAUUAUUAAAUACAAUUUAUAUAAUUUAAUUUGAUGAAAUGUUUAGUAGACUUUUAGCAUAUGUAUAAUUUAUUUUGUAGAGGUGAAUAUUUGGCAAGUAAUUACCAAACUUUUAAUAAAGUUAAAAAGUUUCAAUUCUAAAUCAAAAGAAGCUAUAAACUUAUGACAAUCAAAAACUUAUAUAAAAACAAAAUAAAGAGAAAUCAUAGGGAGAAAAUAUGAAAAAAUAAAUAAUGUGACUCAUUUUUACAAGCUCAACCAUCAUAAAAAAAUAGAAGAAAAAAAUGUGAAAUUAAUGGACAAUCUUUCGAGUUUUUGUCGAUAUCCACUCCCAUAAUACCGAACACCACUUAAUAGUCUUCAUCUAAUUUUUUGACUGAGAAUGAAUAUAAUAAAUAUAAAAAACAUAACAACUUAAAAAAUAAUGCGACCAUUUCUAAAAAGUCUUACAAUACCUCUAUUUAAGGGCUAACAAUUAACAAUUUAUAACAAAAGAGAUUUGAAGAAUAAUACUCAACCGCAUGCCUACAUCUAUAUAAUGGAUAUUCCGUGUUAGUGUUUGGGUGUGUUCAAAUUUCUUAGUUUGUCUAUAUAUUUUUUAUAUGUUAAAGUUGAAUUUUGAAUUUUAGUAUUAGUUUGUAAUGCUUGAUUUUUCAAAUUUGAAUAUUUUAUUAAUUUCCAAAAAUAAAAGUAUACAUGUUUUUAGUUUUAACAAGUACAUUUUGAAUAUGAAAAAUAAAUAAUGCAACAUCACUCUUAUGACCUUAAUCAUUAAAAAUUAAAAUUAAAAAAAUAUAUGAAUCUAUGUUCAAUCUUCAUAACUCUUGUCGAUAUUCACUAUCACAAGUCAAUCACUACUAAAUAGCCUUCAUCUUAUACCUCAAGUCAAAUUUUAACAUGGAUUUAAUAAGUAUAACGCCAAAAGGUAAUGCAAUUAAUGUUUACAAUGUCUUACAAUAUUUCUAUUUGUAAACUAUAAUUUGAAAUAAUAAAUAAUGUCAUGAAUAUGGCUAUUACUUAUUUUAGGGGUUAUGAUAAUAAAAAAUUUUGGUGACUUUUUAGUUUCUUAACAUUGAAUAUUUAAUAUAAUCAAGAGAAAUAAAUAAGUGAUUUUUAAUUUAUUUUAAUCUAGAACAUAAAUGAAAAAAAAUAAAAAAAAUCCCAAAAAGAGAAUAAAGAUAAACUUACUUCUUGACCAAAGAAAAAUGUCAUACCUAUUCUUUUAUUCCUACCUUUAUUACUAGUAGUAGAUUGUAUAUUUUAAAAAAUAAAAAAAUUAUAUAACAAAAUAUCAAUAAAUUUUUAUUUUAGCAAUAAAAGAAUCAAUUGAAGAGUAUUUCAUGUUUUCCUUUGAUACAGAGUGUAAAAUUAUGUUAUAAAGUCUUGUUUUUGAAGAAUACAUAUCUUAUUUUUGGAGAAAUAAUCAAUUAAAAAUUCUAAAAUAAACAACAAUAAUUAUAUUUAUUCAUAUAUAUUUCUUAAUCAUUCAAACUUCUACUUUUUGAAUGGGUUCAAUCUUUUGCCACAACCUUUUUAAUUGACUGACAUAGUUUAAUAUUAGGUUAUGAGAUGUAAUUUUUUUUUUUUUUUUGAUAUUUUAAGAAAACAUACUCAAUUGAGGCGUUUAAUUAAGAAACUUGAGUUUUAAAUAAGAAAAUAAAAUGAAAAAUCAUGAGGAUUAAAAUUAAAUAAAUGUGAACUUUAGUGAUAUACCACAUAAUUUAAAUUAGAGAGAAUUGAAUAAAAAGAAGAAAAAUGCUCUAUUACUUCUAAGUGGUUUAUAUGCUCCAUUGCUUUCAAUAAUAACCUUAAAGUUUUUUUUAUGUCAAACAAUAAACCUUUAUUCAAGAUUUUCUUCAAUAUGUACACCAGGUUUUUCCUUAUUUCAACAUGCAUUAAAUUCAUCUAGCCAAAUAGAAACCUUAGUCACUAUCCAAAGACAUAAUAAAAAAUUUAUAAUUAAUUAAAAUGAGAUCAAAAUACCUUCUAGUAUAAAAAUCAUAUCCAAAGUAAUAAACUCAACUCACUAUUUUUCUCUAUAAUAACGGAUUCUCACAUUCUAAAAACUCCCUCAUAAGUCAAUCGUUUCUACUACAAUUUGUAAAUCAAGAAAGAAUUAAAAAAACAUGUGUUGCAUAGGUAGAAAGAACUUGCAGAAAAAUAUAAUAUUCAAAAGGGACAAAAAAAAAAAGAACAAAAAUAAAACAUGUGACCUUUAAAUUACCUGUUUCACAAUUGGUUUAGUGAGAAAAUCCAAACAAAAAAUAGUAAGCAGAAAUACAAAACUUAAGCAACUAUUAAUCUAAAAGGCGAUAUUGUUGCUUAAACUUGCUUUGUACAACUCUAUCUUUUAUAUAUGCAAAGGAAGGUGGAAAUGAACAUUGUAACAAUAUUGAAGAAUUUUCAGAUUAUGCACUAUCCCAUUUCAAUGGAGUAUUAUAUAUUCACUAUAAGAGACUUUCCACAUUACUAACUCCUCUACUCUUCCUCAUUCUUAAAAUUAUUAUAUAAUUAAUAGAGUUAACUAUAGUGUCUUUUGAAUUUUCUUUAAACACAUAAAUAUUUAAAGGAAAAAAAAACUCAAUUAAUGUAAAAAAACACAAAAAAGAUAAAUGACAUUGGAGGCCUCUAAGGCAUGCCACAUAAGAUGGACUAACAUUCUCUUAUAUAUAUAUAUAUAUAUAUAUAUUGAUUAAAAAAAAUAAGACAAAAAUACUCAUUUUGAACUUCAUAAUGGAUUAAUAGAGCAUUUAUGGGAGCAAUGUUUUAAUCUUGAAAGUUGAAUAUAUAUAUAUAUGUAGAAAUACUAAUUUUAUCAUGAUGUAAUAUUAUUUAAAUGUAUUUCAUCAAUGAUUCCACUUAUUUGAAUUGCUUAUUAAUAUGAAUAAUAGAUAAUAUUUGCUUGCAAUUUAUGUUAAUAAAAAUUUGGAGUAAUAAAUAAUUAUGAAAUAAGAAAUAUAAAUAAAUAAAAUAAUAAGAAAGAUUUAAGUUAUGAAAUAAAAAGUAUAAAUGAAAUAAAAAAAAUGGCAUGAUAUUAAAAAGAGAGAAGUUUUUUUUUUUUUAAAGUGUAAAUAGAAUUGUGAGUUAGAGUUGGUGUUCUCCAAAUAUAGAAAAUCUCUAUAUGUAGAGGGUAAAAUUAGGGGUGGGCGUUCAAUAUUUAGUUCAAAAUUUUCAAAGUUCGAAUUCGGUAAUCGAUAUUUGAACGUAGAUUCAACAUACCUGUCACGACCCGAAUCGGGGCCCUGGCCUUGAUGAGCAUCCCGAACCAUGAAGGCCCAAACGCCCUCUCUAUCUGGUAAUUAUGCACAAUAUUCAUAAAUUAUAAUAGAAGAUGGGGAAUUGUAAAUCAUUACGGAAACAUGGUCAUACUCUGAGUUCAAUUAAACUAUGAAAAAUGAAAUCCAAUAUCAACUACACAACAUCUGAACCAGUCUACGAAAUCUCUACUACAUCUGAAAAUGACAACUGUCUGAAACUGGGACAAGGUCCCCAGUGGACCUAAAAAUAAAUAAAUAACAUAAUCUGAUAGACAUAGGCCUUCUGGAAUAAAGAAGUCUCACCAACUGCACACAUCACUGCUAUCUGAAAACUCCACGGCCUAGCAGGACCUCUGAACUGAGCUUUAGACCUUGGGAGGAAGGGAGGUCAAUACAAAUAUAUAGGUACGCGAAGAAAUCCAAAAUAAAGCUUGUAUAUAAAUAAAAUAGUUGACAGAUUGUCAUAAUCAUCAUGAAAGAUGUCAUAAUCAUCAUGAAAGAUAUCAUUUCAAAACACAUGGGCAUUUUUGAUAAUCAUAAAACUUUUCUGUCAAUGCAAUUUCUGAGCGUUGUAUUACUUCUGAGUUAGGCGUCACUCUCCUAUGAGUCUGAUAUUCCACGGGAUAUAUGGAAUCCUCCAUUGACUCGGUGGAGAAGCCCCCAACCCAAGUGUGUCGCAAGGGUUGGAGUGUCUGAGUUUGAUAUGCCACAGGGCACUAGGCCAGCAUAGAAUAAUAUACCCGGAUCGAUAAAUAAUGGUUUUGGGCAAUGAGUUGUCUGAACUCGUGCCUUCUUAGAGGAACCACCUUAGCUCUCUUUAUGCCCAAUUUAGUCUGUUUUGAAACAUGAAUCAUUCUAGUUUCAAAAUCAGAGAAUCUGAUUUCAAAUAUGCAUUUUAUUUUGUUCUGAAUUAAUAUGGCAUUAUCUGAGUUGGUGUCAUCACAACAAGAUUUGUAAGUCCUAUUUUUGAGCCAUAAUGCAUCAUGCAUUGUUUUUUCAUCAAAAAUCAAUUCAGAUCACCCAAACAUGCAAAUAGUAUAAGAGAUUUCAUGUUUCAAAAGCACAAGUCAAAACUGUGCAAAGAUUAUCAUUCUUUCAAUAACAAUGUGGUGGUUCUGAAAUCUUUGUCAAACCAUGCAACUCUUUCUCUUAGAUAUUCAUAUUCAAUAUUUAUCAAUACAAACAACCCUCUCUUUUUGAAUUCAAAAAUCAUAUUCAAGUCAUAGAAAUAAUCGAAACAUUUCAUACCAUGCUUUUCAAGAUGCAUUUCAAAACAAUUCAUAUCAUAUGAAAGAUGAAAAAAUCAUAACAAGAGAGGAAUUCAUUAUAAUUCAUGCUCUUAGUUGACUAUUCAUCCUUAAACACAUGUAUACAUAUAUAUAGAAUUUCAAAUCAAUUUGGGGAAAGGCCUAAAGAUCAAAACGAUGUCAUUGAGACUUCUAAAACAUGAUUAUAAAUCAUAAAUCUAAAACCCUUUUUCUUAAAAUCAUGAUAUCUACGCCCAUGAGAUUUUUAGGAAAACCCCACGUACCUUAAUUUAUGACUCUUGAAUGAACUCGUGCUUUAGGGAUGCUAUUCAAACAAUUGAUGGGUGCUUCUUGUAGCCCUCAAAAUGGGGAUUUCGAAUCUCAAAGAAUUAUUGAAAACCCAUGGUGAAAUCUUAAGAUAUUUUGAUCUUUGGGUUGAAACCCUAAGAAGUGUUCUUGAGAGAAUUUGAGAGAAUGAGGGUAUAAUUUGGUUAUUGGAUGCUGAAUCUGAUGUUAUUGGGGCUAUUUAAGGGUGGAAAAUGACCCAAAUACCCCUCUUGGAAGCGGAGCUUGACUGCAGGAAUAGGCAGGGCACUGCCUCGCUUAUCGCCCUAGCUUACUGCCUCUCAUGAAAAUGGCUGUAACUUUUCAUUUAGGUAUCAGAUUUUAGCAAAAUUGAUAUUGUUGGAAAGCUAAUUCAAAGAGCUUUCAUUUGAUAUAUAGCAGGCCCUCUAAUUAUUUAUAUACAAAGAGUUAAAGUUGAUUGAAGUUGACCCAAAUUUCGACGCUCACUCAACUCGAACGAUAGGAAAGCUUUCAACUCGUCCUUAAGUUAGGGGACCUCUAUGAUAUCAAUUCAUGCUCAAAUAGGUUCCCACACUCCAUAAUUUAUUAACAUGCCAAAUUUGAUUAGGAUUUAAGGCUUUUAGAUCAUCUACGAAUAGAAAUGACAGUUUUUGUUCUAGCCCGAAAUGUGGGGUGUUACAUUAUCUCCCCCUUGGGAUCCUUCAUCCUCGAAUGAUGGGUAGGAAUGUUGAAGCUUAAAGGUAUGGAAUAGCACGGUCAUGGUGUGUUUUCUAAGAAAGGAUAUAACCGAUCUGAAACAUUUAAACUUCUAUCAUGAAACUGAAUUCUGAGUUGACUUGACUUUACUUGCUUUAAGUAGCUGAUUCAUGCUGAGAAUUUAGGAUUCUCUUGAAGUGUUCGUGAUCCAAUCAUAUAUAUUGAAUUGAGAAGUGAUAACUUGUGCAAGUACGAACCAUGAGGCAAUAAGACUUAGACUGUACCAGGGUAUUACACUAUCUGAGCUAAAAUACUUGGAAAAUCUUUUUGAGAUUAUGUGCUGAACUCUUAUGAAUUGAUUCAUGACUAAAUAGCUGAAUCUGAAACAUGAUGCUUGGACUGAACUAAAUUUGCAAUUUACAUGGAUGAAAUAGAUUAUCUCUUGGGAUGGUAAUACGCAUGAGACUUCGAAUAGUAGGACUGGGUGAAAAGGUGGAAAACUACAGUAACUUGUCUGCCUGACUAUUAAACUGAAUUACAGACUGAAUUAUACUGGACACUUAUACUUAACUGGAGUAUCUCUUCAUCACUCUUUCUAAAGAAGUUCAAAAGUUCAAGUAGCAUUAUGGAGCAAAGAAUCUUGGGCAUAAGUUACACAAGACAUCCAACUAAGGAAUCACCACAAUAACACUACUAUAUAGCAUGGAAUAAGGACAUAUAACUCAUAAACUAAGAUAGAAUUUCCAAGCUUUAGGCGAUGCAACUUCUUACUUCCAAGCUUAGCACACUUCUCGAAUACUCCCUUAACUAUACUAUUCCCCUUAAAUACCAUACUCAUUUGAUUCAACUUAUAAUUCUUAUAUGGACAUUGAUAACUCUUUCUACGAAUGUCUAAAGUAGCUUAAAUCCUUUCACUGUGAUCAAGCCUAAUUCUAAAUCACAAAAUACAACAUGCCACACUACGAUACUAGUCUAAACAAUAUGAUUCAAUCUUCUAUAUCCUCUUUAGAGAUCACACCCUAAGAUUAACGUGCCUUAUCACUUCAAUGACCAACUCUGAACUCUUACUAUGGAUUCACUAGUGCAUAUUGCGUUUCUCCACUUAAAUCCCAACAUGACAUUCAAGCCCAUCUUUAAAACCAUGUAUGAACUUCACAAAAAACACCUAUAAAGACAUACUUCAUAUAUAUUCUUUAAACCACUAUCAAUACAAAUCACAUGCUCUACCCCGAGAAUAUACACACACAAAAAAAUUUCUACUAACCAUCACAUGUAUCAAAGACUUGGCCCCAAAUCUUACUUCAUACUUAUGGCCUUAUCUAAAACAAGCAUACAAUGAUCUUUUAUCAACAAGAAACAUUCACUCAUCACCAAAAUCAUUACAUAAAGAGGAAUCACAAAAAGGUUAGAACAUAAGACCUUGAAGCAUGGAAGGAUACUAUACAAAACUUGACACUUAACUAUGGAUUCAUCAAAGUGAUCUGAAUUGGGGGCAUACCUGGCUAUAAGCAGAAUCUCACCAAUCAUUUGGCGUGUAGCAUGAGUUAUGGAAACCGAGCACACUAUACAACGCGAGUACAUGAGUCAUGAGCUGCAUGACCUCACUUUUUGGAGUUCAUAACUUAUGGACUGUGAUUUCGACUAUUAAAAGAACUGAAACCCCUUAUUAAGGGACUGGAAAAGCACCUGAUCCUUUAUCAUAUGCAUGAACGUAAACUAUGAUCAUGGAACCAAAACGUAAGGCAUGAGUAGGUAUUGGGAUAAAUGAAAAAUACAGAAAUAAGAAUGGAUUGAGCCUCACCCUCACCUUUUGAUGUUCUAUAUCAUACUGGCAUUCUACUAGAAUCUGAGAUCCUGACUUGGUUACUUGUCCUAUCAUCUCCCCCUUAGCUUUAAGCCAUCAUCUUAGGUUUGAGAGAUCCCUUAUUAGACUCUAAACUGAACUAUACUCACUGCACUCUGGGGUAUGGAAUACGACGAUACUUGCAAUUAAUAGAACUUAGCCCGAAUGACUACACCUGGAAGUGGAAAAAUCCACUACUAAUACUACCUUCUGAGAUACACUCCUAUCUUUCUAUAGCUCCCAAUAGUCAUCACAUAAUACUUGAACAUUUACUAACUUCGAAUCUUCAUGAGUAUCCCGAUAGUUGGAGUGCACACCCUCUAGCGCUUCAACUCUUAUUUCUAUUAGCACAACCUUCAAAAACUCAACAUUAGAUUCCAACACUUAACAUGGAUAUCACCAAGUCUUUGAUGAACCACUCUACUUCCGUCAUAGCCUACCAAUAUCGCGACCCUAAACUUAUAUUUAUCUACCAUGAGAAUUAAGAUAAUAACAAAAGGCUCAACACUAUCAGUCAAAACUCCUUAACUUGGCCAUUUAGAACACCAUGUACCAUCUAACUAGUCUUUCUCCACCUAGCAACUCAACAGUACCACUAGCCACACACAACAUGUAAUAGCCUUAGAAUAUGUCGCCACUCUAUAUCACCUUGGGCAUGCUUCUAUAUCAUACAUACAACAUCAUGCUUCAUUACGAAUCAAAUAAACUUCAGCUUUUGCGUACACUGUUCAAGCCUAUUAGAUCACUUCCAUAUAACUAGUAUCAUUAAUUAAGAAUUCAUUACAUCCACCUUCAUGGCCAUCAACUGAUCAAACUUAAUGUCUAGUGCUAAACAUGAUUUACAACCCAACCUUACGCAUAAUUCUCACUUGGAAACUAUGAAACAAACAUCAAGAAAUAUUAGUACACUAGAACUUCAUAACCAUAAUAAUCGAUCAUGACCUUGCCGUUCUCCUUAUCAUAACUCAUUAGCACAUACUAUUUCAACAAAUCAAGCCUACUAAUUUAUUCCCACAAAACAUACAUCAUUAAUCUCAUGCCACUAUUCUUACCACCAAAUUCUACAUUUAAAUUCAAGCAUAUAGUCUAGCAUUAAUCAUCUACCACCAGUGAAGAAUGCAACAUGAUAUACUAGUCCAUCAAAUUGGGAAAUUCUACCCAAAUACUUCAUUUUAUCUAGAUACUACCCAUAACCAAAACACCUUUAUGACAUUACUACUAUACCUCCAAAUCUACCUUCUCACAAGUAGUACUAGUUUACAACUACCAGAGAAAAGAAGGUUAAGGUGGGGUAAAGUCACAUAAUAGACAUGAUCAACCUUAACCUUAUAUUAUACUUCAAUACAAUCUUAUCUACACAAAAAUCACCCUCACUCUAACUUCUAACCUUAUGACUUCAUAUCAUCCACUUCUUGAUCUAAUCUCACCACCAAUAGGUCAUGACACCGACACUUUAAAUUUUACUACUACUCGGGUGGAAAUACAGUUCCAACAAACACAAGAACAGCAAGAUGAAUAACAAGUUGCUAGUGAAUCAAAAUAGGCCUCACAUGGCUUCACUAGACUUUGAUUUUUGUGUUUUGAACAAGAAAAUGGAAUGAAUAACAAAACAACUAUGCUAGUGUAUCGAAAGAGACCCACAUGGCUUCACUAGACUUUUUGUUUAAACAACACGAUAUCAAGAUUACAAAAGAUAGAAACUUGACACACAAUAUUUAAUGACCCAAGAAUACACAUCUUACUCUUAUCUUAACUAAAAGCCUCUUAAGAAUGAGGUCACAAUUUUAAACUUGAGGGACUUAUGACACAUCAAGGAGCUCCUCUCAAGCCUUUUGUGUGACUUCUGAAAUUUCUGUUAGUAAAUCUGAGAGCAUUAUCUGAGAACACCAUAGUAAGGAAAAGAAUUAGGAUAACUUUUCUUUUAUAUGGGCGACACCAUAGCACGAAUUAGAGUAUAAAGGAGGAAUAUUCUGACUCCAUAGCAUGAACUAGAACAUGAAGAAAGGAAAACAUUCCUAAACGCCUAGUAGCCUCCUGCUUAUAAGUAUGGCACACUACACACACAUAAACAAGACUCUACCCGAUGUAAUUUUGCAGAUACCCUGGGACCAUGAACCGUGCUUUGAUACUAAAUUUGUCACGACCAAAACCGGGGCCCUGACCGUGACGAGCAUCCCAAAACAUGAAGGCCCAGGAACCCUUCUCUAUUUGGUAAUCAUGCACAAUAUUCAUAAAUUAUAAUAAAAGAUGCAGAAUUGUAAAUCAUUAUGGAAACAUGGUCAUACUCUAAUUUCAAUUAAACAAUGAAAAAUAAAAUCCAAUAUCAACUACAAAACAUCUGAACCAGUCUACAAAAUCUCUACUACAUCUGAAAAUAACAACUGUCUGAAACUAGGACAAAGCCAUCAGUGGACCUAAACCAAAAUAAAUAACAUAAUCUGAAAGACAUAGGCCUUAUGGAAUAAAGAAGGAUCACCAACUACACACAUGCUGUCUGAAAACUCUAUGGCCUAACACGACCAGUAAACUAAGCUUUAGACCCUGGGAGGAAGGGGGUCAAUACAAAUGUACUGGUACACGAAGAAAUCCAAAAUAAAGCUUGCAUAUAAAUAAAAUAGUUGAGAGAUUGUCAUAAUCAUCAUGGAAGAUAGCAUUUAAAAACACAUGGGCAUUUUUGAUAAUCAUAAAACUUUUUUAUCAAUGCAAUUUCUGAUCUUUGUAUUACUUAUGAGUUAGGUGACACUCCCCUACAAGUCUGAUAUUCGACGAGCUAUAUGGAAUCCGCCAUUAACUCGGUGGGGAAGCCCCCAACCCAAGUGUAUCGCAAGGGUUGAAGUGUCUGAGUCUGAUACGCCAUAGGGCACUAGGCCAACGUAUAAUAAUAUACCCAAAUCGACAAAUCACAAUUUUGGGCAAUGAGUUGUUUGAACUCGUGCCUUCUUCAGGGAACCACCUAAGCUUUCUUUAUGCCUAAUUUUAGUCUGUUAUGAAACAUGCAUCAUUCUAGUUUCAAAAUUUGAGAAUCUGAUUUCAAAUAUGCAUUUUAUUUUGUUCUGAAUUAAUAUGGCAUUAUCUGAGUUGGUGUCAUCACAACAAGAUUUGUAAGUCCUAUUUUUGAGCCAUAAUGCAUCAUGCAUUGUUUUUUCAUCAAAAAUCAAUUCAGAUCACCCAAACAUGCAAAUAGUAUAAGAGAUUUCAUGUUUCAAAAGCACAAGUCAAAACUGUGCAAAGAUUAUCAUUCUUUCAAUAACAAUGUGGUGGUUCUGAAAUCUUUGUCAAUCCAUGCAACUUUUUCCUUAGAUAUUCAUAUUCAAUAUUUAUCAAUACAAACAACCCUCUCUUUUGAAUUCAAAAAUCAUAUUCAAGUCAUAGCAAUAAUCAAGACAUUUCAUACCAUGCUUUUCAAGAUGCAUUUCAAAAUAAUUCAUAUCAUAUGAAAGAUGGGAAAAUCAUAACAAGAGAAGGAUUCAUUAUAAUUCAUGCUCUCAAUUGAAUAUUCAUCCUUAAACACAUGCAUUCAUAUAUAUAAAAUUUCAAAUCAAUUUGGGGAAAGGCCUAAAGAUCAAAACAAUGUCAUUGAGACUUCUAAAACAUGACUAUAAAUCAUAAAUCUAAAACCCUUUUUCUUAAAAUCAUGAUUUCUAUGCCCAUGAGAUUUUUAGGAUAACCCCAAGUACCUUAAUUUAUGACUCUUGAAUGAACUCGUGCUUUAAGGAUUCUAUUCGAACACUUGAUGGGUGCUUCUUGUAGCCCUCGCAAUGGGGAUUCCGAAUCUCAAAGAAUUAUUGAAAACCCACAGUGAAAUCUUAAGAUAUUUGAUCUUUGGGUUGAAACCCUAAGAAGUGUUCUUGAGAGAAUUUGAGAGAAUGAGUAUAUAAUUUGGUUAUUAGAGGCUGAAUUUCAUGUUAUUGGAGCUAUUUAAGGGUGGAAAAUGACCCAAAUACCCCUCUUGGACGCGGAGCUUGACUGUAGGAAAUUACACUGGCAGGAAUAGGCAGGGCGCCGCCUUGCUUAUCGCCCUGGCUUUCUGUCUCUCAUGAAAAUGGCUGUAACUUUUCGCUCAGGUAUCGGAUUUUGGCGAAAUUGGUAUCGUUGGAAAGAUAAUUCGAAGAUAUUUCAUUUGAUAUAUAGUAGUAUCUCUAAUUAGUUAUAUACAAAGAGUUAUGGUUAAUUGAAGUUGACCCAAGUUUUGAUGCUCACUCAACUCGAACGAUAGGAAAGCUUUCAACUCGUCCUUGAGUUAGGGGACCUCUAUAAUCUUAAUUCAUGCUCAAAUAGGUUACCACACUCUAUAAUUUAUUAACAUGCCAAAUUUGCAUAGGAUUUAAGGCUUUUUGGAUUAUCUAAGCAUAAAAAUGAUGAGUUUUGUUCUAGCCCGAACUGCAGGGUGUUACAAUACCAUACUUAUAAAUAUCUUAGUAAUUGGUAAAUUAAACUUUAAUUCGGUACGGUAUUUGGUGAUACCAUUUUAAAGUUGGAGAUGUGCUAAUGUAUGGUUAAACUUCAAAGAAUAUAUUUAAUAAAGCUAUAUCUAUUAAAUAUGGAAAAUGCUCGUCUUUGUUAGAGCGCUCAUAGAGCAUCAAAUUUGGUGGAAGAUUGAGAAUGAGAAUUCUAGUUUUUGGUAUGACAAUGGGACCAAAAUGGGAGCAUUAUAUCACAUCAUCGCAGAUGUAGGGGAUAAGAAAAUUAAAGUUAGGCAUUUUGCAACUCUAAAUGGAUGGAAUGAGCAAAGGUUGAGUAAAUUUAUCCCUGAAGAGCAAGUACAGUUCAUCAUUGAAAUUAUCCGAUCUGUAAUGAAAACAGAUAAUCUAGAUAAACCAGUGUGGAUGCUUGAACCCAGUGGCAGUUUCUCAGUCAAGAGUGCAUGGGAGUAUACUAGACAAAAGGAUCAGAGGAAAGACAUAUUUAAAUAUUUAAAAAGUGAUAAGUUGACUUUUAAAAUAUCUUUUUUUCACUUGGAGAAUGUGGAAAUUCAGGGUGCCAGUGGAUGAAGUAGUGCAACACUUAGGUGUUAACAUGGUUUCUAGGUGUUGGUGUUGCACUAAUCCUAAAAUAGAGACAUUGUCUCAUGUUUUUCUAACCUCGUAGACAGCUGCAAAGUUGUGGAGAUUGUUUGCUAAUGUUGUAUGUAUAUACAUUGAAGGGCUACAGUUAUCACAAGUGAUCAUUAAAUGGUGGACAAGAAAAUGUUGUUCAAAUUUAAAGAUACUUAUGAGAGUUGUGCUAUCAUAAUCAUUUGGAACCUAUGGAAGAGGAUGAAUAGAUUAAAGCAUGGAAAGACAUCAACAUUUACUCAUUUAGUUUUCAAGGUCAAGCUGACCUUUGGAGACUCGGGAGAAUUCUACAUCCAAAAAUACAUGAUUUCCCAAUAGACUGUCAGAAUAUUAUGGUAUAUUUAGAGAACCUGAAAGCCAAACUGUUUUAUCUUCCAAUUUGCUGAAAACCAUCGGAGGGAUGUUUAAAAUACAACACUGAUGGUGCAUCAAGAGGCAAUCCAAGUAGGAGCACCUACAGUUUUUUCUUGAGGAAAUUUACAGGUGAUUUAAUAUAUGCUCAAGGAGAAAAAAUUCUGGAAAGCACAAGUCUAGAAGCAGAAGCCAUGGCAAUAAAGGAGGCUCUAGCACAUUGUGUGACAAAAGGAAUUACUAAAGUUAUUCUAGAAACGGAUUCACUAAUGAUGCUUAAAAUUUUUACAAAAGUGUGGAAAAUACCCUGGAACAUUGUUGGGAUCGUGGAAGUUAUAAAGGAAUAUUCACAACUAUGUCAGGUUCACAUCCAACAUGUAUACAGAGAGGUUAAUUGUUUGGAUGAUUGCAUAGACAAUUUAGCUUUUGAUAAUACAGGUAGACUUAUCUUUAAUUCCUUCUCCGAAUUACCAAGUCAUGCCAGAUGGAUUUUGAAUCUAGAUAAGCAUCAACUGCCAAAUUUAAGAAUCCAGACUAAGGAGAUAGUUAGAGAUAAUGAUAGGUGUCAAGGAUCCACCACAAUAAUUACAAGAUAAAUUCAAACAUUUUUGUUUUCUCGGUGCUGAUUAAUAUUUCUAGUACUUGUGUAGAGAAACAAUUCAUUUAAAAAAUCACAAUUCAUAAGGGCAUUUAUAGAUCUAAAGUCAUUGUACUUGAGCGAAGAAUUACAGAAGACAAUUAUAAGUCUUGUACAGAUUCAAACUUCUUUGAGUUGUCACAGACGCAAGUCAAAGAUACAGUCAAAUGCACAAAUAUAAAGACGGCGAUUUACAAAGCAAAAGCCAAUUCAUACCUAAAAAAAACUCCAGAAAUCCAAUUGAAGCAGGCUGUGAUCGGUUAAUCAAAAGUUUGCCGGAAGAUCGCUCAGGGAGCUCAUUGUUGAACAUUUUUGUUGCUGAAAAUGUCGGUAGGUUAGACGAGAAGGAAAGAAAGAAAAAUAAUAUGGGAAAGAAGCUUACGUUUGGUUCACAACAGAUCAUCACUUUCCUAUUUGCUCAAAUUAUGGAAGACAAUGGAGAGGAAUUAGCAGAGCUUCUGAUUCAUUUGCCUCUUCAUUUUCUUACUUUCUUUAUUAUUAUUUUCAAGGGCAUGUCACUAUUGGGCUGCUCUCUUUUGUAUGGACUUGGUUUUAUUUUCUUGUUUAAAUAAAUAAAAUUGGGCCCAUAGGGCCCAUAUUCAAUUAAAAAAAUAGAAACCUUAUUUAUUAUUCUUUUUGUUGCUUUUUACGAAUAUAUUACCCAGGUCCAAGAGGUUCUGGGGCUUUGAACUAUAGGUGACAAAAGAGUUUUAAAAUGAGGUGUAGGUGACACAAGUCUUAAUUAUUGAGUGGAGGUGAAAAUUACUUUAUUAUGGAUUAAGAAAGUUGGGGAAGUUUUAAAAUAACCCAGAAGAUUUAAAAUUUACACUUUGAUCCAAAUGUUAGUUAAUAUAACAAGAAACGGAGGGAAAAAAGACGUGUUUUUCUCUCUUAACAUCCGUUGUUGUUCUCGCUCUCUUCAUGAUUAUUGUUGCUUCUUUAUUCAUCAUCUUCUAGUUCAUUAUCAUCAUCUUCUACUUCAUUAUCAUCUUCAUCUUCUUCUUGUCGACCAUUGUUGUUGUUGUUGUUACCGCUACUGCUGCUAUCUGACCAAUUUCUUAGAUCAAAUUUUGUUUCCUACAUCACUUUCUACUUUGGCAUUACUUCAUAGGUGACUUUGGUAAGUAAAAUUAUGAUUUUUAUUCAAAUUUGUCUUCUGGGUUCACAGUUACUGUUGUUUUUCCAACAAUGGAUAGAACUCGAUCAUGAAUCCAACAUAAGCACCCACAAUUUAAAUAGAUCACUCAUCUGGUGCAUCAGAUGAGUAAUCUAUUGCAAUAGAAGAUUUAUUUGUUGCAACAUACUACUUAUCUAUUGCAUCAGACUGAUUGUCUGAUGCACUAGACUAGUUGUCAGACUGAUCAUUUGUUGCAUCAGACUGCUCAUCUGUUGUAACAGAUGAUUAAUCUAUUUGGAACAACACAAAUCAGCCCCUGCCACAAACCCAACAGAUAACCAAUAUAUUUCAACUCUCGUUAUUGCUACUAGAUUCAAAAUUAUUUCUUAUGUUCAAUCAUUGACAUGUUUGUUGAGAAGAUAAUAGACAGAAUAAAAAUUAAAUACACCCUCUGUCUCAAAUUAUCCAUCCCAAAUUUCCAAAUUUUAUUUCUCAUGUUACUUUUCUUUUUUCAUUAAUCAAGAAGAGAUAAAAAAAUUUCAUGUUUACCCUUUGCAUUAAUCAUUUUUUCUUUAAAUUAAAAUAUAAACAUUAUUAAUAGGGGUAUUAUGGUAAACUAGGCAUGUUAUUAAUUAUUUUUCUUAAUCAAUGUUCCAUCUCAAUUUUGGACGAGUAAUUUGAGACGGGGGGAGUAUGAAUUAAAACAUCAAAGCCAUGCAACAGACUAGUUAUCUGUUGAAAAAAAUUAGUUAUCUGUUGCAUCAGACUGAUUAUCUAUUGCGCUAGACUGCUUAUCUAUUGCAACAUAUGAGUAAUUUAUUUUGAACAACACGAAUCAACCCCUGCCACAAACCCAACAGAUAAAUCUUGCUAUUGCUCCUGGAUUCUAAAUUAUUUCUUUUUACGUCCAAUUGUCGACAUGUUUGUUCAGAAGAUAAUAGACAAAAUGAAAAUUAAAUAUGAAUUAAGAUGUCAAAGUUGAUCAAACAUGAUUUUUUUAUCAAACAAAAACAAAUAAAAACACAUAUACAUAGACUAGCUAAAAGAAAAAAAUAAUCUAAUUAUUAUUAUUAUUAUUGCCAAUCGGCUAAUCUUCAACAGGUAGUAGCAAUGCCCUCCUCAGCCGUCGGAUCUCACGGAGUAUCCUUGCUCUAACUGAUCUAAGUUCCCAUUGCAGGUCACAAACCUGCAUCCCAAGUUCAUUCACGGCGCCUUGUAAAAAAUCAACGUCCCAUACUGGAUAAGCCAUGGCUAGAACACAUAUGAAUUGAUAAAAAACGUAAAAACAAAAGUAAAGAAAAGAAUAUCCAAAUAUAAUACAAUGUAUACUACAAAUUGACAAGAAAAAAAGUUACCUGAUUUAGGGAAGAGAAAGUGGUGGAAGGUGUAAUAUGAAAGACAAGAUGCCAUAAAUAAAUAGAGUAGAGUGUAGUUGAAUGAAAGAUUGAGUAAUGAGGGACCUAUUUAUAAAGGAUUGAAUUUGAAUGAGUGCCAAAAAGUCACGACUGUUCACCCUCAUUUAUUAAUUAUAUUUUUUAUUACUGUGAAAAGUUAUGACUUAAUUAAAGUAAGAAGUAUUGUGAUAAGUCAUGACUUUUCAGAUUAUUAUUAUUAAUUAAUUCAUCCAAGAACCAUUUUUAUUGAGUUGUGACAACAGAUUCUAUAUCUAUUGCAUCAGAUAACUCAUCUGUGACAACAGAUAUACCAUUUAUUGUGACACAUAGAGAACCUGUUGCAUCAGAUAAUCUAUCUGUUGCAACAUAUAAUCUAACUGUUUACCUCUAUUUAUUAAUUAUAUUUUUGAUUACUGUGAAAAGUUAUGACUUAAUUAAAAUAAAAAAUAUUGUGAUAAGUCAUGACUUUUCAGAUUAUUAUUAUUAAUUAGUUUUUUCCAAGAACCUUUUUUAUUGAGUUGUGACAACAGAUUUUAUAUCUGUUGCAUCAGAUAACUCAUUUGUGACAACAGAUAUAUCAUCUAUUGUAAUAAAUAGAGAACCUGUUGCAUCAGAUAAUCUAUCUAUUGCAACAUAUAAUAUAUCUUUUAUUUUUAAAAUUAUCAUCAUAUCAUUAAUUCAAAUUUUCUAACUUUUUUAUUAUAUAAAUUAAAAAAAUACCUUUUCAAUAAUCGUUUCUUUAAUAAAUUAAUAACCAUUUUUAUUGAGUUCUAGCAACAUAUUGUAUAUCUGUCGCAUCAGAUAAACCAUCAGUUGCAAUAGAUAUAUCAUUUGUUGCAACAAAUGGACGAUCUGUUUUAGUUUUUUUGAUUUCUUCUAACAGCUGAUACAUCAAUCGUAACAGAUGGGAAAUUUGAUGCAUCAGCAACAUUGUUGAAUGUGUUUUAGACAUAAAGUCAUGACUGUUCACCUUUUUCUUUACAAAAUCAUCAUAUAAGUUAAUUAGUCUAAUAUUGAAUUUUUUUAUUACAUAAUAAAUAAAUAAUUUUAAAAAAUAAAUGACUGAAAAGUCACGAUCAAUUAUUAAAAUGAAAUAACCAUCGUUAUUAUUUAUUUACGAACUAUUUUUCAUAUUAAAUAAUCAGCAAAUCAUGUCUUUUCAGAUUAACCUCUGUUGCCACAAAUGCUCAAUUCCUACCACCAACCGUUGACAUGUGGAGGAUAAGGAAUAAUCAGAAUGAUAAUUAAAUACUAAAUAAGAAUUAAAAAUUCAAAGUCAACCACCAAACAUAGAUUUUUGAAUCCCUUGGGUAGAUUCGAUAUACAAAAGGAGGAAAAUACAUACAUACGCAAAAAAAAAACAUAACCUAAUUAUUAUUACUAUUAUUAUUAUUAUUAUUACUAUUAUUAUUGUCAACCGAAUAAUUUUCAUCUGGCAGCAGCUGGGCCCUCCUUAGCCUUUCUCCGAAGUCGGCCAAAUCCCUCUGGAGUUCAUCAAACUGCCUUUGAAGUUCCCGCAAGGACUUGAUAUGAAUCUUCUUAUACGAAUCGUCAAACAAAAAUCCAUGACUGUUCAUAUCCCUUAAUUAAAUAAAAAUGAUACUUUUCGUAUAUGUAAAUUAAAAAAAAAGGACCUAAAUACAACAUUUUAUCUUUUAUUGUAUUUCAGAAAUAAGAGAAAAUUGCUUAAAAAUAAAUCUAACAGAUGGAUAAUCUGUUGCAAAAUAUAUUUCAUCUGUUAGAUAGCUUACAACAUAUUGACAAUCUGUUGUAACAGAUGGAUAUACCUGUUUGAUUUUUCCGACAGAUAUGUCAUAUGUUGUAAUAGGUUGAUCAUCUGUCGUAACAGAUGUUUGCAAUUGUUUGACAAUUUAAACAGACGUGGCAUCUUCUGCAACUAGCUAGUCAUCUGUUCUAUCAAUUUAAGUCAUAAAUGGGCUAGGAAGAAUAAGGUGUGUGCAAAUAGAUCCGCUAUCAUAUGUGUGGGAGUUAAGUAAUUACUACUGAUAAGGUCAUCGAGACAACACACAUAAAGUACAAUGUUUUUGUGAAUGCAGUUUUUAACCGAUUAUGCACUAAUCAUUCAAACAAGAUCCUGCAUUGUACAAUUAAGUUUGAUGGGUUCGAAUUGAUAAGGCUGAGGGCCACAUGAAGAUAGUGUAGAUACCCUGUUACAAAUUACUGAUGGUUGUUUCUCGUGUUUAUACAUAUAAAGUUUUGAGAAGGGAUCAAUAUUUGGUGUCAUUGUAGAGAUCUAAUAACGAUUAAACUUAACUUUAAGCAUGUAUUAGACUCUGAGAAGGCCUUCGAAGCCUCGCACUAUAUCAAAUAAGAACGGAAAACCAAAUAGAAAUUCCCCUGGCCUAAAUUUAUAUGGAAGGGUUGAUCGAGAAAAUGAUUAUAUGCCAGAAAGAGCCGAAAAAGAAUGCCUGUGAGGCAAUAGGGAGUUGAUGAAAGAUUAUAUCAUCUGAGAGCUAAUUAAAGAAGAGAUAUAGGGUAGAAAGUGACUUCUAGUGAAUCUGGCCGAUGAAAUUAUCUUAAAACAUGAGAAAUCUGAAUCAAGUGCAAGUAUGAAAGUGUAUCCGGCAGUGUAAAUUCGUCUGUUGUCUCUCUGAAAGAAGAAUAAUGCAGAUGGAUGCUUUUCUAGGGAGCUGCGACUAGGUAGCGUGGUCGGGAUUAUCACCUAGAUAGAAAAUAGUAGAAGACCAAGAAAGUAGCCUUACAGGCAUCGACGAUUGAAAUUAUUUACAAUAAGUCUAGAAAACUUGGGCCUACAGCAACUGCAGUUAAAGUAAGGAAUCUAAGCGAAGGCGGCAAUUUCUAAAUUUUAAAUUGCAUUCCAUGCCUUUUUGCUUGUAGUUUCGAUUAGGUCCACUGUUAUUGACCUGAUCGGAACCAUAAACGAGAUUAAAAGAUAGAUUGAAUGUUAUUACUUCCUUACCAAUAUGGAUUAAUUGAUUGUAUUUUCUUGCCUUAGCAUGCUUUCAACAUUUCUUGGAGAAGAUCAGAGGCUUGUUGUAGUAUGUGAAUCCCAAUAAUUUUCAAUCUUGCCCCCAGCUUGCCGAUUUGGUAUCCAAGAUUGUCGUUGCUGUCGUUGAAGUUGGUAUAGAGUUCCUGCUCUCUUGUGAGCUCGAUCAGGAACGCUACCUUCAAAGUUGUGGCAUUAAAGAAGGCCUUCAAAACACUUUCAUUAGAAGCCUUAAAGGAUACAUGGAGGGUCGUUAUGUAUGUUUUAGGUCAAAAUGUAUUGAUACACACUCAAGAUGUGGUCACAACCAUUGAACAACUCACUUUUAUUGAGGUUUUCUCAAUGCAGCUUGCUCAAUCGACCUUCAAAGGAUUUGAUAAAUUAAUAAGAAAGGAGUUACUUAAUGUUUGAUCUAAACUGACUCUACCAAGCCUAUCAAAUAUUACGUAACUCCAGCCUCAUUAUCCUAUCAAAAAACUUUGCUCGAGUUAGUAGACAAAUCAAAUGAUCUCGAUCUGUCAGCCUUUCUGCUGAUCACUUUUCUCCAAUAUAGUUGACAAGAUAUCCGUCAUAUAAAAGUCUACACCAUCGUCAGAAAUGCUUGCCAGGACGCAAGUCUUCAGAAGGCAUCAACAGUAAUCUCUCAAUAUCAAGUGAUAUUGAGAUAUUAUUAGUCAUGCCUUCUAAAUACUUUCUCUACGACAAGAAUUUCUAUUGAUGACAAGAUAUUCGCCAUGCAAAAGUCUACACCGUUAGCAGAAAUCUUGCCGGAGAGAAAGUCUUCAGAAGGCAUUAUUAGUAAUCUCUCAAUAUCAAGAAAGUCUUGUACGAAAGUCUUCAGAAUACAUUAAAAAAUAAGUAAGUUUUCAGCAAUGACUACACAUAAUUACGGCAUCAACAACCUCACUAGAUUGACUCCUCAUACAAAAGAAUAGGCAGAAAUAUUUUUCUUUGCAUUCGCAUUUUAUUUGUUUAACAACCAAACAAAUAUGAACUAAAUCUAGCAUUCAAAGAUGAGCUAUUGCUAGAUUUAGUUCAUCUUUAUUUGGUUUGUUAAAUAAAUAACAUGCGAAUGCAAAUGAAAAUAUUUUUGCCUUUUCUUUUGAAUGAGGAGAGAAUCUAGUGAGGUUGUUGAUGGUAAUUAUGUGUAGUCAUUGCUCAAAAAUUCCUUAUUUUCAAAUGUCUUCUGAAGACUUGACUUCUUUGAUAUUGAUAGAUUAUUAAUAAUGCCUUCUGAAGACUUUCGAUCUGGCAAGAAUUUCUGUUGAUGGUGUAGGCUUUUGCAUGGCAGAUAUCUUGUUAUCAACAUAAAUUCUUUCCAUAGCGAAAGUAUUGGGAAGGAAUGACUAGGAAUCUCUCAAUAUCACUUGCUAUUGAGAGAAUACUGUUUAUGCCUUCUGAAGACUUGCGCCUUGGCAAGCAUUUCUGGUGAUGGUGUAGACUUUUGCAUGACAGAUAUCUUGUCAUCUAUAUUAGAGAAGAACGAUCAAUAGAAAGGUUGAGAGAUUGAGCUCGUUUGAUUUGUGCACUAAAUUGGGCAAAAGUUUUUUAAUAGGGUAAUGAGUCCAGAGUUACAUAACAUUUGAUAGGCUUGGUAGAGUCGGUUUAGAUCAAAUGUUACGUAACUCCUUGCUUAUUAAUUUAUCAAAUUCCUUGAAGGUUGGUUGAGCAAGAUGCAUAGAGCAACGCUCGAUAAAAGUGAGUUAUUCAACGGUUGGGACCACAUCUUGAGUGUGCAUCAACAUAUUUUGACCUAUAAACAUACACAACGACCCUAUAUGUAUCCUUUAAGGCUUUUGAAGAAAGUGUUUUGAAGGCUUCUAGAAUGCCACAACUUUGAAGAUAGUUUUCCUGAUCGAGCCCACAAAAGACCAGGAACUCUUUACCAAAUUCAAAGAUGGCAAUGACAAGCUUGAAUACCAAAUCAGUAAGCUGGAGGCAAACUUAAAAAUAAUCGAAAUUCACAUACUACAACAAGCCUCUCAUCUUCUCCAAGAUAUAUUGAAAGCAUGCUAAGGCAAGAAAAUACAAUCAAUUAUGACCAUAUUGCUAAGGAAGUAAUGACACUCCAACUGUCUCUCAAUCUUGUUUGUGGUUUUGAUCAGGUUAACAAUAGUGAACCUAAUCGAAAAUACAAACAAGAAGGCAUGGCAUGCAAUUUAAAAUUCAGAAAUUGCCGCCUUCACAUAGAUUCCUUACUUUAACUAUAGUUGUUAUCGGCAUAAGUUUUCUAGACUUACCGUACAUUAUUUCAACCAUCGAUGCCCGUAAGGCUGUUUUUUUGGUCUUCUUCUAUUUUCUAUCUAGGUGAUAAUCCCGACCACGCUACCUAGUUGCAGCUCUCUAGCAAAGUGAUUAUCUACACUAUUCUUCUUUCAGAGAGACAACAAACAGAUUUUUCAUUGCCGGAUACACUUUCACAUUUGCACUUGAUACAAAUUUCUCAUGUUUUAAGAUAAUUUCAUUAGCUAGAUUCACUAGAAGUUACUUUCUACCCUAUGUAUCCUCUUCAAUUAGCUCUCAGAUGAUAUAGUCUUUCAUCAACCACCUAUUUUCCCUCAAAGGCAUUCUCCUACCGCACCUUUUGGCGUAUAAUCAUCACGCCGAGCAACCCAACCAUAUAAUUUUGGGCUAGGGCAAUAACUAUUUUGGUUUCCCGUUCUUGAUAGAUGAAGUGCUAGGCUUCAAAGGCCUUCUCAGAGUCCAAUGCACCCUAAAAGUUAGUCCAAUCGCUAUUGAAUCUCUUUACAAUGACACCAAAACUAGACCCCUUCACAAUUCUUGACACAUAAACAUAAGCAAAAGGUGACAUUAAAUCUUAAUAGGGUAUCAAAACCAUAUUCAUAGACCCUCAGCCUUAUCAGUUCGGACCUACCAAACUUAACUGUAAAAUUACAGAUAUCUUAUUUGAAUGAUCUAUGACUAAUCGGUAGAAACAACAUUCAUAAAAUUAGUGUAAUCUAUGUGUGUUUCCACAAUAACAUUAUCAGUAGUACAUUUCUCCCAUAAAUGAAGUGGUUCCAUAUGUAUGUAGCUUAUUCCUCCGAAACCAUCUUUACUGCAGCCUCUUGUGAUAGUUGAGCAAAAUUUGAUCAACUUUCAGUUCCUUAUAUCUACAAAGAAGAGGAAAAUAAUUAAUGUCAUAGAAAGAAUAUUAUCCAUCUAUUACAAUAGAUGUGGAGUCUGUUGCAUCAGAUGUGGAGUCUGUUGGAUCAGAUGUAGAGUCUGUUACAACAGAUAUAGAGUCUGAUGCAACAGAUAUGGAGUCUGAUGCAACAAUAUGGAGUCUAUUGUAAUAGAUAUAGAGUCUAUUGGAAUAUAUCAAACUAGCCUUGCUGGUGGUUUAAUUUGUUCCAACAGUUGCUCCGUCUAUUGCAACAUCAACAACAACAUAAACUACAAAAAAACAACAAAUAAAAAACAUCAACAACAAAGAAACAACAACAUUUGUUCUAAUACCAUCAACAACAAAGAAGCAACAUCAUUUGUUCCAACACCAUCAACAACACCACACCAUAAGUUCCAACAACGCCAACCCCACCAACAAUAUCAAUAACAGUAUCAACAACAAACAAACAAAUAAAAUACAUACAAAAAAAUGAUACUUCCAACAAGGCUUUUAAACUUCUCUCAACAGAUGACUUUUUUCGCAUAUUGUAAUAAAAAUUAUCGGUUCGUUUAUCCAACACUUAAAAGUUCCUUCAAAAUUUUUAAAUAAAUAUGUUAUGGGUAAAUAGUAAUUAAAUAAAAAACAAAUGUAAAUAACUUACAAAGAAGAAGACGAGAAUGAAAGAGCAAUAGUGGACCAUACCUUAAUGUUAAAAGAGGAUCAAAACAGUAAUUUCAAUUGAGGAAAGAUAUGGAUCAGUUUAGAUCCAAAAGGAUCUUUAUAAGAAAAAGAAGAGAAAAGAGAGAAAAAAGACUGUGAUAACCCUAAAGAGGAGAGAAAGAAAAAGAUGAAAGAUGAAUACAAUAAAUUUAGGGCUGAAGCUUAAGGAGAGAUGAGGUAAUUCUAGAUGUAUUAUGUACGUAGACGUGCGUUUCAAUAUUUAUUAAUUAAUAUGAUUAAUAUUAAUUAAUAAUUUGAGAGGCGAGAAAGACUAGUGACAUUGAAAAUACAAGAUAAGACUACUCAAUGAACUCAUUUUGGAGUUAUCCAAGAAAAUCUUCAUUUUUUAACUCAUUUUGUAGUACUACUUUAUCUACUAGGACAGAAGCUUGCAUUAAAAUUAAAAGAAUUUUUUUUUUCAAACAAAUAUGUCAUCUGUUGCAACAGAUAGCAAUAUCUAUUUAAAAAUCACAACAAAAUAGUCAUUUAUUACAACAGAUACAAUUAUCUAUUUAAAAAUCCCAACAGCUCACAGAUGCAAAUGUUCAUUGAUAAUUAAAUCGAUAUAUCAUUUGUUACAAUAGAUAUCAAUAUCUAUUUAAAUAUCUCAACAGCUAAGUCAUCUGUGACAACAGAUAUAAAUGUCCAUUUGAUAAUUAAAUCAGAUAUGUCAUCUGUUAUAACAUAUAUCAACAUCUAUUUAAAAAUUUCCAACAACUCAGUCAUCUGUCACAACAGAUGCAAAUGUCUAUUUGAUAAUUAAAUUAGAUAUGUCAUCUGUUGUAACAGAUAUGAAUAUCUGUUAGAAAUUUCCAAAAGCUCAGUCAUUUGUUCCAACAGAUUUUAUUGAAAUUAAUUUUGGUGGAACUAGGGAUGAAUGAAUAAGUUCAUAGGGUCAACUACAUCUUCAAUUGAGUCUUUUCAAUUGCAUGGUGUUGGUAUUGCGUUCAAUCCCACCCGAGUCAUUGAUCGAUCACUCUAAGUUGAAAAGAUUCUCAUUAACUUAAUGUUAAGCUAGUACCUAAAUUGAUUUAGGUAGAACUGGGGAUGAAAUGAGUUCUCAUUAACUUAAUGUUAAGAUUAAUAGAACCUUAACUGAUUUAGGUGGAACUAGGGAUAAAUGAGUUCAUAGAGUCAACAACAACUUCAAUUAAGUCAUUGCAAUUACAUGUUGUUGGUAUUUCGUUCAUCCCGACCUAAGUCGUCGAUCGAUCACUCUGAGUUGAAAUGAGUUCUCGUUAACUUAAUGUUAAGUUUAAUAGAACCUUGAUUGAUUUAUGCAGAACUAGGGAUGAAUGAGUUCAUAGGAUCAACAAUAACUUCAAUUGAGUCAUUGUAAUUGCAUGGUGUUAGUAUUGCGUCCAUCCCGACUUGAGUCGUCGAUUGAUCACUCUGAGUUGAAAUGAGUUCUCAUUAACUUAAUGUUAAGAUUAAUAGUAACUAAAUUGAUUUAGGUGGAAAUAGGUAUGAAUAAGUUCAUAGGGUCAACAACAACUUCAAUUGAGUCAUUGUAAUUGCAUGGUGUUGGUAUUACGUUCAUUCCAACCCGAGUCGUCGAUCGAUCACUCUGAGUUGAAAUGAGUUCUCAUUAAUUUAAUGUUAAGACUAAUAGAACCUUAAUUGAUUUAGGUGAAACUAGGGAUGAAUGAGUUCAUAGGUUUAACAACAACUUUAAUUAUGUCGUUACAAUUGCAUGGUGUUGGUAUUGCGUUCAUCCCGACCCGAGUCGUCGAUCGAUCACUCUGAGUAAAAAUGAGUUCUCAUUAACUUAAUGUUAAGAUUAAUAUAACCUUAAUUGAUUUAGGUGGAACUAGGGAUGAAUGAGUUUAUAGGGUCAACAACAACUUCAAUUGAGUUGUUGCAAUUACAUGGUAUUGGUAUUGUGUUUAUCCCGACUCGAGUCAUCGAUCGAUCACUCUGAGUUGAAAUGAGUUCUCAUUAACUUAAUGUUAAGAUUAAUAGUACCUAAAUUAAUUUAGGUGGAACUAGGGAUGAAUGAGUUCACAGGGUCAACAAUAACUUCAAUUGAGUCGUUGCAAUUGCAUGGUAUUGGUAUUGCUUUCAUCCCGACCCGAGUCAUUGAUCAAUCACUCUGAGUUGAAAUGAGUUCUCAUUAACUUAAUGUUAAUAUUAAUAAUACCUAAAUUGAUUUAGGUGGAACUAGGGAUGAAUGAGUUUAUAGUGUUAACAACAACUUCAAUUGACUAAUUGCAAUUGCAUGGUGUUGGUAUUGCGUUCAUCCCGACCCGAGUCGUCGAUCGAUCACUCUGAGUUGAAAUGAGUUCUCAUUAACUUAAUAUUUUAAAAAAUAUAUCUUUUGAAAUUUUUAAAAUUAAUUAAGAUCAAUUCAUACCAAAUUAACAAUUUCAAAAACUUGUCAUUCUAUUCCAAAAUUACAAAUCAAUCCAUACAAAUCAUCCAUUGCAGGAAAAACUUUUCUUCAUUUCAAAUCUCAAGUUCUCGCUCUUCUCUCUCUCUUUUUCUCUUAAUAAUACAGACAACAACUACUCAACAUAUUGCUCAAUCCUUUAAAACAGAUUGGUUUUCUUUCUAUUUCUGACCACAUACGUGUUAUUUUUGACUUCAUUCUCGCUUGUAUCCAUCGUUUUCUCUGUCUUCGUAGGUAAUAGAGUUCGAGAAAGGUUUUACAUUUGUUAUUUAUUCUAAAAAUUAUGAUUUUUUAGUUAAUGAUGAAAAAGAAGACUUUUAGUUGUAUUAUCUUCAAGAAUGGGUUAACAAUUUUGUGUUUUGAUGCUAAAAAAGUGGGAAGCACCUGAGAAAAUCCUAGUUUUUGUCUCAGUGUUUUGUUAACUGUCGUGGUAUUAUUGGAUGGUGUUUGUGGUGUUGUUUUUGGUGGUGUCGGUAUUUGUGUUUUUGGUGGUGGUGUCAGUGGUCUUGGUGUUGGUAUUGGUGGCAUUGGUGGUGGUCUUGGUGGCAUUAGUGGUGGCAUUGGUUUUGGUGUUGGUGGUCCAUCUGUUGCAAAAGGUGUAAGAUUUAUUGGGAGAUAUUAAAUAGGUAUUCAAACAUAUUCCCUAUCUGUUCCAACUGAUGGGUUAUCCAUUGGAAUUUCUUUUUUGUAAUGUGGCGUUGAAUAAUUUAUUGAAAUUUAUCUUACCUUUUUAAAAAAAAUUAUGAAGAUAUCAAAUGCAGUGUAUUUUUUAUUUUUAUAUUAUUUGUAGUUAAAAGAUGUCUCCCAAAAGAAAAGAAACUGAAAGUGGAUCAACUUCUGACCACCCAACAAAAAAGGCUAGAGUACAUAUAGAUUCGGAGGAACUUCCUGAACAAUCUCAGUCAGGGCAAAAUGAAACUGAGGAAAGUGGUAACUCCUUCUCACCAAUGGAGCAUGAAUUAAUAUCGAAAUCCAAUAUUUUCCUAUCAAAACCAUUAGUAUCGAUAGGUUUCGAGUUGCAGUGAUGGAUAGCCCUGACAAAGUAACUGGUGAUCUUGUACUUAAAUGUCAGUUGGGGAAAUAUUUUGAUGAAUUUAGGAGUAUUAUGAAGAAUGAAAACAUAGACGGACUUUUUAACAAGAGCUUCUUUACAUACUUUCUUGAGCUACUUGUGGACCGCACUCGCCAUUUCCCAAUGAGAAUGGUAUAUGGUCUUCUCAAGCGCAGGAUCAAGUAUGUAGGAGAUGAUAAAGUUUCAGAGAACGGGGGCAAAAAGAUGGAUGAAAUUUGAAUUAACUACUGUAGCAUGCUAAUUUGUUUUGGAUUGAAAAAGUUUUCCAUAGUGACGGGCUUUAGAUGCGAUCACCCAGAAGAACCUCUCAUCAAGGAAACACCCCACAAAGGGUCCAAGAAACACAAGGGAAAAAAGAUGGGUUAUUGGACAUUGUUAGACUAGUAGCUACAAAGUGGAUGAUUUGAUGGCAGAUCUCGAGGAUAAAAACAUACCAAAGCACUACAGGGAGAAAUUGUGCUUAGUUUGGUUUGUCUAUUCCGUUUUACUGGCAAGAGCCCUCAGGAACGUCAUAAAAGAUGAUUUGUUGGUGCUUGCUGAUGAUUUUGAUAAAUUUAACGAUUAUCCCUAGGGAUAUGACCACUGCUACUUGACUGUUGAAUAUUUACUGACAAAGAUAUUCCUAAAGACGACCACAUUAUACGACUUUCCUUGGGCUUUCAUGAUAAAAUUGAUCCCUAUUUUUACUCAUCUAUUAAUUUAUAUUGAAUAUAGUUAUUAUGACUUUUUUUUUCUUUCUUCUUAUUUACAUUUUUAGGCUUGGGCAUGUGAAGCCAUUCCUCCCCUCCAAAAGCAGUUCAAGGUUUACCCAGAUGAGGUUUCUCAUCCAAGGAUUCUUAGAUGGUUAGCUGCAAAAGGCAGUAAAAAUAUUAAGGAGGAUGCUGAUCUCUUUAAACCUCCGGAUGAUAUUGUACGUCUUCUUUUAACUAAAAUAAUUUGUCUCAAAGAAAAAUAUUAAAAUAAAUGUGCCAUCUGUUGUGACAGAUAGGUUGUUCAUUGCAACAUAUUACCCGUCAAUUGUAGCUGUGCAACAGAUGGGUAAUCUGUUGCGAUAGACGAUUUAUAUUUCACAGCAGAUUAACCAUUUGUUUCUCUAGUUCUUUGAACCUAACUCAAUAGAUUACCCAUCUACUGAAAAUUAUGAAACAGAUGGGUAAUAUGAUGCAAUAUAUUGUCAAUCUAUUACGACAUACAGAUCAGUUGUUGUGGAAGCUAGAUCAUCUGUUGCAUAUGUUGGUCGUGUUAACAUGUAACUCAACUGAUUGCAAAUUAUUAUUAUAUGAUUUAAAUGUCUCUUGUAUUUUUUUUAUAGGCUGUGCAUCCUUUAAUUGUGCCUACUGAGCAUGAAUUGGGGAUAACUUUUUUUAUUACUCUAGGUCUUGUUGAUACAAAAGAAGACCCAACGGUGGAGUUAAUAAAGAAAGAAUUGGCUGGAGUAAUAACCAUAAGAAGAGCAGUUAGGCAACGUCAGCCUAAUGUUGAAGCUCUACAUGACCAACCUCAAAUAGUAACAGAUCCGGGUGCUUCUUCUGGGGGUGUUGCUAGUGGAGUUGUUGAUGAUGGUGGCAGCCAUCCUGAUGUUGCUGCUGCUACUAGUCAAGAUUAUGAGCAUGUUGGUGCUCAGCAAAAAAUAAAUACGUUUGAAAACACCCCUUUCACAGUUCCCUUUCACCCCUACACCGGUCCUUCCCACCCUUACAGUGGUCCCUCUCACCCCUUUCCACCCUCUCCACCCUCACGUUCUCAUUGCAAAUACAAAGUGUGCAAGGACAGAGAGGAUAAAAUCCUUGAAAAAUUAGAAGCUAUUGCUGAAGCUUUCGAGGAGUUGAAAUCCAGAAGGGGUGUCAUACCAUCCAACAAGGUGAGGGAGCCAUACUUUAACGCCCCAAAAUCUGAGUUCCGAGGAUGCCACACGGUGCUCCGAACUACAAGUAGUCCUGAGCUAACCCUAGUUGUUUUCUACUAAGUCUGAAUAUUAAAAUAGGGGAAUAUGAAUAUAAAGACAGAAUAAAUACGGAAAACUUAUCUGAAACACACUAAUCUCACAAGUCUUGGUAAAAUAAUAUUGAAAACCUAAACACUAAAUCAAAAGUCUAAAACUAAAUCUCGUAGUCCGACAAGCCUCUACUAUCUGAAUCUAGAGAGUUACUGGGAUAGUCCCCCAGCUGACUCAAACUGUCUGAAAUGAACACUGAAACAUCUAUUAAUAACUGAAAAUAUGAAUAACUAAGUCCCCAAACUAUAAGGAAUCACCAACUACAGGGAUGUAGAUGAGAUGCACAAAAAUUACUCAUGCUGCUGAGGCUGAGCACCUGAACCUACAUUAUGAGACAACGUAGCACAUAGACGUUUAUGUAGAUCAGUACUUUGAUGAUGUACUGAGUAUAUGGGGGUAAAUGCAAUAAGUAAACAAUAUCAUCACAAUUUAUAAAGAAAAUCAUGCAUGCUAAAUGUAAAUGACUCACAUGGGGUUGAGUAAAUCUGAAAUCUGAAGAUCAUAAAUCAUGAAUAACAAAACAUAUAAUAUAAAACUUGUGAGACAUUACAUUCAAUUCUAAAAUCUGUUCUUUCUGAAAGUUGCUACAUUAUCUUAUCAAUUUGUAAGGGGAAUACUUCAUCUUAAGACUUUAAGAAUCUUAAAACCAUAGAUUUCAAAAACAUAUUCUUUUAUCUCAAGGUUUUACGCCAAUAGAUUAUUUUAAGAGUAGGGAACAUCUUAUUGGGAGGUUCUUCUAAUCGACAUACACCAUGUGAGCAUCCAUGGAGUCUGACGUCUAGCCCCUGUUGGGUAGGGUUGUUCUACCCUUACCAUCGGAAUAGAACUUCUUAUCUUAAGUGAUCAUAAUGUUAAUCAUCCACGUAGAAGUGGGAAUAAUCUUAAUCCUACGGUGGCACGUAGUUCUGGGGUAUGAAACAGUAGUAACUUACCCAUCUCGAUGCUAAAUACUACUCCCAUUCUUAUGCUCAAAAUCUUAAGAAAUUCACUUCAAAAAUAGCACCAGGGUUUAUAAGAAAAUUGAUUAUGCUUUUCUUUCUUUAAAUCUUAAGUCAUAUGAACAAAGUGGAUUCUCUAUCUUAGCUUAGGACCAAAAGGCCAAAUCUUUAUCAAAAUCUGAGAAUAAUUUUAUCUGAGGGUGCUUAUAGCACAAAUGAUCUUGAAAUAGCAAUCUUAAUUAGGGAUUUAAUGACCCAUGCAUCAAUUCAUGUUAAAACAUCAAAGUAUUCAUGCUUGGUGAUAUAAACAUUCAUAAUUCAAUUCAAAAUCUAGAAAUUUACUGCAAUAUGCAUGAAAAUAUGAACAUAAUCAUGUAAUUCAACGUCUAAAUCAUUGAAAAUUUCAUAAACUUGUCAAUAACAAUAAUGGGUAUAAACCCUAACUUCAAUUCAUGAAUAACCACAUAAAAUUUCAGUAAAUUUGCAUAAAAAAUAAGUUUUGGGCACAAGGAUAAAAGGAUUAUCCUCGUUCAUAUCCCACAUACCUCAAUUGAUGAUCUUUGAUAAAAAUUUGGAUCUUGGAUUUUGUAUUGAUGUUUUGAAGAUGAAUUCUUAGAGUUCUUGCAUUGGGAAUCUUAAAUCUUAAAUUUCUUUGGAGAACUAAUGGAGGAAUUUGGAUUUCUUGGGGAGAAAGUUUGAUGAACUAGGGUUUUGCUUGAGAGAAAUUUGAUGAAAAGUGGAUGUAAAGUUCCUUAGAGGGGUUUAAUUCAUUGUUUAAGAUGGAUUAGGGGAUGAGAGAUUUUCCAAAAUGCCCCUCUUAAACUCAUAAACGGAACUGAAAAAAUGACCAAAAUCCUAAUUUUUGGCCAUGGUGUGACACACCACUAUCGUGCCAAGCCACUGGAAAUUGCCAACUGGGAAUAUGCACGGUGGUGCUACGCGGUGGUAUCACAUUUACACCUUCGAUGGGACCUGGAAACUUGGCGCGAAGCGCCAAUAUUGUGGACCCUCACUGGAAUUUGACAAAUGGACCGCAAUGCGCCAACAUUACAGAGGUCCACUGGUCAUUUAAAUCGUCUCCACGAUGUGCUACGGACCGAAAUGAUGGUGUUUUACGACUGGAACUUAAAAUAGUCAUAACUUAUUCACCGAGUUUUUGAUUUGGGAGAUUCUUAUAUCGAUGGAAAACCUAUUAAAUUUACCACACAGUGGAAAGUCUAAAUCUGGAAAAUUCCACAUAGAAUAAAUAUUAUUUAUUUAUGAAUCUAUCUCUUAACAUUCUAAAGAUGAUUCUAAGCUAAGAAAGUUUGGGGUAUUAUAAUAUCUCCCUUUUGGGAACAUUCGUCCUCGCAUGUGGCUAGUCAAGCUGAGGAUACUAAGGAAUCUGAGGCUAUAUGAUAGCAGGCACAACUGAAAUAAAUUUCAAAAUUGAAUCUAAAUCAUUUUGAGCUUCUGAGUAAUUCUGUGAGUGCAUGAACUUACAUAAGGACAACUACAUAGUUGAAUAUAUGAGUAGAAAAAAUCUGAAUCAAGAAAGAAUAUUACCUUUGGCUAAAUCUGAGUUUGCGGAGAAGAGGUGAGGGUACUUGGCUUGCAUUUCUGCUUCUGCUUCCCAAGUGGCACCCUCAACAGACUAAUUCCGCCAAAGAACUUUGACCAAGGGAACUUCUUUGUUCCUUAGUCUACGGAUCUGAUGAUCUUAAAUCUCAACUGGAAUCUCUUCGUACGAAAGACCGUUCUGAAUAUCUGAGCUUUCUAAAGUAACUACAACAUUGGAGUCACUGAGGCACUUCUUAAGCAUAGAAACGUGGAAUACAGGAUGAACCACUGACAAGUCUAUGGGCAAAGCAAGCUCAUAAGCUACUCUCUCAACAUGACUCAAAAUUCUAUAAGGGACAACAUACUAGGGACUAAGCUUCCUUUUUUUUGCCAAAUCUCUUCACCCCUUUCAUGGGUGAAAUUUUCAAAUACACUAAAUCACCAACCUCAAACCCGAAGUCUCUUCUUCUCACAUCUGCAUAUGAUUUCUGACAACUUUCGGCUAUUUUUAAUCUCUCUCUAAUCAACUUAACUUUCUCCAUCGCUUUGAAGACUGCAUCGGGCCUAAGAAAAGCAGCCUCACCCACUUUAAACCAAUAUAUAGGUGAUCUAUAUCUCCUCCCAUAAAGAGAUUCAAAUGGGGCUAUCUGUGUCCUAGAAUGAUAACUGUUAUUAUACGUGAACUCAAUAAAUGGCAAAUGCUCAUCCCAACUACCUUUAAAAUCAAGAGCACAUGCCCUCAGUAUAUUUUCUAGAGUUUGGAUGGUCCUCUUGGCUUAACCAUCUGUCUCAUGGUGGAAAGUUAAACUAAGAUGGACUUGGAUACCAAGGCCCUUUUUAAAAGCUCUCCAAAAUUGGGAAGUAAACUAUGUACCCCUAUCUGAGAUGAUAGACAAGGGAACUCUAUGCAAUCGGACGUGUGAACUGGAAAGAAGUGAGCUGACUAAGUCAAUCUGUCUAUAAUAACCCAAACCAUAUUAUGAUGAUGACGCGAAUGGGGUAAACCAGUCACAAAGUCCAUAUUCACCUCUUCCCACUUCCAAGUGGGGAUACCAAGCUCUUGUAAUGUACCACCAGGUCUUUGGUGCUAUACCUUAACCUGUUGACAAAUUGCAUACUUAGCUACAAACUCUACUAUAUCUCUCUUUAUACCACUCCACCAAUAGAUUUCCCACAAGUCGCGGUACAUCUUGGUAGCACCUAGAUGAAUAGAAUAACGUGCACCAUGUGCUUCAGCCAUAAUUCUCUGUCUCAACUCAUCAGCAAAAGGCACACACAAUCUAUUCUGGUAUCUCAACACGCCAUCUCCCUCUUGGGAUAAAACCUUUACCUUUUGGUCUUUAACUGACUCCUUAGUCUGACCAAACUAGAAUCCAGGUCUUGCUUAUCCUUUACUUUGGAAACUAGGAAAGAUUCGGAACUACUCUGAACCCAAACAUUCUCUUCAGCUGAGUCAACCAACCUAACACCCAAUCUAGCCAAAUGAUGAACUUCUCAAGCCAACUCUUUCUUAUCAUUCUCCAUAUGAGCAACACUGCCCAUAAAUAACCUACUAAGGGCAUCUGCCACUACAUUAUCCUUGCCCGGAUGGUACAACACACUCAUUCAUAAUCCUUCAACAAUUCUAACCACUUUCUCUAAUAGAGAUUCAACUCCCUCUGGGUAAAUACAUACUGCAGGCUUUUUUGGUCUGUGAACAUAUCAACAUGUACACUAUACAGAUAGUGCCUCCAGAUUCUUAGAGCAAACACCACAACAGCUAAUUCAAGAUCAUGGGUUGGGUAGUUCUUUUCAUGAGGCUUAAGCUGUCUAGAGGCAUAGGCUAUAACCUUACCUCUCUACAUCAACACAAAACCCAAACCAACUCUAGAGGAAUCACAAUACACCAUAAAACAAUCUGUACUAUCGGGUAAUGCUAAAAUUAGGGUUGUAGUGAGUCAUGUCUUCAACUCCUAAAAACUCGUCUCAUAGAAAUCUUACCACUGGAACUUAACUUUUUUUUGGGUCAAUCUAGACAUUGGGGAUGCAAUAGAUGAGAAACCCUUGACAAAACAUUGGUAAUAACCUGCUAGACCCAAGAAACUCCUAAUGUCUAAUGGAGAGAUAGGUCUAAGCUAAUUUCUUACGGCUUCUGUCUUUUGGGGAUAGACUCUAAUUCCAUCGACGGAAAUAAUAUGACCAAGAAAGGCUACUGAUCUUAGCCAGAAUUCACACUUGCUGAAUUUGGUGAACAAUUGAUGAUCUCUAAGAGUUUCCAAGACAAUUCUAAGAUGAUCUACAUGGUCAUCCUCACUACGGGAAUACACAAGGAUAUCAUCUAUGAAUACUAUGACAAAAAUGUCUAGAUAUUAUUUGAACACUUAGUUAAUAAGGUCCAUAAAAGCUGUUGGAACAUUGGUUAGCCUGAAAGAAAUGACUAGGAACUCAAAAUGACCAUAACGGGUUCUGAAAGCUAUCUUUGGAAUAUCAUAUUCCCUUACUUUAAGUUGAUGAUAGCCGAAUAUAAGGUCUAUCUUUGAGAAAUAACUUGUACCUUGGAGUUGAUCAAAUAAGUCAUCAAUUCUAGAAAGAGGAUAUUUGUUCUUGACAAUAACCUUAUUUAGCUGACGAUAGUCAAUGCACAUACGCAAAGAACCAUCUUUCUUUUGUAUGAAUAGGACAGAAGCGCCCUAUGGAGAAACAUUAGGCCUUAUGAAGCCUUCAUCUAAAAGAUCUUUGAGUUGCUCUUUCAACUCCUUAAGCUUUGCGGGAGCCAUACAAUAUGGAGGGAUAGAAAUAGGCUGAGUAUCUGGGAGAAGGUCAAUACCAAAUUCUAUUUCCCUAUCGGGAGGUACCCUUGGGAGAUCUUCCCAAAAAAUAUUUAAAAACUCAUUGACCACUUGGACAGACUGAAUUGUUGGAGUCUCAGACUUAGUGUCUUUAACUCAAACUAGAUGGUAAAUACAACCUUUGGAUAUCAACUUCCUGGCCUUAGGGUAAGAUAUAAAAUGACUCUUGGGAGACACUGAAGUACCCGACCACUCAAAGGAUGGCUCAUAUGGAAACUGAAACUUCACCAUACGGGUGUGACAAUAUAUAGAAGCAUAACAUGAAUGGAGCUAAUCCAUACCAAGGAUAAUAUUAAAAUCAACCAUAUCUAACUUUAUCAAGUCUGCUAACAUGACUUUAUGAAGGACAGUGAUAGGAUACUUUUUAUAGAUUUGUUUAGCAACAACUGACUCACCUACUGGAGUAGAAAUCAAAAAGGGCUCAGGGAUCUGUUCAGAACUUAUCUUAAAAUUCACAGCAAUUAACGGGGUCAUAUAAGAGAAACUCGACCUAGGGUCUAACAACACAUAAAUAUCAAAAUAAAAGACAUGAAGCAUACCAGUCAUAACAUCGGAUGAAUCCUCCUGCUCUUGAUGGGACGGUAAAGCAUAGAACCUAUUCUGGAGCUGACCGCCACCAGUACUGAAUGAUGCGCCCUGAGGAGGGGCUGGAUAACCUAAAAGAGCUAGUGUACUAGCAUCCUAAGCCUGGGGAUGAACAUCUCUAUUUUAAUAUCUAGCAUGCGGGCAUUCUUUAAUUCUUUGACCCAGCUGGACACAACCAUAACAUCCUUUCUGAUCCCACAAACACUCACCCUGAUGGGUCUUACAACACUUAGCACACUGAGGAUAAUUGGUUCUACCACUCACACUAUUUUAAGAUCUGGACAUAGAAGACUUACCCCACUAUUCCUACUUAUUUCUAGGUGCAGGAGCACUAGCCAAAAAAGGGGCAGGCAUAAUGACCGAUUCUAAAACUGUGAACGAUUUCCUCCGCCAGACCUAUUCUGACCAUAAUUAAAUUGUCCUGUUCUAGCCUUCUUAUUUACUCUCUCUCUUUUUUUUUCAUCUUCUCUACUUCAAUAUGCUAAGAAUGAAUCAUUAAUCUAGGAAGAUCCAUAUCUCCAAUGAGUAUAGCAGUCCUACAUUCCUUAACUACCAACCCAGACACACCAGUCACAAACUUACUCAUGCUUGACCUAGGGUCAACCAUCUAAUCAGGGGCAUACUUAGAUAACUGGUUGAACUUGAGGCAAUACUCCUUCACUGUCAUUGGGCCUUGCCUCAGGUUUAUGAAUUUUUCUAUCUUAGCUUCCCUCAUCUCACGUGGGAAGAACUUGUCUAAGAACGCAUCCUGAAAUAUCUGCCAAGUCAUGGGAGCUGCAUUCUCCCCUCUACUUUUCUUCCACAUCACUACCCAAUCAUAUGCAAUAUCCUUCAGCUUAUAGGAUGCCAAUUCUACACUCUCCUCUUUAGAAAUAUACAUGAUUUGAGUGAUCAUCUUUACCUCAUUUAGAUACAACUGUGGGUCCUUACCUACCUUCGACCCAAAGAAUUCUGGUGGAUUCAUUCUCAUAAAAUCUCAAAUUAUGGCUUUGUCUAAGUCCCUAUCUUACUUAGGUGGUACUAAAGCCUGACGGUUGGACUGGACAUUAGCUAUUACAGCUUAGGCUAGCGCCUAAAAUACAGCCCGAAACUCUGUAUGUGACACAUUUUCAUUCAAAGAAUCAACGGGCUGGGUAGCUGGUUAUCAUUUAUGUGGGCGUUAGCUCGAUUGAGGAAUUUUAUGUCACAUGAAAGCACAAGUUAGAAGCAGAUAGAGACACUGAAUGCAUGAUAGAUCAUGAAAGAAGAGAUAAUUUCCUACAAUUCUCCAUAGCCUCUUGCUCAUAUAUGCAGCACGCUUCAUACUGAUGAUCAAGACUCUAUGUAAUGUGGUUUGUCUGAAUCCUUAGGACUUUCUAAACCUUAGGCUCUGAUAUCGAGUUUGUAAUGCCCCAAAAUUUGAGUUCCUGGGAUGCUACACGGUGCUCCGAACUACAAGUAGUCCUGAGCUAAUCCUGACUAUUUUCUACUAAGUCUGAAUCUUAAAAUAGGGGAAUAUGAAUAUAAAGAUAGAAUAAAUAUGAAAAACUUAUUUGAAACACACUAAUCUCAUAAGUCUUGGUAAAACAAUACUAAAAACCUAAAUACUAAAUCAAAAGUAUAAAACUAAAUCUCAUAGUUCGACAAGCCUUUACUAUCUGAAUCUAGAGAGUUACUGGUACAGGCCCCCAGCUGACUCAAACUAUCUGAAAUGAACACUGAAACAUCUAUUGAUAACUGAAAAUGUGAAUAACUAAGUCCCCGGACUAUAAGGACUCACCAACUACAGGAAUGUAGAUGAGAUGCUCGAAAAUCACUCACGCUGCUGAGACUGAGCACCUGAACCUAUAUUAUGAGAUAAUGUAGCACAUAAACCUAUAUGUGGAUCAAUAAUUUGAUUAUGUACUGAGUAUAGAGGGGUAAAUACAAUAAGUAAACAAUAUCAUCAUAAUUUAUAAAGAAAAUCAUGCAUGCUAAAUGUAAAUGACUCACAUGGGGUUGAGUAAAUCUGAAAUAUGAAGAUCAUAAAUCAUGAACAACAAAACAUAUAAUAUAAAUCUUGUGAGCCAUUACAUUCAGUUCUAAAAUCUGUUCUUUCUGAAAGCUGCUACAUUAUAUUAUCAAUUUUAAGGGGAAUAAUUCAUCUCAACACUGUAAGAAUCUUAAAACCAUAUCUUUCAAAAGCAUAUGCUUUUAUCUCAAGGCUUUACGCCAAUAGACUAUUUUAAGAGUAGGGAACAUCUUAUUGGGAGGUUCUUCUAACCGACAUACACCAUGUAAGUAUCCAUGGAGUCCCACGUAUAGCCCCCGUUGGGUAGGGUUGUUCUACCCUUGCCAUCAAAAUAGAACUUCUUAUCUUAAGUGAUGACAAUCUUAAUCAUCCACGUAGAAGUGGGAAUAAUCUUAAUUCUAUGGUGACACAUAGUUCUGGGGUAUGAAAUCGUAGUAACUUACCCAUCUCGGUGCUAAAUACUACUCCCAUUAUUAUGCUCAAAAUCUUAAGAAAUCCACUUCAAAAAUAGCACAAGGCUUUAUAAGAAAACCAAUUAUACUUUUCUUUCUUUAAAUAUUAAGACAUAUGAACAAAGUGGAUUCUCUGUCUUAGCUUAGGACCAAAAGGUCAAAUCUUUAUCAAAAUCUGAGAAUAAUCUUAUCUGAGGGUGCUUAUUGAACAAAUGAUUUCGAAAUAGCAAUCUUAUUAGGGCUUAAUGACCCAUGCACCAACUCAUGUUAAAACAUCAAAGUAUUUAUGCUUGGUGAUAUAAACAUUCAUAAUUCAAUUCAAAAUCUGGAAAUUUACUACAAUAUGCAUGAAAAUAUGAACAUAAUCAUGUAAUUCAACUUCUAAAUAAUUGAAAAUCUAAUAAACUUGUAAAUAACAAUAAUGGGUAUAAACCCUAACUUCAAUUCAUGAAUAACUACAUAAAAGUUUAGUAAAUUUGCAUAAAAAAAAGUUUUGGGCACAAGGAUGAAAGGAUUAUCCUUGUUCAUACCCCACAUACCUCAAUUGAUGAUCUUUGAUAAAAACUUAGAUUUUAGAUUCCUAUUGAAGCUUUGGAGAUGAAUUCUUAGAGUUUUUGUAUUGGUAAUCUUAAAUCUUAAAUUUCUUUGGAGAACUAAUGGAGGAAUUUGGAUUUUUUAGGGAGAAUAUUUGAUGAACUAGGGUUUUGCUUGAGAGAGAUUUGAUGAAAAGUGAAUAUAAAGUGCUUUGGAGGGGUUUAAUUCAUUAUUUAAGAUGGAUUAAGGGCUGGGAGAUUUACCAAAAUGCCCCUCUUAAACUCAUAAAUGGAACUAGAAAAAUGACCAAAAUCCUAAUUUUUGGCCUUGGUACAACGCGCUACUAUCGCACCAACCCACCGUAAAUUGCCAACUGGGAAUAUGCACGAUGGCGCGAUGCGGUGGUAUCGCGUUGCCACCUUGGAUGGGACCUGGAAACUUAGUGCAACGCGCCAACAUCGCGGAGGUCCACUAGAAUUUGAUAGUCGUCAUUUAAACUAUCUCCGCGAUGCGCUAGGGACCGAAAUGACGGUGUUUUACAACUUAAUCUUAAAAUAGCCAUAACUUCUUCACCGAGUGUUGGAUUUGGGCUAAUCUUAUAUCGAUUGAAAUCCUAUUAAAUUUUCCAUACAAUGGGAAGUCUAAAUCUACAAAAUUCCAUAUAGAAUAAAUAUUAUUCAUUUAUGAAGAUAUCUCUUAACAUUCUAAGAAUGAUUCUAAGCUAAGAAAGUUUGGGGUAUUACACAUACACUCCUAUAGUGGCAGUUAGGAGGAAGAGAAUAAACAUUAGACAAAUACUCUCCAUUGUGAAAAUAAAAAAAUUGCAACUCCUCCCGCUCCAAGAAGGUGUUGAAGUUCAGGGGCCGCUGAAGAAGGUGGACAUAUAUGCGGCACUUGGUGAGAUUCAUCUUUGAGACGGGUGUACUCUCAACUUAGAUCACUUUGAUGAAUCCCUGAUGUUGUUUUGCUAUUCCUCAGGCCUCAGUUAAGUGUCAAGUCUUGCAUAAUACCCUCCUUAUGUAAUGAUAGUGGCAUUUAGUAAAUGCUUCCUAUUGAUAAAAGAUCAUUGUAUGCUUGUUUAGAUAAGGCUAUGAGUGUGAAGUAAGAUUUGGGGCUAAGUCUGUGAUAUAUGUGAUGGUUAGUGAAAAUUUUUGUGUGCAUAUAUUUUUUGAGGAAGCGCGUGGGAGUGAUAUUGACAGUGGUUUAGGGAGUAUGCGAAGCAUGUCCUUAUGAGUGUUUGCUUUGAAGUUCAUAUGUGGUUAUAAAGAUAGGCUUGAAUGACAUGUUAGGAUUUUUGUAAAGGAACGCUAUAUGCGCUAGCAACUUCAUAGUAAGAAUUUAGAGUAGCCAUUGAAGUGGUAAGGCAUGUUAUGCUUAGGUUGUGAUCUUUAAAAGAGAUAUAGAAGGUUGCAUCAUAUGGUUUAGAAUAAUAGCGUGGUAUGACAUGUUGUAUUUUUGUGACUUGGAAUUAGGUGUGAUCGCAGUGAAAGGAUUUAACCUACUAUAGACAUUAUUAGAAAGAUUUAUCAAUGCCCAUAUGAUAAUUAUAAAUUGAAUAGAAUGAAUAUGGUAUUUAAGAAGUUGUAUUGCCGAAGGCCUAGCAAUUCUAUCCUGAUUUAUGAGUUAUAUGUCUAUAUUCCAGGCUGUAGAGUAAUGUUAAUGUUUGGAUCCUAUAGUCGGAUGUCUUGUAUGACUCAUGCCCAAAUAUUUUGCUAUCUAAUACUACCAGGACUUCGUAAGGAAGAGUGUUGAUAAGAUACUCCUAAUUGAGUAUGAGUUUCUAGUAUAGUUCAGUCUAUGUGUCCAGCAAAUCAGUUUAGCCAUCAGAUUCGCAUGACUUGUUUUUUCGUCUUUUCAUUUAAUCAUGCUACCCCAAAAUCUCAGAUAUGUUACUAUUCCAAGAUAGAGUAUACUAGUAGUUGCGAGUAUAACUCAUUUCAUGCUUCAUGUACUAGAUUCAGAUUCCAAAUGUUCAGUUAUGAUUCAAUUCGUAAGUGCCUAGUGCAUCGCCUCAAUUUUUUCGAGUAUCUUAGUGAUUUAAGCAUUCAUAGAAGGACAUAGUGUCCCAAGGGGGAGAUAACCCCAUUUAGUUGCAUGCAUAGAUUCUUAUUUAAAGAUUCAUAUCAGUUAUUAUUGAAUAUUCAAUCCUACGUUCAUAUGUCAGUUCAGUCAGAUACGCAUGCAUUAGAAAAGCAUGUUCAAUAGAAAAAGUUUAGCUUAUCAGUGUAUUUAGUCCUGCAUUCAUGAGAACAACUCAGUCAUAGAUCCAUGAAUCAGAUAUGCAUGUUCAUUAUGAGAAUUCAGCUUAUGAGUAGCUUCAUUCGUGUAUUCCAUGCAUCAGAUAUGCACGUCCGGUAUAAGAAUUCGGAACAUCGGUAGUUCCAGUCUUAUAGUCAUGUUUUAGAUCAGUGUAUUCUUUCUUAGAUAACCUAUCAUGUCUACUUUAUUCCAUAUUUUAAAGCUUCAAAGUCCCUGCCCAUCAUUCGGGGACGAAUGAUACCAAGGGGGAGAUAAUGUAACACCCCACAUUUUUGGGCUAGAACGUAAAUCGUCAUUUCUUCUCAUAAAGGUUACAAAAUCCAUAAAUUCAAUUUAAAUUUAGUGUGUUGAUCAAUUAUGUAGUGUGGAAAUCUAUUUGAGCAUGAAUUAAGAUCAUAGAACUCCCCUAACUCAAGGACGAGUUGAAAGAUUUCCAAUCGUUCGAGUUUGAGUAAGCAUCAAAACUUGGGUCAACCUCAAUCAACCAUAAAUCAUUGUAUAUGAUGAACUGGGUGGCCUACUAUAUCCAAAUUGUAGAUAAUUGAAUAAUCUUUCCAACGGUAUAAGAUUUGUCGAAAUCCGAUAACCGGGUAAGGAGUUAUGGCUAUUUUAAUUUUUAGCUGUAAAACAAAUGCCAUUUCAGUGCAUGGCGCAUCGCGCCAGAGGCCAAAAUGGCACUCGUCAAUUUCUAGCAAGCCUCCACGAUAGUCCCGCUUCACUCCAAAUUUUUAGGUCUCAAUAAUUGGCAUUUUUCCAAGCUCCGCGUGGUGCUGGGGCCAAAAAUGGGGCUCUAGUUUCAGAAUUUCACUCAAGGGUAUUUUGGUCUUUUCUACCCAUUCCUACCCUCUAUAUAUGUCCUAGUAAAGGAAAAAAUCUCAUUUUAUUCUCUCUUCCAUUGCAAGCAUUAAGGUUUCCUCCCUAUAAUUCCAAUCCAAUUAUCUCUAGUAACUCAAGAUUCAACCAUGGGAAUUCGAAACAAACUGGAGAUUUGGAAUCCCCAGUUCAUAAGCUUCAAGGAGCACCUAUUAUUUUUGCAUAUAGAGGUACGUGGGAUGAUCCUAAAAAUCUCAUGGGCUUAAAAAAAUUCAUGUUUUGAAAUUGGGGGUUUUGGAAAUUAUGAAUAUAAUCAUGUUUUAAGCAUCUCUAUGAUAUUGAUUUGGUCUUUAGGCCUAUUCCAAAGUGAUUUGAUAUAUUAUGUAUGUAUAUGCUUGUGAUUUAAAAAGAUGAUAACUUGAGAGCAUGAAUUAUAUGAAACCUCUCUCUUGAUAUGAAAUUGUUAUGAAUUUUCAUAUGAUGUAAAUUGUUUGAAAUCAUCUUGACAAGCAUGACAUGAAAUAUUUUGAAAGUGGAUAUGAUUUUUGACUUGCAAGGAGAGGGUUGUUAUGUUGAAAUAUGAUGAAUAUAAUGGUUGCAUGAAAGAAUGAUGUGAUAUUGAUAGCUUGCAAGUCGGGUAUGAUGGUACCCUACAUAAUAUGAUAUGUGAUUGAAUUAAAUGGAGUUGAAUGCAUUGAUUUUACAUGAGAUAGGUGGAUGCCCGAAGAAGGCGUUUGAGUGUAAGGUCUCAUCGCUGGAAAUCGUAUUUGCCGACAUGGGAAUUUGGUACCUUGCUUCGUGAUCUUGCAUACCUGACUUUAUGUCAUCCCAAAUUGGGACUAUGGUUAGGAGCCCUGCUUUGUGAUCUUGUGCACUACCAUACUUUAUUGGGUUGAGACACCCUGCUGUGUGAUCUUGUAUGUCUUCCCCUCACUUAUACUCUAAUCUCGGUGGUAACCGAGGUUUGACAGUUAGUCUAAAUGUGAUAUGUAGGGUAUUCCACCUUGUUCAACUACAUUACAUUGUUGUUUGAAAAUUAUUACAUUAUGCCCAUGUUCUUUUCAAAUGAUUUGAUACAAAACUGCUUUAUAAUGGCUCUCACUUAUAUUCUGUAAAAAUGUUAUAUUUUUGUUUUGAAUUUCUCUGCGUACCAGUACUUUUGUAUUGACCCCUUUCCUCCCAAGUUCGGAGGCAUAGUCUAGAGGUCCAGAUAAUCAGUAGAUUCUUCAGACAGAUUUAUAGAGUCGGAUGGUGAGUCUUCUAUCUUUUGGAAGGCCUAAUGUCUGGCAGAUUAAUUAUUAUUUAGUUGUUUUGGAUCUACUGGGGCCUUGUCCCAGUUUUCAGACAUUGUUUAUUUUAGUCAUGUAGUAGAGAUUUCGCACACGGGUGUUCAGAUGCCGAUAGAUGUUGUGGGACAUUAUUUCCUCUUUGUUGAUUUCAUUUGAUUUAUGACCAUGUUUCCGUAAUAUUGUAAAUCUUCCGCAUGUCCUAUUAUCAUAUGAAUUAUGUGCAUGAUUACCAGAUAGAUAGAGGUGUUUCGGGCCUUCAUGGUUUGGAAUGCUCGUCACGGCCAGGGCACCAGUUCGGGUCGCGACACCUUACAUGUAGUGGCAAUAAUUUUUAUGUCUAGCGAAAGUUGAAUUUUUAUAAUGCAAUAGAUAAUAUAUCUGUUGUAAUAGAUAUAGUACCUAUUUUGAUAGAUUGAUUAUCUGUUGAAAUAGGUUGGUUAUCUGUUGUAUUAUGCAGAUAUUUCCCAAUCUAUCUGUAGUAACAGAUAUACAAUCUGUUGCAACAUAUAAUCUAUUUGUUGCAACUGAUAGGUAAUUUGUUGGAACAAAUCAAGAAAGUAGGAAGACCUGUUAUAUAAUUUCCAGCAGAUGACCUAACUAAAUGGUUGGAGUCCGUGUAUAAAGAAGAAUAUAUACAAAUAUAGAGAUGAACACGAUAAUAAUUUUUUAUUUCAAGCCACUUCACUUUACAUGUAGUGGCAAUAAUUUUUAUGUCUGGCAAAAGUUGAAUUUUUUAAUGCAACAGAUAGUAUAUCUAUUAUAAUAGAUAUAGUACCUAUUUUAAAAGAUUGAUUAUCUAUUGAAAUAGGUUGUUUAUCUGUUGUAUUAUGCAGAUAUUUCCCAAUCUACCUGUCGCAACAGAUGUACAAUCUAUUGCAACAUAUAAUUUAUCUGUUGCAACUGAUAGGUGAUGUUGGAACAAAUCAAGAAAGUAGGAAGACCUGUUAUAUAAUUUCCAGCAGAUGACCUAACUAAAUAAUUGGAGCCCAUGUAUAAAGAAGAAUAUGCACAAAGACAGAGACGAACACAAUAACAAUUUUUUAUUUUAAGCCACUUUACUUUACAUAUAGUGACAAUAAUUUUUAUGUCUAGCAAAAUUUGAAUUUUUAUAAUGCAAUAGAUAGCAUAUCUUUUGUCUUAGAUAUAGUACCUAUUAUGACAGAUUGAUUAUCUUUUGGAAUAGGUUGGUCAUCUACUGCAUUAUGCAGCUGUUUCCCAAUCUGUCUGUCAUAACAGAUAUACAAUCUGUUGUAAUAUAUAAUCUAUCUGUUACAACUGAUAGAACAGAUAGGUAAUCUGUGGAACAAAUUAAGAAAUUAGGAAGACCUGUUAUAUAAUUUCCAGCAGAUGACCUAUAUGUUGCAUCUCAUGUUGUAACACCCCAUAUUUCCUUAGAAUAAUCUAAGUCUCAAUACAUGAGUAUUUGUAUAUAAAAUUUUUGAAACACUCACAUUUUUCAGUUUAGAGCCUUCUAUUGCGUAGGAAAUUCAAUUAGCUUUCCGAUGAUAUAAAAUUUACCCAAAUCCUAUAACCGGGUAAGAAGUUAUGGCGAUUUUAAGUUUCAGUCAUUAAACACCAUUACUUUUUACCCUUAGCACAUCUCGGAGUCAGUGUAAAUAGCAAUUGUCAAUUUUCAGUGUUGAUCCACGAUAGUGGCAUGUUGCGCCGUAGGCCCAGUUCAUAAUUGUCUAAUUCCAGUGAGGCAGCGCGAUCAUGGCGCGCCGUGCCAAUGGUGAAAUUCAGAAUCAAAGGGGCACCGCGAUUUCUUUGCAUCGCGCCGUCAGCCCAGUUCCCAGUUGUUAGUUUCCAGUGACACGCCGCGAUUGCAUCUCGCCAGGUGCCCAUUUCGGAAAAAUUUGAUAAAAAUUAAAAGUUUCACCCAAGGGUAAAACAGUUCUUUCCCCUAAUUUUAAUCCGCCCAGGUGUGCUUUUAAGUCCUAAAAACAUUUUUGAACUCAUUAUUUUAAUUAUUUUCCUCAAAUUAAGAAGCUUUCUCCCAAAUCAAGAACCCUAACUCUCCAAUUUCAAGGCCAAUCCUCAAGAACUCACCAAGAAUUUUAGAAAAUUCAUCAAUUAAGGUAUGUAAGAUGUUCAUCCAUGGAUUCCUUUCAUCCAUGGAGCCCAAGUAACCCAUUUUAAUCACCAAGGUAUAAUCUUUUCAAGUUAUUAUGUUUUAAAUUAUGAUUUCAUCCAUGAAUCUCCAUGCACUAUUGAUUUUAUACGAUGUUACCAUGAAAUUAUGUUACUAUUCAAUUCUCCAUGUGUUAAUAUUAUUAUUUAUCAAAUUAAACCAUGAUUUAGUACUAUUAUGUUGAAUUCAUGCUAUUUUUAUAAGUUUCAUGGCAUUUCUAUGAUUGUUUUAAACCCUGAACUACAAGUAGUUGAUAAAAUGACUACAAGAGUGACUGACUUAAAUAAAAGCCUUCAUGUUUUUUCCUUCAAGCUUUAGUAUCAUUUUAAUAUUAUUGUUUUGAGUACUGGGGGUAUUGAAUACCCAAAAUCCAUAGUUGUUUAAUUAGUCUAGUAUCAGUACAUUAUAGAAUAGUCUUCAGAACAAUCUAUGAGCAUCUUCAGAACAGUCAGUUACUAGUCAGAUGAAUUCAGAGCAGUCUAGUAUUUCAGUGUCUUUUAGUUGGUAAUAGGAUUUAGCAUCGAGUGAGUGUAUGGAUGGCGGCUUCUCCGUCAGAUAGGCAGAGUUAUUAGUAGUAAUCCCUAUACUCCAGAACUAUGUAGCCAGCAUAGGAUAUGAGUAGUCACCCAUCAUACUAGGCUUGACUAUCUCACGGGGGUCACCCGUCAGUUCAAGCUUGACAGCCUUAGUCCUUUGGAAAUUAUAUCAGUUUAGUGGAUCAACAUAGCCAUCAUUGGUACCCGUGGCACGGUAUUAACACCCUUCUAAAUGGGGUUAUAGGUUGGACCCCGAUUAGCUCAAAUUAGGGAAUAUCGAUUAGAUGAUACCUCCCACAGUAUCAAAUAGAGUAUCAGUUAUAGUCUCAGCACAGUUAUGCAGUCUUAGAGUUGCUUGACCAAAGCAUACAUAUAUUAGUAUUUUUUUUAGUAUAUUUUAGUUUACAGAUUUUAUUCAGUCCAUGUUAUAUGCUUGGUCAUGCCUCCCAGGGUCUACAAAUUAGCACGUAUCUUUAGUAUUUAUAGACUGUCAUGCAUACUCAAUAUUUACAGAUUAUCUAUAUUUUCAGUAUCUACAGAUUCUAUGUUCUCUACUCAGCACUCCAUGUUUUACAUGCAUAUUCAGUUAAUUUAUUAAUUUUGUUCUUGAAACCAUGCCUAUCAGCCUACCUCAUUUAGCAUACUAGUAUAUUUAAAGUAAUAAUCGCAUACCUUUCUUUUGUGCUAUGAUGUAUUAUAUCAUAGGUGUUGACGCUCAAUUCCCAUACCGCGCUUAGACUUUACUCCGAGGACAGAUUAUUUUACUUCAUAUCUUUAUUUCAGUAGUUAGCAGAAUUAGUUGGGGGUCUGUCCCAUCAACUCAUAUUCAGUCAGUCAGUUUUAGAGGCUUUUCAGACAUAAGAGUCAGUUAUUUAGAAUUCAGACAUUACAGUUAGUUAUCCAGUUUAUCAUUAUUUUAUCAAAUUCAGUCAGUUGUUUCUAUAGACUCAUAUUUUAGUUUUAAAUUCAGUUAUUAAAACCUUAUGGCAUGUCAGUAUUCUUCUGUAUUUAUGAUCAUGUUAUCUAGUGCUCACAGCAGGUACCAGCUCAUAGGUUAGCUUAUGAUCCCUCGGGACUGUAAGCACCGAGUAACGACUAGGGGUAGUCCUGGGUCAUUACACAUGUUGCAAUAUAUAUCUAAAUCUAUAUGAUAAGAUAUGUCGUUUGUUGCAGCAGGUGUAUUAUCUGUUUUGAUAUUUGAAUCUAGUAUUCUAUUUCAAUUGACAUGUUCAAAACUAAGGAAUAAAUUAUAUUCAUAUACAACAUAAAAUAAAUUGAAGCCUUCAAAAAUUAUAUGAAAUAACUCAACAAAUAAAUGAAAUGUAAAAAAAAUAUUAUGGGUACAAAUGAUCUACUCUACAAAUAAUUCAACAAGUUAAACCAAGGAGGAUAGGUUAUUACAUUGACGGACUUAAGCUAUAAAUAUCUACUCAAUAUGGACAAGUUGUUCUUCAUCCGGUGCUAUGGAAUUCAGCUUUGAUCGUCGUGGAUCUUUAAUGACGCUUCCGCAUGGCUACUGAGCUUUUGCUUCUCCGUAUUUCCAUAAAAGAGCAACAUAUUUUUUGUUGAGUAAUCCGGCAUCAAGUCCAUCAUUUGGUACUUAUAAUCCAUCACUCAAAUAAUCGGCAUAGGCGGCAUCAAAAAGACCGCAAUCCUUGCAUUUUAAAAAAAAUAUAUAAUUCGUAUCUUGCAUUGUGAAAUUUAUGAAAUGAAACUAAAUCAUGACACUUACAGGCUACCAAUGGUUUAUUGAGGUUUAUUGAGCAAUUCCUUCAACAUAUUGUACAGCAAAUAGAUUACCCAUUUUAUCCCGAUAUGCUUCAAUCGUUAACCAAUCAGUACGAACCUUUUGGUCUAAAAAGCCACUCAUAUCAAGGUAAGUAGGCAAUAUUUUGGCCAACUUUUGUAUCUCAGACGACGGCCCAUAACGUCUCCUUCAUAACAUUGAGUCAUAAUCUCGGAUGUGCCUCUCUUUUAAAACGAUACCAGCUAACACCCAAUGGAAUUCAUCACCACAAUUGAUUGGGAUGUACACUUCAUCGAUCAAAUGCCAAGGUAAGCCAACUGGAAUGCUAAAACCUUUGAUGAUGUUGAUUAAGCAUUCCUCAUUUCGGGAAACUUCCAGCUGUUGUUGAUACUACCUAUCUUAGGCAUUAUUGAUGUAAACUUUUUACAAAAUAAUUGUCUCUCGUGUAUCUAUAUUGUUCUUGUAUUUACAACUUUGCCUUCUUUUAGAGGUAGUAAAAAAUGACAUCUAUGUGCUACACAUAUUAUCAAACAUUUUGGAUUACGUGAUGAAAAAAUUAAUACACAGAUGCAAUUAAAUUAUGAAUUAAUUAAUAGUAAUAUGUAAGACAUUUAAACCUUAUCAUUCCAAUAAGUUUAGGGUUGUGACAUCAAAUAGAAACAAUUCUUCAUUCUGGGAUAUGUUGCAACAACAAAGUCGAACAUAUCAAAACCAAGACUCGAUUCAUUCACUUUGUAGUGUUCAUCAUUUUGUUUUCUACAUGAUGAUUUAUAUGUGUUAAUGUCAUGUUCUUACAACAAGAAUUAUAUAAACCAAUAUAUUUAAAAUUGAUUUAUGUACCUGCCGGUAUGAUGCUUUAACAACCUAUCGGCAAUCCAUUCUGAAUAGUCAUUGAUCAACUGUGUUAGUUUUUUUGGAACCUCAUCCGAUAUAUUGAACCCUUCAAACAGGUAAUCCUUUCGUUCUCCCGAACUGGCAAGCUCCACUUUUUCUACUUCUUUGGAAGUAGUUGAUGGAUUAUCAACUGUGAUAUUAUGCUCUUAAGUGGUAGCUUCUACUGUGACAUCCACAUAGAAAGCCAAAAUUGUCAAUGCUAAUUACAGAUAUACAACAGAUUAUCCAUCGAUUGCACUAAAUGAGUCUUAUGUUGCAACAGAUGGAUCAUCUGUUAGGAUAAAUUCAAAUAUGUAAAUCAGAGCAGUAUGAUAAUUUCAAACACAUAACCCAUCUAUUACAACAUAAGACUCAUCUAUUGUAACAGAUAACACAUCUGAUGUAACAGGUUAGUCAACAGUUGCAACAGAUGUAUAUAUCUAUUUGAAAAUUUUUAGCAGAUGUAUCAUCUGUUGAAACAAAUAUGUGCCUAUUUGUUUGUUGGAACAGAUGAUGAACAUUCACCUUUUGCAGCUCAUGUUGCUCUCCUGUGGCCCUUGCACACUGAACAACGGUAUAAGAUAAAGACAGAGGCAUUGUAAUUUUACUUUUUUUGAUGCUUGAUGAUGCCUUGGAAAUAUCUUUCCUUCUCCUCUUAGCCACCUUGAUCUCUAGUGGAGUGUAUGGAUAUGAAAUCCUCUUUGAUAGAAUAACACCCCUCUUAGAUGCCAUAUUCUUUAGAGAAGCAGUUAGUGCAUUAAUAGCAUUAAUCACACCAUCAUAUUUCGUCUUGCAGUCUUGACAUUUGCAUGCAAAACAUUUGCUAAAUGUGGUAAAAUAUGGAUAAAAAUCUGUACAACCAGUAUGAUCAUAAUAAUAAUGGCUUGUUAUUUCAAAAACUGUAAGAGGAGCAUCAUUAUCCCCAACAGCAGCAGCACUACUACUACCACUACCAUCAACAACCGCAACAAUCCCACCCUCUAAAAUUAUUUUUCUUGUGAUGGUUGUUUCUCCAAACAAUUCCAUUUUUAUUCUAUAAACUACUUUAGGGUCCGAUAAAGUUUGCACAUACCAUAAAGUAAGAAAAAAUGGCAUCUCCAACUCUCGGUUGGUCGAAACAAGCUACAGAUAUACAAUCUAAAAUAAAUCAGUACUUAUAUUAGAAUGAUGAUGAAAUCAUUUAAAAUAAUCAUUAAUUAAAAUAAAAACUUGAUUAGAAUUGGACUUACUGCUUUCUUUGGGGAUUGAAAAGAUCAAGAAAUUUUAUAUUUUUAUCAAUUUUGGCCGACAACCAUCUCAGGAUUCUUGGAUAGGAAACUUCUUCCUGGUAGUUCACUUGUUGUCUCAAAUAAGGAAUAGCUUCAAAUGCCCAAGUCUAUAACAUAACGCCAAUAAAUCAAAAGCAUUAUUGAAUAAAAAAUUGAAUCAUAUCAUGAUAAAAGGUAUAUUUACCAUGAAGGCCCAUGAAAAGCCAUAUAAGUUGACUGUUUUGGCGUUAACGGAGUCAACAAAUAUUUGACAGUCAAUUUAAAGCUAUCAUAACCCCAAGGAUAGCUACUAAAUGUCUCAAGAUCCUCCGAGAGAGUUAUUAAACUGGGGCUUAUGUUGUUGUUAACGUCUCUCGUCCAAAGAAUAUUAUGUACAAACCAAACCAAGCACAAUGAUUGCUUGUUCUUCUUUGAGAGUCCUUUACCACUCAACACUUCUAUCAAAUUUUUUUUUAAGCUUGGACCAACAAUGGACACUAGGUCAUCAUGAUCACUCGACUUGCCUUUGCCUUUUUGGGUGUGUGGGGUGCUUUUUUGGGUUAGAGUAGGUAUAACUUGAGAAGGAGAAGGAGGAUAACAUUUUAGUCCAGUAACUAUGGCAAACUCUUUCCAACCAAAACAACAGGUGUGACGCCCCAUAGUUUUCUUGACUCGAUAUCACUUUGUAGUAUGCUUGGAGGGUCAACCUUCUAGAGAUGAAAUUAAACUCUCACCUCCCUUCAAGAAGUUGAAUUGAGUCACCUGUACCCUAUUAGAGAGGAAGAGUGACACAUUUUGAACCCCUAACCUUUGAUAAUUUUAUUUUCGACCUUCCCAACCUUGGAAAGUUAAUUUUUAAGUUGAUUCAUGAUCGAAGAAGUUAAUAGUACAUGUCGGGUAAGUUUCAGAAUUUUUGGACAGCGUUAGAGGUAUAUUUGGGUGUUGGAAGCAGUGGCCCGACAAAAAGUCAGUGCACCACAUCGAUGAUAGAAUCGAUGAAGCAGUGGACCGAUGCGAUCUCAACGCGUCACAUCAGGUAACGCAUCGAUGCCUAGUUUGCAUUUUUUAAAAUAAUAAUCAGCCUUAGGGAGGGAAUUAUAGUCUUUUCCUCGCCCUAUCUCUACCAUAACAUGAGAUUAAAGUGUCAUUAGAGCAAAAUACAUCAGAAAAACUAAUUCCCUCUCUCUAAUCAAAACCCUAGUCUCUCCCUCAUAGAUCAAGAGUCCAUCUUUGAAGUCAAGGAUUUCAAGAACUUAAGUGUGAUUCGGAUUCCACUCUUCCUUCUAAGCAACCUAAGGUACAUGGGGUUUUCCUAAAACUACAUGGGCAUAAAGGAAUUGUUUCAACAAUAUUUAUUGUGAAAUCAUGAAUUCUUGAAGGGAUUUUGAAAUUUACAAUACAAUUUUGCUUUAUGAAUUAUUUAAUGGAAAAAUUGAUUUGGUCUUAAGGCCUUUCCCCCAAAUUUGAUUUAUAGCCAUGUAUAAGUAUAUAUAUGUAUGUGUUAUGAGUUUAAAUGAUAAAUUGAGAACAUGAUCUAUUAGAAAUCCCUCUCUUGUUUACAAGUUUCUUGUUUUCGUUAGUUAUGAUUUAUUUGAAAUGCAUUGUUGGAACUAUGAUAUAAAUGUCUUGAUUUUGUUUAUGAUUUAAGUAUGGUUUUAAAUUGAAGAGGGGGUGUCUUACUUGGUGUUAAAGUUUAAAGAUGCUUACUAAGAAGAUUGCAUAUUCUUGCCACAAGUUUCAUGAUCACUACAUAUUUGUUAAAAUAUUAAAAAGAAUAAUUUUUACAUAAUUUGACAAAUGCUUUGAAGUACGAAUCUUCUUAAAUUGUUUGAAGUAUGGUGGUCCAAACACUAUGUUUUGAAAGAGAAAACUGUAAAUGAUAUUGAAUGGCUUAGAUAUGACUUGCAAGUCUUGGUAUAACGGUACCAAUACAGACAACCAUAAUAGACACAGAAUAAAAUAGAAUCAGAUUUUACUCAGACUUACAGAUCUUGAAUUCAGAAAGAUGCAUAUUUAGAAAAGGCUAAAAUUAGGCAUAAAGAGACGUUAGGUGGUUCCCCGAAGAAGGCAUGAGUUCAGAUAACUUAUUUCCUAAAACUAUUUUUUAUUGGUACGGGUUAUUACAUACCCUAGAGGGAUUUUAUGCUAGCCUAGUUCCCUGUGGUGUAUCAGACUCAAACACUCCAAUCUUUGCGGCAAACUUAGGUUGGGGACUUCUCCAUCGAGUCAAUGGCAGAUUUCAUAUAGUCCAUAAAAUAUCAGACUUGUAGGGGUGUGCCGCCUAACUCAGAAGUAAUACAAAUAUCAAAAUUGCAUUGAUCAGAAUUUUUUAUGAUUUUAAAGAAUUGCCCAUGUGUUUUUCACCUAUAUUAUGCAUGAUGUUUCAUGACCUGCUCUCAUCUAUUUUAUAUAUAUAUAUGCAUUAUUUCGGAUUCCUCUGCGUACCAGUAUAAUUGUAUUGACCCCCUAUCUUUCGGGGUCUGAGGCUUAGUCUAGAGGUCCUGCUAAGCCGUAGACUUGUUCGGACAGAAGAUAAGUGUGUACAGUUGGUGAGCCUUCUUUAUUUUGGAAGGCCUAUUUCUUUUCAAUCAGUUGUCAUUUUACUUGAUUUAGGCCCACUGGGGGCCUUGUCCCAGAGUCAGACAAGUUAUUGACAUCUUAUGUAGUAGAGAUUUUACAGACUGAGAAAGGUGUUGUUUAAAUGUUGAAAAAUUAUUUUUUGUAUUAUCAAAGAGAUUUCAGAUUUAUGACCAUGAUUCUGUUUAUUAUAAUUCCCCAUCUUUUAUUUAUUAUUCGAGUAUUAUGCAUAAUUACCAGAUGUAGAAGGGCGCUCGAGCCUCCAUGGUUUGGGGUGCUCAUCACAACCAGGUCCCCAACUCGGGCCGUGACAAACUUGGUAUCAAAGCACGGUUCAUGAUCCCAGGAUGUCUGCGAAAUCGCAUCAGGUGGAGUCCUAUUUAUUGGUGUGUAGUGCGCCACAUUCAUAAGUGGGAGACUACUAGACGUUUAGGAAUGUCUCCCUUCUUUGUGAUUUAGUUCGUGUUGUAGAGUCUGAAAUGUCCCCUAAUCAAUGGUCUCUUGUAUUUCAGAAAAGCUAUCAUGCCUCCAUGUCGCUCUGAUGAUCAGAAUGCCUAAACUGAAAAUGUCUGUCCUACCCAUGGGAUAAGGACACGUAAUAAGGCUUUCACUUCUGAAUUUGUUGCUACUUUGGGAGUCCAUCCAGUUCUGACCAGCCCACCCAGGGCACCUAGGGCUCCCUGGUCAGGGACUAACCAUACCCAACCUCCCUAGAGAAAGAGAUAUCGAAUGCUGAGUUCAGGCAAUCGAUGCAUAUGAUCGCACAGUUGGUAGAUUUUCAAGCACGACUUUUGGAGGAUGUUGGGUCUGCGUCUUUCAUAUCUGAGGCUACACGAGUGGGUUAGUUUAUGAUAAUGAACCUACCUAAGUUUACUGGUAUAAAGGUGGAGGAGGAUUCAUAAAAGUUCAUAGAUGAGAUGGAGAAAAUCUUUUGAGUGAUGCAUGUAGAUGAAGUAGAAGGGGUUGAACUAGCGGCUUAUCAAUUGAAAGAGGUAGAAAAUCAGUGGUACAUUGAGUGAGAAGAUUUAGGGGGUGAGAAUACUGAUCCUUCUAUAUGGGGCGAAUUUGUUGAAGCCUUCCUGGACUGAUUCUUUCCCCGAGAGUUGAGGGAGUCCAAGGCUGAAUAGUUCAUAAACCUGAAACAAGGAAAGAUGAGCGCCAAAGAGUACACCCUGAAAUUAAAUAAACUAUCUUGUUAUGCUCUGGAGUUGGCAAGAAACAUGAGGACCCGUGUAAGAAAGUUUGCAUUUGGCCUUUUGGAUGACUUGGUGUUAGAGUGCAAGGGGGCGAUAUUGAACAGGGAUAUAGACUUCUCUAGAUUAUCUAUUUAUAAGCAGUAGGUGGAGGAGCAGAAGAAGAUGGUUGCUGAAGCAAGGGAGAAGGAUAGGCAGGCCAAGAGGGCCUGACCAGCAGACCAGAACCACAGUCAGCCACAGAGUGGUAAUUGGGGUAACAGGUGGCAGAAGAGAAAAAGUUUUUGGGUAAUGCUCAAUCUGCGGCGAGUGCUCCAGCGCCCAGACCUUCAGUUGACCGACGAUGAUCUAGAGUGUAGGGUACUCAGUCCCAGGGCAGUGCAGCUCAGUCGUAAUGGACCUUUGAAACCGAUUGUAUGCUUUGUCCAAUUUCAAGAUGCAGAGGCUUCCCCAGAUGUAGUCAUGGGUAUGUUACAAAUCUUCUCUCAUGAUGUAUAUGUGUUGCUUGAUCUUGGGUCUACCUUAUCUUAUAUGACCCAAAGUUAUUGCAGAACCUUUCUUUGUUUCUACUCCUGUUGGUGAUUCUGUUGUGGUAGGAGGGUAUAUAAAAAUUAUGUUGUGUUUAUUUGUAGUCAUGAUACCAUGGCAGACCUCAUAGAACUUGACAUGAUUGAUUUUGAUGCUAUUUUAGAAAUGGACUGGCUCCAUUCAUGUUAUGCCACGCUAGACUGUAGAACCCGAAAGGUUACAUUCUUUUUUUCGAAUGAACCAGUGAUAGAAUGGGAGGGUCAUUCAUUAGCACCUAGAGGGAAAUUCAUAUCUUACCUUAUAGCACGUAAGCUCAUUUCCAAAGGGUGUUCGUAUCAUCUGAUCCGAGUAAAAGAUUCUAAUAUUAAAAGUUUUGUAUCAUCUGAUCCGAGUAAAAAAUUCUAAUAUUAAAAGUUCUUCUCUUCAGUCUGUCCCUAUGGUUAAUAAGUUUCCAGAAGUCUUUCCCGGUGAUCUCCCAGGAAUACCACCUGAUAGGGAAUUAGAUUUUAGUUUUGAUUUAUUACCAGACACUCGUCCCAUUUCUACUUCAUGAUAUAGAAUGGCUCCUGCUGAAUUGAAAGAGUUGAAAGAGGAACUAGCAGAUCUUCUUGAUAAAGGCUUCAUCUGUCCUAGUGUUUCUCCCAGGGGUGCGCCUGUACUUUUUGUACGUAAGAAAAAUAGUUUCCUCCGUAUGUGCAUAGACUACCGCUAGUUGAAUAAGGUCACUAUCAAGAAUAAAUAUCCCCUUCCUAGAAUUGAUGGUUUCUUUAACCAACUUUAGGGUGCUAAGUGUUUUUCAAAGAUAAACCUUUGUUCGGGGUAUCAUCGGUUGAAGGUUAGGGAGGCUGACAUUCCCAAAAUAGCUUUCUGAACCCGAUACGGUCAUUAUGAAUUCUUACUCAUUUCCUUUGGUUUGACUAACGCUCCUGCAGCCUUCAUGAACCUAAUGAAUAGGGUGUUUCGUUAGUUUUUGGAUCUGUUUGUUAUAGUCUUCAUUGAUGACAUUUUGAUUUACUCUAAGAAUGAGAGGAUCAUGCCAGUCACCUCUGAAUUAUUCUUCAGACCCUCAAAGAUCAUAGAUUAUAUGCGAAAUUUUCCAAGUGUGAAUUCUGGCUUAAUGCUAUUGCUCUCUUAGGGCAUAUUGUGUCUAGUGAGGGAAUUAAAGUUGAUCCCCAAAAGAUUGAGGCAGUAAGAAAAUGGCCCAGACCCAUGACUCCAACCGAUAUUUCGAGCUUCUUGGGUUUGGCGAGGUAUUACAGAAGAUUUGUAGAGAGUUUUUCUUCCAUAGCUGCUCCACUUACCAGAUUGACACAGAAAAAGGUGAAGUUUAUAUGGUCUGAGUCCUGUGAAAAUAGUUUUGAGAAGUUGAAAGACAAGUUGACUACUGCACCUGUUUUGGAUCUUUUAGAAGGUACAGAGGGUUUCGUUGUAUAUUGUGAUGCGUCCUAGAUGAGACUUGGGUGUGUACUUAUGCAGCAUGGUAAGGUGGUAGCUUAUGCAUCUAGGCAGUUGAAGGUGCACGAGCGAAACUACCCCACCCAUGACUUGGAUUUAGUGGAUGUGGUGUUCGCACUUAAGAUUUAGCGGCAUUAUCUGUACGGGGUACACAUUGAUAUAUUUACUGACCACAAAAGUUUGCAAUAUGUUUUCUUACAGAAAGAAUUAAAUCUCAGGCAGAGGCGCUGGUUGGAACUUUUGAAGGGUUAUUAGAUGAGCCUGCACUAUCAUCCGGGCAAGGCGAAUAUGGUGGCCGACGCCCUCAAUUGAUUAUCUAUGGGUAGUCUUUCUCAUAUUUAGGAAGGAAAAGGAUAGAUGGUGAAAGAUAUUCAAUGGCUUGCAAAUAUAGGGGUGCAACUUCUGGAUUUCGAAGAUGGAGGAGUAGUUGUGCAUGAGAUAGCGAAAUCCUCCUUAUGUGCUGAAGUAAAGGAAAAGUAGGCCAAGGACCCCAUUUUGAUGCAAAUCAAGAAAGAUGUGGGUCAGUAGAAAGUAAUUUUGUUUGAAAUUAGCGGUGAUGGUAUUUUGAGAUAUCAAGGUAGGUUAUGUAUGCCAGAUGUGGAUGGUUUGCAAAAAAUAAUUCUUGGCGACGCUCACACUUUGAGGUAUGUUAUUCACUAACGCUCUACUAAAAUGUACCAUGAUUUUAAAGUUAUAUAUUGGUGGACUAAUAUGAAACAUGAUGUGGUUGAUUUUAUCUCUAAGUGUUUAAAUUGCCAACAAGUUAAAGUGGAACAUUUGAGACUAGGUGGUACUUCCUAAGAGAUAGCUUUGCAAUGGGAGAUGAUCAAUAUGGACUUCAUCAAAGGACUUUCGAGGUCCCGAAACCAAUAUGAUUCCAUUUGGGUAAUUGUGGAUCAGUUGACCAAGUCAGCACACUUUUUACCUGUGAUAGCUAACUACUCGGGAGGUGAUUAUUCCAAGCUGUACAUUAAGGAAAUACGCCGUUUGAAUGGGGCACCGGUAUCCAUUAUAUUCAAUCGAGGUAUGUAAUUCUCUUCAUAGUUUUGGAGAGCGUUUCAGAGGGGUUUAAGUACCCAAGUGAACCUGAGUACUGCAUUCCACCCUCAGACAGAUGGGAAAGCUGACCGCACCAUUCAUACCCUUGAGGACAUGUUGAGGGCUUGUGUAAUUUACUUCAAAGGUAGUCGGGUAGAUCUUUUUCCAUUGAUAGAGUUUUCCUACAAUAAUAGCUACCCAUGUCAGCAUUAAGAUGGCCCCUUUUAAGGCACUUUAUGGGAGGAUAUGUAGAUCACCGAUUGGGUGGUAUGAAGUAGGUGAAACACGGGUAUUUGGACCUGAGCUUGUUCAUCAGGCAAUGGAGAAGGUGAAAAUCAUUAGAGAAUGACUCAAGACAGCCUAGAGUCGCCAGAAAUCCUACGCCGAUGUUAGAAGAAGGGAGCUAAAAUUUGAGGUUGGUGAUUAGGUGUUUCUAAAAGUCUCCUCUAUGAAGGGAGUCAUACGAUUUGGGAAGAAAGAAAAGUUGAGUCCUCGCUUUAUAGGACCAUAUCAGAUUGUGAGAAGAAUAGGUGGGGUCACUUAUGAGUUAGAGUUGCCCGCAAAUCUGUUCAUCCCAUAUUUCAUGUGUCCAUGUUAAAAAAGUGUAUUGGAGACCAUUCCCUAGUGUUGCCUGUAGAGAAAAUCAAAGUGACAGAUUCCUUGUCAUAUAAAGAAGAGCCUAUUGCAAUCUUGUAUUGCCAAGUUCGAAAGUUGAGGAGUAAAGAAAUAACUUCGGUCAAGGUGUUAUGGAAAAUCAAAAUACGGAGGAAGCUACUUGGAAAUCAGAAGAUGACAUAAGAAGUAGGUACCCAGGACUCUUUGAGAUAGUGAGUAAUGACAUAAAAGGUAUCACUCAUUUAGUCUCUCUCUAUGCUCUUUCUUUUUCUUUGGUAUGUUUUAAAUCGUAUUUGUCUGUGCUCUAAGCCAUCAUUCGGGGACAAAUGAUCCCAAGGGGGGAUAAUGUGACACCUCGUAGUUUUCUCGACUUGAUAUCACUUUGUAGUAUGCUUGGAGGGUUAACCUUCUGGAGAAAAAAGUCUAAGUGUCAAAAGGACUUAGUCACAUUUUGAACCCCUAACCUUUGAUAAUUUUAUUUUUGACCUUCCCGACCUCGAAAAGUUAAUUUUUAAGUUGAUUCAUGAUCAGGGAAGUUAAUAGUACAUCUCAGGUAAGUUUCGGAAUUUUCGGACAACGUUAGAGGUGUAUUUGGGUGUUGGAAGCAAUUUCCCAUGCUAAGUCAACGCACCGCGUUGAUGAAGUAGUGGACUAACGCGAUCUCAACACGUCGCAUCGGGUAACACAUCGAUGCCCAAUUCACAUUUUUUUAAAUAAUAAUUGGCCUUGGGGAGGGUAUUAUAGUCUUUUCCUCGCCCUAUCUCUACCAUAACAUGAAAUUAAAGUGUCAUUAGAGAAAAAUACAUCAGAAAAACUACUUCCCUCUCUCUAAUCAAAACCUUAGUCCCCCCCAUAGAUCAGGAGUUCAUCUUUGAAGUCAAGGAUUUUAAGAACUUAAGUGUGAUUCGUAUUCCACUCUUCCUUCUAAGCAACCUAAGGUACGUGGGGUUUUCUUAAAACAACAUGGGCAUAAAGGAAUUGUUUCAACAAUAUUUAAACAUUGUGAAAUCAUAAAUUCUUGAAGGGGUUUUGGAAUUUACAUUACAAUUUUGCUUUAUGAAUUCUUUAAUGGAAAAAUUGAUUUGGUCUUGAGUCCUUUUCCCCAAAUUUGAUUUAUAACCAUGUAUAAGUAUAUAUAUGUAUGUGUUUGAUGAGUUUAAAUGAUGAAUUGAGAGCAUGAUCUAUUAGAAAUCCCUCUCUUGUUUACAAGUUUCUUGUUUUCGUAAGUUAUGAUUUAUUCGAAAGAGGUAGACCGAAGAUAUAUUGGAGGGAGAUGAUUAGACAUGAUAUGGAGCAAUUAUAACUUACAGAGGACAUGACUCUUGAUAGGAAGGUGUGGAGGACGCGGAUUAGGGUAGAGGGUUAGGGGGUGGGAGUGCGGAGGAAGUAAUAGGGGAGUGCUCCUUUGGGUCUGGAGUUUCUGGUUCGUAGUGUUGUGGCUGUAGUUUGGGGCUAGUGGUGUUGUCUUUUUUGCAUCCCGCACUAGUUUACUAUACACUUAUUUUUGUGUUUGUUAUACUGUUAGUUUGUUUUGUGUACCAUACUAGUUUAUAUACUCUUACUUUUUAUAUUUGUUAUACUGUGAUUGGUCCUAAACAGAGGGUCUAUCGGAAACAGCCUCUCUACUUCUCUUGAGGUAGUGGUAUGGUCUGCAUACACUUUACCCUCCCCAGAACCCACUAGGUAGGAAUACACUGGGUAUGUUGUUGUUGUUGUUGUUGUUGUUGUUGUUUGCAUUGUUGGAACUAUGAUAUAAAUGUCUUGAUUUUGUUUAUGAUUUGAGUAUGGUUUUGAAUUGAAGAGGGGUGUAUUACUUGGUGUUACAAGUUAAAGAUACUUAUUAAGAAGAUUGCAUAUUUUUGUCACAAGUUUCAUGAAAACUACAUAUUUGUUGAAAUACUGAAAAGAAUGAUUUUUACAUAAUUUAACAAAUGCUUUGAAGUACGAAUCUUCUUGAGUUGUUUGAAAUAUGGUGGUCCAAACACUAUGUUUUGAAACAGAAAACUGUAAAUGAUAUUGAAUGUCUUAGAUAUGACUUGCAAGUCUUGGUAUGACGAUACCAAUACAGACAAUGCCAUAACAGACACAGAAUAAAAUAGAAUCAGAUUUUACUCAGACUUACAGAUCUUGAAUUCAGAAAGAUGCAUGUUUAGAAAGGGCUAAAAUUAGGCAUAAAGAGACAUUAGGUGGUUCCCCAAAGAAGGAACGAGUUCAGAUAACUCAUUGACCAAAACCGUAUUUUGUCGAUACGAGUUAUUACAUCCCCUAGAGGGAUUUUACACUGGUCUAGUGCCCUAUGGCAUAUUAGAAUCAGACACUUCAAUCCUUGCGACAAACUUGAUUUGGGGACUUCCCCGCCGAGUCAAUGGCGGAUUCCAUAUAGUCCAUGAAAUAUCAGACUUGUAGGGGCUUGCCACCUAACUCAGAAGUAAUACAAAUAUCAGAAUAUCAUUGAUCAGAAUGUUUUAUGAUUUUCAAAGAAUUGCCCAUGUGUUUUUUACCUAGAAUAUGCGGGUUGUUUCAUGACCUGCUCUCAUCUAUUUUAUAUAUAUAAGUGCGUUAUUUUAGAUUUUCUGUAUACUAGUACAAUUGUAUUGACCCCCUAUCUUUCAGGGUCUGAGGCUCAAUCUAAAGGUCUUGCUAAGCCGUAGACUUGUUCCGACAGAAAAGAAAUGUGUGCAGUUAGUGAGCCUUCUUUAUUCCGGAAGGCCUAUUUCUUUCAGUCAGUUGUUAUUUUACUUGGUUUAGGUCCACUGGGGGCCUUUUCCGAGACUCGGACAAGUUGUUGACGUCUUAUGUAGUAGAGAUUUCAUAGACUGAGAAAGAUGUUGUUUAGAUGUUGAAAAACUUAUUUUCUGGAUUUUCGAACAAAUUUCAGAUUUAUGACCAUGAUUUCGUUUAUUAUAAUUCUACAUCUUUUAUUUAUUAUUCGAGUAUUGUACAUGAUUACCAGAUGUAGAAGGGCGGUCGAGCCUCCAUGGUUCGGGGUGCUCGUCACGGCCAGGGCCCCGGCUUGGGUCGUAACAACAGGCAUGCCACAGUAAUUUAUCCACACUUAAUCCAUCUUAUCUUUGUUUUCACAUAUCAACCUAUGCUUGAGAAGAUCGUAUACCAUUUUUAUCUGAAAACGAGCAUUGUUGUCCUCCGACAAAUCAAGAUAUUGCCCAAAGUAGCUUUCCCUGAAAUAAGCAUCUAAUUUUUGUUAUCGAAGUAUUUUUCUAAAGGCGUUGAAAGAUUUUUUCAUGGAUGACUUAACCACGAAAUCACUCGUUAAAUCUGUGGCACCAUCGCACUGCAUUCUCAUAGGAUAAUGAUUAAUGCUGAAGGUUUUGACCAACUCUUCAGCGGAAGGGCUAUUAGCAUUUAGAUCAUCUCUUUUGAAAUAUUCCUCCGCCCCGUGUUCAUUAUCUUCUGCUCCUAAUUAAGAUAACGCUUGUAAAGCAAGCUCAUAAAGUGGUGGAUGUAGUCGAGCUGUUGCACUAGUUCCUUUCUUGGACUUGAUUUGGUUUCUUUUCUUUUGGGAGCCAUAUUAUCUUAAAUUAAAAAGAACAUAAAAUAGAUUAUAAUUGAUUAAUGCAUCGUUAAAAAGGGAUAACAGUAAAUCUAACAUGCACAACGAUAAAAUAACAGUUCCAACAGAACACAUAUUUGUUGCACCAGGUAUGUUAUCUGUUGCAACAUAUAACCAACUUGUUACAAUGGAUGAGUAAACCAUUGAAAACAAUAAAAAAAGAUCACUAAUCUAUUGCACUGAAUAUUUUAUCUGAUGCAACAUAUAACCAACCGUUGCAACGGAUGAGUAAACCAUUGGAAACCAUAAAAAUAGAUCACUAAUCUGUUGCACCAGGUAGUUUAUCUAUUGCAAUAUAUAACCAACCUGUUGCAACAGAUGAGUAAUUCGUUGGAAACAGUAAAAACAGAUUACUUAUCUGUUGCACUAUGAAGGUUAUCUAUUGCAACAUAUAACCAACCUAUUACAACAGAUGAGUAAUCUGUUGAAAACCAUCAGAACGGAUCACUAAUCUGUUGCAUCAGGUAUUUUAUCUAAUGUAACAUAUAACCAACCGUUGCAACAAAUGAGUAAACCGUUGAAAACCAUAAAAACCGAUCACUAAUUUGUUGCACCAGGUAGUUUAUCUGUCACAACUUAUAACCAACUUGUUACAACGGAUGAGUAAUCCAUUGGAAAUAGUAAAAAUAGAUCACUCAUUUAUUGCACCAGAAAGGUUAUCUGUUGCAACAUAUAACCAAUCUGUUGCAACGGAUGAGUAAUCCAUUUGAAACAAUAAAACAAAUCACUGGGUCUGUUGAAAUAUACCACUCAUCUAUUGCAAAAUAAGUUAUCUGUUGGAUCAAUAUUAUUUAGAUUUCUUCCUGACGGAAGAGUCGUCUGUCGCAACAGAUGAAUGAUCUGUUAGAUUAUUCAUCUGUUGCAUCAGAUUUUCAUAGUUGCAUCAGAUGUUUUCAUUUGUUGCAUCAGAUGUUUUCAUCUGUUGCAUCAGAUGUUUUCAUCUGUUGCAUCAGAUGUCUUCAUCUGUCGCAUCAGAUAUUUCAUUUGUUGCAUCAGAUGUUUUAUCUGUUGCAAUACCAUUUUUACCAAGACAAAUAACAAAUCAACUCAGCAACACCAACAUAUCACACACACACUAAAAACAUCAACCGUGACCAAAAAUCACCAACAAAUUCGAAUCAAUAGUUUGACAAUAAGAAGAAGAAAUUCCAGAAAUUAGGGUUUUAUUCAGUCCACAUUUCAAAUUUAAGCUAGAAAUAUUGAAAUUGUUAACCAAUACUGGAAGAGUAGUUGGCUCAAGUUUCUCUGUUUCUUCAUAAUUUUUUACCUGUGAAAAAAGAAAUGGGACGACGAAGAACCGAAGUUGUCGCCGGAGAAGUCUUUAUGUUGAUUGACGGUUGAAAGUAGAAAGGAAACUCGCCCAACUAUUUGUCAACGGGGUUGAAGUCACCAGUGAUUGAAGGGGAAAUUUUGCAGAACUGUUGGUUGGGAGAGAGUGGAGAAAAAUUGUCGAGAGAGAGAGAGGAAAGAGACGGUUGAUUUGUAUUGAAGGGGGUGUGGGUUGAUUUGUAUUUUUGAAAAGAUUAUAAAGUUUUGAAAAUAUUAAUCAAGUUCACAAUUAACUUAAUCAAGUUUCCUAAUGAUGUUUGACCCUUUAAGUUGGUCAACAUCACUAAUAAGACACCUUUCCUUCAAUUUUCUCAAGAUUCUUUGGGAUGACUAAUACUAUUGUUUAUUGGGUUGGUUAGACAUAUAUAUAUUCGAUAUUUGAGCCGGGGGUUUAUCGGAAACAGCCUCUCUACUUCUUCGGAGGUAAUGGUAUGGACUGCGUACAUCUUACCCUCCCCAGACCCAACGCUGUGGGAAUACACUGGGUUUGUUGUUGUUGUUAUUGUAUAUUCGAUAUUCGGCAAAUACCGAAUACGAAACAGUAUUGAUAUCUUGUACCAAACACAAUUCCAAAUAUCGAAAUGUUGAAAUUUUACUACGAAAUACCAUAUCAAACAUCGAAUUAUUGAAUAUCAAUUACCAAAUUUUUCGAUUCAAUCUGGUAAUUUGAUUUUUGGUAUUUUAUGUCCAGUCCUGAGUAAAAUAGAGUGUGGUUGGAGAUGGACGAACAAAAUGUGUCACUAGCAAUUCACCCAACCCAACCCCUACGGAUCUAAUGCCUGUCCCCACAUCCCAUACUUACCGAAUCCGCAGCCCCUCCAAAUCUCCAAACAAACGCGUUACAUUCAUUUACAACUUCAUUUUCAAUCCUUUCAAUUGCCCAUUAUUCAAUUUCCCUUCUUCGAUCCUUCCUCCUCCCCCGUCAAACUCUACUAUAUAUAUCCUCCUUUGUGUCUCAAUCUAAACACACAUUCACCAAACAAUUAUCCCAUUUCAUCUUCAAAUUAAAGCACCUAAGUACAUAUUAGCAUCCUUGGCUUUCACGAAAUUUUCUAUAAUGUUGUUGCAGCUCUCUAUUCUUGCAGUUCUCUUGUUAUAUCCUGUGUGGGCUGAUAAUUUCUACCAAGACACGACGGUCACAUUUGGUGACCAACGAGCUCAAAUUCAAGAUGGCGGGCGCAUACUCGCCUUGUCCCUUGACAAAAUUUCAGGUUCUGGAUUUCAGUCCAAGAAUGAAUAUUUAUUCGGAAGGUUCGACAUGCAGCUCAAGUUAGUACCUGGAAAUUCUGCUGGCACAGUCACUACUUUCUACGUAAGUAACACUCUUUUAUUCUCUUCGAAACUAGUACUCUAGUAAUUAGCCGUGGAAACAAGUUGUUGGAGAAAUGUAGUGUAAGAUUGUAUAGAUACACUCUAGUGGUCCGGCCUAUCCCGGAUCCUGCGCAUAGUGGGAGCUUUAGUACACCAGGUUAUCCUAUUAACUAGUACUGUAGUAAUAAUAUAUCAUGUCCAACUGAUGAAGUUGUUUUUGGUGCAAUUUGCAGUUGUCUUCUCAAGGAGCAGGGCACGAUGAAAUUGAUUUCGAGUUUCUUGGAAAUUCAUCUGGACAACCUUACACGGUUCACACCAAUGUUUACUCUCAGGGUAAAGGCAACAAAGAACAACAAUUUCGUCUAUGGUUCCAUCCCACCUCAUCGUUCCACACCUACUCUAUUGUUUGGAACUCGCAACGUAUCAUGUACGUUACUAAUUAAACAACCUUUGAAUCUUAAGUCUAAACAGUUGCUAGAAGUACUUAGCGUUCAAGUCUGACAUUUUUCUAAUUGUCCAGAUUUUUGGUGGAUAAUAUCCCAAUAAGAGUGUUCAACAACCACGAAGCAAUAGGCGUUGCAUUCCCAAAGAAUCAAGCAAUGAGAGUUUACGCGAGUCUAUGGAAUGCUGAUGACUGGGCAACCCAAGGAGGGCGGGUGAAGACGGAUUGGUCUAUGGCUCCGUUUACAGCUGCUUACAGGAAUUUCAAUACAAAUGCUUGUGUUUGGUCAGCUGCAACAUCUACUUCAUCUUGUGGAGGCUCUAAGACUGACUCAGUAAACAAUGCUCAGACAUGGCAAACUCAAGAACUGAAUGCUAGUGAAAGAAAUAGGCUUCGAUGGGUACUGCAGAAAUACAUGAUCUACAAUUACUGCACGGAUGCUAAAAGGUUAUCUCAACUUUUCUCCUGAAUGCAAGCGUUCAAGGUUCUAAGGGAUAAAAGUCUAUGAAUAUUGUCUGUAAAAUUCUCUUGUUCUUCUUUUCUAUUCUUUAAUUUUUGUUCUGGGAUAUCAGGAGAAAAAGAACAUAGUGUAAUUAUUUGUGUAAGCAAUAUAUUCUUUAUUCUUUUUGUAAUCUUGAAAUCGAAAUAACAAUAAAUCAUUUCCCUGCCAAGCCUACGUAACUUUGUCGCCAUCAUUGCCUUUAGUAAUCUCUUUGAACACACACAAAGGUAACUUCAUAGCCUGACAUACCCAAUAUAAUCCCACAAGUGGGGUAUUGGGAGGGUAGGAUGUGAUCUUACCUCUAACUUUGUUGAAUAGAAAGAUUGUUUCCGAUAAACCCUCAGCUCAAAAGAAAUGUAAGGUAACUUCAUAGCCAUAUUUUGGUUAACUAUUGAAGGCUGCUAGAAGGAAAUGAAUGUGAGAAGUUGGAGAGUAAAGAUAUGAACUCAAUUACUCAUCCUCUUUCACAAACAUAUGCUACGACAAAAGGGCAAGCCAACAGCAUCUCGCAGUUGCAGUUCAUUUCUUGAUUCACUAGCCUCUUGCAUUAACUUUCUGAGAACGCUAAACGUUAUAAUACCCUCUUCAGAUACUAGCUGAGUAGCAGCUCUUUCUUCUCAGAAAGGUGUCAAGUUUUCAACUAACAGAACACUACGAGACAUUAAAUUUAUUAUUCCUUGAGGAAUGUGAUACUGAACAAGUAAAACGGGAUGGAGUGAGCAAUUUAAUACGUCUUUCUUAAAUUUUUUGUUGACACUGAAAGUGGAAAAGAAAUAAUAAAGGAAGGCCCAUAUCACAGACAUUGUGGUCACUAUUGAAAAUGAUUUUUCAUAGGGACAAACUUCUUGAUCUUUAAUUCCUUUGUAGGUUUGAAUGGUCUAAGGUUAUACACCGCGAGCACCUGAAACUAGAACGCAACCAUUGAGAGGUUGAUCCAGAAUUUAAAUUCUACCAAGUUCAUCUUUAAGGUUUUAAGUAUUUUAUCUGUAUAAUUUGUCAUGAAUUUUUAUUUACUAUCUGUUAAGUUUUAUUGAAUAUGGUGGAAUAGCUUGAGAGACUCUUAUACUUGUUCCAGUUUGUCAUUCUAGACCCUUUACUUCACGGGGUUUCAUUUCAUCUAGACCCCUGUUCAAAACAAGUAUUUCAAACACCUCACCAUUGACUAAAUAUAUGUGACAUUAAGUUGGCUGAGUUGGCGAAAGUGGGUAAAAAGUAUGAGUGUAAAACGAGUGAAAUGGAUAAUUUUAUUAAUUAAACAUUUUAAAAAGGAAAAGGAAGAAGACAACAAAAAAUUAUUCUCAAUUCCCAUCCCAAUGUCAUCUUCGUCACUCUCCCCUGCCUCUCGAAUGAUGUGUCCUUCAUGUCAAGGCAAGUGUGCAACAUAUGACACCAAUAGUGUUCGAAAUGUAUACUUUGAACAAGUUCAGAAAUCUAGAUGAAACUUCGUAUAGGAUUGGAAUGACAAAUCAAAAUAGUACCAGAAUCUUCAAGUCAUUUUGCCUUGAAUUUUUACUUAUAAAUUCUUAGCCUUGGAGUAACCGAUAAAGUUAUUGUCAUGUGAUUAGGAGGUUACACAUUCAAGCCUAAGAAACAGCGUGUGGCAGAAAUCCAAGGUAAUGUUGCAUAUAAUACUCUUUUUGUUAAGAUUUUUGUCCUGAUUUUACUAUCAAAAUUAAGUUGUAUUUUUCUUGAAAGGAUAAUAAAAAUAAUAUCAUAAUUACUUUUAUUUUUUCUUAAAGAAAAAAUUUAAAUCUUUUUCAUAUUUUACUAACCACUUUCGUGAAGAAAAAGUUUUGAACAUAUGUAUAAAAGAGUGGAGUUUAGUAUUAAUAAUAUGUUUUUAAAUAUUUUUUUUCGUUGUCAUUUGAUUUAUCGUUUAUAUGAUUUGCAAAUUUUAAACUUUUGCAUGACGCCCUCUCAAUUUUAAACCCAACACUCUUGUAGUAAGGUCCUUGUCCAGAUCGUGCACCAGACUGCCUUUUUAAAUUCUUAGACCGCUUGAUUCAAAUGAACCUGGUACUGCAAGCGUGGACCCACCCCUCCGAACAACACGAUCAAACGAAAAACAAAAAAACAGAAACAAUUAACGCGUUAGGUAGAAUAUAUUAAUGUCAAUCCUUUCAAUUGACAGCUAUUUAAUUGCCCAUUAUUCAAUUCCCCUUCUUGGAUCCUUCCUCCUCCCCCGUCAAACUCUACUAUAUAUAUUUCUUCCUUCGUGUCUCAAUCUAAACACAUAUUCACCUAACAAUUAUCCCAUUUCAUCUUCAAAUUAAAGCACCUAAGUACAUAUUGGUAUCCUUGGCUUUCACGAAAAUUUCUAUAAUGUUGUUGCAGCUCUCUAUUCUUGCAGUUCUCUUGUUAUGUCCUGUGUGGGCUGAGAAUUUUUACCAAGAUGCGACGGUCACGUUUGGUGACCACCGGGCUCAGAUACAAGAUGGUGGGCGUGUACUCGCCUUGUCCCUUGACAAAAUUUCAGGUUCUGGGUUUCAGUCCAAGAAUGAAUAUUUAUUCGGAAGGUUUGACAUGCAGCUCAAGUUAGUACCUGUAAAUUCUGCUGGCACUGUCACUACUUUCUACGUAAGUAACACUCUUUUAUUCUCUUCUUAACUAGUUAAUUAGCCAGAAAUGUAGUGUAAGACUGUGUACAAUAGGCUUUUAUGGUUCGAUCCUAAUGCGGACCCCAGACAUAGCAGAAAGUUUUGAAUAGUAUUGAAGUAAUAAUAUAAGUUCAACUGAAGAAGUUUUUUCUUGGUGCAAUUUGCAGUUGUCUUCUCAAGGAGCAGGACACGACGAAAUUGAUUUCGAGUUUCUUGGAAAUUCAUCAGGACAACCUUACACGGUUCACACCAACGUUUACUCUCAGGGUAAAGGCAACAAAGAACAACAAUUUCGUCUCUGGUUUGAUCCCACCUCGUCGUUCCACACCUACUCUAUUGUUUGGAACUCACAACGUAUCAUGUACGUUACAAAUUAAACAUCCUUUGAAUCUUAAGUCUAAGCAGUUGCUAGAAGUACUUAGCGUUCAUGUCUGACAUUUUUCUAAUUUUCCAGAUUUUUGGUGGAUGAUAUCCCAAUAAGAGUGUUCAACAACCAUGAAGCACUUGGCGUUGCAUUCCCAAAGAAUCAAGCAAUGAGAGUUUACGCGAGUCUAUGGAAUGCUGAUGACUGGGCAACACAAGGAGGGCGGGUGAAGACGGACUGGUCCAUGGCUCCAUUUACAGCUUCAUACCGGAAUUUCAAUACUAAUGCUUGUGUUUGGUCAGCUGCAACGUCUACUUCGUCUUGUGGAGGCUCUAAGACUGACUCAGUGAACAAUGUUCAGACAUGGCAAACUGUUCAGCAGAAAUACAUGAUCUACAAUUACUGCACGGAUGCUAAAAGGUUCUCCCAAGGCUUUUCUCCUGAAUGCAAGCGUUCAAGGUUCUAAGGAUUGAGUCUAUGAAUGUUCUGUAAAAUUCACUUGUUAUUCUUUGAACAGUGUACUUAUUUUUUUAACCAACUUAUAUAUUCUUCAUUCUUUUUGUAAUCUUGAAAUAGAAAAUAACAAUGAAUGGUUUUCUUGCCAAGCCUGCCUAUCUUUGUGACCAUCAUUACCUUUAGUAAUCUCUUUGAACACACACAAAGGUAACUUUAUAGCUAUGUUUUGGUUAACUAUUGAAGGCUUCUAGAAGGACAUGAAUGUGAGAAGUUGGAAAGUAAAGAAAUGAACACUGUUACUCAGCUUCUUUCACAAAACAUAAUCAUCUCGCAGUAGCUGUUCAUUUCUUGAUUCACUAGGCUCAUACAUUAACUUUCUGCUGAGAACGUUAAACAUGACAAAUACCCCCUUCAGAUGAGAGCUUAGAAGUAGCUCUUUCUUCCCAGAAAGAUGUCAAGCAUUUCUCUAAUCCACUUUUCUAUUGGCACCGAGAUUAGGAAGCAGUAAAUGAUAAACGUAAUUUUAUCAUAUUUAUUAUCUUUUAAAUAUAAUAAAUUUAAUGUUUCAAAAAAAAUAUACUCUUAAAUAGUGAAUCAUAUUUAAUAAUAAGAAUAAAAUAGAUAAAAAUAAGUAAACUAUCAAUUGAUUUUUAUAAAAUGGAGAACUAUUAUUAAAUAUCAAGCAUUUUCGUGUGGUCAAUCUUUCCCUUUAUGGUAUUUUUUGGUGAAGAAAGCGUGUGUCCCUAUCACACCAACCCCUACGGAUCUAAUGUAUGUCCUCAUACAUACGAAUCCAUGGGCCUUCCAAACAAAACAAACAAACAUCAUUUUCAAUCCUUUCAAUUCACAGCUAUUUUACUUCAUUUAAUAUAAGAACUCCCCCUUCUUCCAUCCUUCCUCCUCCCUCGAUCAGAUUCCGCUAUAUAUAUAUAUAUAAAAGGAGAAGAAUGCUUAACAGAUAUAGAAAUGGAUUAUACCCCAAUAAGUAUAGAAACUCAGUUUUAUAAUUUUAAAAAAGAAAUGGAUAAAAUAGGAAUAAUAAACAAUCCAAAAGAUUUAGAAAAUAUAAUAUCUAUACUAGAUAAAAUGGAAAUAAUAGGAGAAAGACCGUUAGCCCAUUGGGAUGCUAACGAGAUAAUGUGUAAAUUACAUAUAAUUAAUCAGAAUACACUAUAAAAACAACACCUAUAGAAGCAAAUAAUGAAGAUACUAAAGAAUUUGAUAUACAAAUAAAGGAACUUUUACAAUUAAAAGUAAUAAGAAGAUCUACCUCUAGACAUAGAUCGGCCGCCUUUAUGGUAAGAAAUCAUAGUGAACAAAUAAGCGGUAAAGCUCGUAUGAUAAUUAACUAUAAAAGAUUAAAUGAUAACACCAGAACAAAUGCAUAUAAACUACCAGAUAAAAGUGAGUUAAUUAAUAGAAUUCAAAAUAAAAAGAUAUAUAGUAAAUUUGGUUGUAAGUCAGGAUACUGGCAAGUCAAAAUGUACCCAGACAGCAUAGAGUGGACUGCAUUCACAUGUCCAGGUGGACAUUUUGAAUGGUUAGUUAUGCCGUUUGGUUUAAAGACAGCUCUACCCAUUUUUCAAAGAAAGAUGGAUAAUAUAUUUGGAGAGUAUAAACAUUUUAUAUUAGUAUAUGUAGAUGAUAUUUUGGUGUUCAGUCAAAACAUACAAGAAAACUUAGGACACUUACAAAUAAUUUUUAGAUUAUUUGUUAAGCAUGGGAUAAUAAUAAGUAAAAAGAAAAUGGAAUUAUGUAAGACUUAUAUUAAUUUUCUAGGAAUAACUUUAGGAAAUGGAAAGGUAAAACUUCAACCAUACAUUGCAAAGAAAGUAUUAGAAAUGCCAGAUAAAUUAGAAAAGACAAAAGAUCUACAAAAUUUUUUAGGAUUAGUAAAUUAUGCAAGAAAUUUUAUUCAACAUUUAGGAAAAAUAGCAGGACCAUCAUACGCAAAGACCGGUAGUAAAUGUUCCGGUACUAUUUCUUUAUUGAUUAAACAGCUAGUACAUCCGGGAUCCACUAAUGCUAAAGUUUCUAUCUCCACAUCUAUUAUUUUAAUUUUUACUAAUACUUUUAUGGUAGAGAAUUCUUUAUCUUCGUUGCAUAUUAGACUAGUGUCAUUAUCUUCCAGAUUCAUAAGUUCUGCCUCCAAUUUUUCUAAAUGUAUAACUUCUUGUGUAUCUGUUUCUUUUAUGGCGAUUUUGGUUUUCCCUUUUUCUAGGAUGGUUAAUCUUUGUUCUAAAUCAUUUACUCAGGUUUCUAAAGUAGAUACUCUUAGAUUUAGGAUUUGAUUAUAUGUAUAUUUUUGUCCGUUAUUUAUUUAUGGUUCUAUUUUUAUUUUUAAAGUAUUUUCUAUACAAUUUAUACACGCUUCUAAGUAAUAUUUUUUGCAUUUAGCUCUGUUGUCUUUACUUGAAUACCAAUUGCAUAUACGACAUCUAUUACUGUCUAAACCUUUGUUUCUUUGGAAUUCAUGUAUACAUUCUUGAGUAACAUUCAUUAAAUUAUUGAUUACUAGAUUGUUUAAGUCUAGAUCCUCUAUCUCUUGUCCUAGCUCAUUAACUAAGUUAUCUUCUUCUGAUUCUAAAGAAUCAGAUUUUGGAUUAUCUUUAUCAUUUAUAUCAAUACUUAUUGUUAAGUAUAUACUUUCUGUAUCUGACUUGUAUUCGUCUACAUUUAAUAAAGUUUCUUGAAAAUCCUCUAAUAGUUGAGAAUUUCUAGUUCUAUUAUUAUUUCUUUUAGGACAUACAUUAGCUAAAUGGUCUAUGCUUCCACAAGUAUAGCAUUCUAAUUUAUUUUUAUAGUUUCUAUCAUUUCUAUAUUUCCUAACAUGUCUAUCUCUAUUUAACCACGGUUUUUUAGCUUUUGAUUUUCUUAAGAAGUAUUGUUUACGACUAUAUGGUUUNNNNNNNNNNNNNNNNNNNNNNNNNNNNNNNNNNNNNNNNNNNNNNNNNNNNNNNNNNNNNNNNNNNNNNNNNNNNNNNNNNNNNNNNNNNNNNNNNNNNNNNNNNNNNNNNNNNNNNNNNNNNNNNNNNNNNNNNNNNNNNNNNNNNNNNNNNNNNNNNNNNNNNNNNNNNNNNNNNNNNNNNNNNNNNNNNNNNNNNNNNNNNNNNNNNNNNNNNNNNNNNNNNNNNNNNNNNNNNNNNNNNNNNNNNNNNNNNNNNNNNNNNNNNNNNNNNNNNNNNNNNNNNNNNNNNNNNNNNNNNNNNNNNNNNNNNNNNNNNNNNNNNNNNNNNNNNNNNNNNNNNNNNNNNNNNNNNNNNNNNNNNNNNNNNNNNNNNNNNNNNNNNNNNNNNNNNNNNNNNNNNNNNNNNNNNNNNNNNNNNNNNNNNNNNNNNNNNNNNNNNNNNNNNNNNNNNNNNNNNNNNNNNNNNNNNNNNNNNNNNNNNNNNNNNNNNNNNNNNNNNNNNNNNNNNNNNNNNNNNNNNNNNNNNNNNNNNNNNNNNNNNNNNNNNNNNNNNNNNNNNNNNNNNNNNNNNNNNNNNNNNNNNNNNNNNNNNNNNNNNNNNNNNNNNNNNNNNNNNNNNNNNNNNNNNNNNNNNNNNNNNNNNNNNNNNNNNNNNNNNNNNNNNNNNNNNNNNNNNNNNNNNNNNNNNNNNNNNNNNNNNNNNNNNNNNNNNNNNNNNNNNNNNNNNNNNNNNNNNNNNNNNNNNNNNNNNNNNNNNNNNNNNNNNNNNNNNNNNNNNNNNNNNNNNNNNNNNNNNNNNNNNNNNNNNNNNNNNNNNNNNNNNNNNNNNNNNNNNNNNNNNNNNNNNNNNNNNNNNNNNNNNNNNNNNNNNNNNNNNNNNNNNNNNNNNNNNNNNNNNNNNNNNNNNNNNNNNNNNNNNNNNNNNNNNNNNNNNNNNNNNNNNNNNNNNNNNNNNNNNNNNNNNNNNNNNNNNNNNNNNNNNNNNNNNNNNNNNNNNNNNNNNNNNNNNNNNNNNNNNNNNNNNNNNNNNNNNNNNNNNNNNNNNNNNNNNNNNNNNNNNNNNNNNNNNNNNNNNNNNNNNNNNNNNNNNNNNNNNNNNNNNNNNNNNNNNNNNNNNNNNNNNNNNNNNNNNNNNNNNNNNNNNNNNNNNNNNNNNNNNNNNNNNNNNNNNNNNNNNNNNNNNNNNNNNNNNNNNNNNNNNNNNNNNNNNNNNNNNNNNNNNNNNNNNNNNNNNNNNNNNNNNNNNNNNNNNNNNNNNNNNNNNNNNNNNNNNNNNNNNNNNNNNNNNNNNNNNNNNNNNNNNNNNNNNNNNNNNNNNNNNNNNNNNNNNNNNNNNNNNNNNNNNNNNNNNNNNNNNNNNNNNNNNNNNNNNNNNNNNNNNNNNNNNNNNNNNNNNNNNNNNNNNNNNNNNNNNNNNNNNNNNNNNNNNNNNNNNNNNNNNNNNNNNNNNNNNNNNNNNNNNNNNNNNNNNNNNNNNNNNNNNNNNNNNNNNNNNNNNNNNNNNNNNNNNNNNNNNNNNNNNNNNNNNNNNNNNNNNNNNNNNNNNNNNNNNNNNNNNNNNNNNNNNNNNNNNNNNNNNNNNNNNNNNNNNNNNNNNNNNNNNNNNNNNNNNNNNNNNNNNNNNNNNNNNNNNNNNNNNNNNNNNNNNNNNNNNNNNNNNNNNNNNNNNNNNNNNNNNNNNNNNNNNNNNNNNNNNNNNNNNNNNNNNNNNNNNNNNNNNNNNNNNNNNNNNNNNNNNNNNNNNNNNNNNNNNNNNNNNNNNNNNNNNNNNNNNNNNNNNNNNNNNNNNNNNNNNNNNNNNNNNNNNNNNNNNNNNNNNNNNNNNNNNNNNNNNNNNNNNNNNNNNNNNNNNNNNNNNNNNNNNNNNNNNNNNNNNNNNNNNNNNNNNNNNNNNNNNNNNNNNNNNNNNNNNNNNNNNNNNNNNNNNNNNNNNNNNNNNNNNNNNNNNNNNNNNNNNNNNNNNNNNNNNNNNNNNNNNNNNNNNNNNNNNNNNNNNNNNNNNNNNNNNNNNNNNNNNNNNNNNNNNNNNNNNNNNNNNNNNNNNNNNNNNNNNNNNNNNNNNNNNNNNNNNNNNNNNNNNNNNNNNNNNNNNNNNNNNNNNNNNNNNNNNNNNNNNNNNNNNNNNNNNNNNNNNNNNNNNNNNNNNNNNNNNNNNNNNNNNNNNNNNNNNNNNNNNNNNNNNNNNNNNNNNNNNNNNNNNNNNNNNNNNNNNNNNNNNNNNNNNNNNNNNNNNNNNNNNNNNNNNNNNNNNNNNNNNNNNNNNNNNNNNNNNNNNNNNNNNNNNNNNNNNNNNNNNNNNNNNNNNNNNNNNNNNNNNNNNNNNNNNNNNNNNNNNNNNNNNNNNNNNNNNNNNNNNNNNNNNNNNNNNNNNNNNNNNNNNNNNNNNNNNNNNNNNNNNNNNNNNNNNNNNNNNNNNNNNNNNNNNNNNNNNNNNNNNNNNNNNNNNNNNNNNNNNNNNNNNNNNNNNNNNNNNNNNNNNNNNNNNNNNNNNNNNNNNNNNNNNNNNNNNNNNNNNNNNNNNNNNNNNNNNNNNNNNNNNNNNNNNNNNNNNNNNNNNNNNNNNNNNNNNNNNNNNNNNNNNNNNNNNNNNNNNNNNNNNNNNNNNNNNNNNNNNNNNNNNNNNNNNNNNNNNNNNNNNNNNNNNNNNNNNNNNNNNNNNNNNNNNNNNNNNNNNNNNNNNNNNNNNNNNNNNNNNNNNNNNNNNNNNNNNNNNNNNNNNNNNNNNNNNNNNNNNNNNNNNNNNNNNNNNNNNNNNNNNNNNNNNNNNNNNNNNNNNNNNNNNNNNNNNNNNNNNNNNNNNNNNNNNNNNNNNNNNNNNNNNNNNNNNNNNNNNNNNNNNNNNNNNNNNNNNNNNNNNNNNNNNNNNNNNNNNNNNNNNNNNNNNNNNNNNNNNNNNNNNNNNNNNNNNNNNNNNNNNNNNNNNNNNNNNNNNNNNNNNNNNNNNNNNNNNNNNNNNNNNNNNNNNNNNNNNNNNNNNNNNNNNNNNNNNNNNNNNNNNNNNNNNNNNNNNNNNNNNNNNNNNNNNNNNNNNNNNNNNNNNNNNNNNNNNNNNNNNNNNNNNNNNNNNNNNNNNNNNNNNNNNNNNNNNNNNNNNNNNNNNNNNNNNNNNNNNNNNNNNNNNNNNNNNNNNNNNNNNNNNNNNNNNNNNNNNNNNNNNNNNNNNNNNNNNNNNNNNNNNNNNNNNNNNNNNNNNNNNNNNNNNNNNNNNNNNNNNNNNNNNNNNNNNNNNNNNNNNNNNNNNNNNNNNNNNNNNNNNNNNNNNNNNNNNNNNNNNNNNNNNNNNNNNNNNNNNNNNNNNNNNNNNNNNNNNNNNNNNNNNNNNNNNNNNNNNNNNNNNNNNNNNNNNNNNNNNNNNNNNNNNNNNNNNNNNNNNNNNNNNNNNNNNNNNNNNNNNNNNNNNNNNNNNNNNNNNNNNNNNNNNNNNNNNNNNNNNNNNNNNNNNNNNNNNNNNNNNNNNNNNNNNNNNNNNNNNNNNNNNNNNNNNNNNNNNNNNNNNNNNNNNNNNNNNNNNNNNNNNNNNNNNNNNNNNNNNNNNNNNNNNNNNNNNNNNNNNNNNNNNNNNNNNNNNNNNNNNNNNNNNNNNNNNNNNNNNNNNNNNNNNNNNNNNNNNNNNNNNNNNNNNNNNNNNNNNNNNNNNNNNNNNNNNNNNNNNNNNNNNNNNNNNNNNNNNNNNNNNNNNNNNNNNNNNNNNNNNNNNNNNNNNNNNNNNNNNNNNNNNNNNNNNNNNNNNNNNNNNNNNNNNNNNNNNNNNNNNNNNNNNNNNNNNNNNNNNNNNNNNNNNNNNNNNNNNNNNNNNNNNNNNNNNNNNNNNNNNNNNNNNNNNNNNNNNNNNNNNNNNNNNNNNNNNNNNNNNNNNNNNNNNNNNNNNNNNNNNNNNNNNNNNNNNNNNNNNNNNNNNNNNNNNNNNNNNNNNNNNNNNNNNNNNNNNNNNNNNNNNNNNNNNNNNNNNNNNNNNNNNNNNNNNNNNNNNNNNNNNNNNNNNNNNNNNNNNNNNNNNNNNNNNNNNNNNNNNNNNNNNNNNNNNNNNNNNNNNNNNNNNNNNNNNNNNNNNNNNNNNNNNNNNNNNNNNNNNNNNNNNNNNNNNNNNNNNNNNNNNNNNNNNNNNNNNNNNNNNNNNNNNNNNNNNNNNNNNNNNNNNNNNNNNNNNNNNNNNNNNNNNNNNNNNNNNNNNNNNNNNNNNNNNNNNNNNNNNNNNNNNNNNNNNNNNNNNNNNNNNNNNNNNNNNNNNNNNNNNNNNNNNNNNNNNNNNNNNNNNNNNNNNNNNNNNNNNNNNNNNNNNNNNNNNNNNNNNNNNNNNNNNNNNNNNNNNNNNNNNNNNNNNNNNNNNNNNNNNNNNNNNNNNNNNNNNNNNNNNNNNNNNNNNNNNNNNNNNNNNNNNNNNNNNNNNNNNNNNNNNNNNNNNNNNNNNNNNNNNNNNNNNNNNNNNNNNNNNNNNNNNNNNNNNNNNNNNNNNNNNNNNNNNNNNNNNNNNNNNNNNNNNNNNNNNNNNNNNNNNNNNNNNNNNNNNNNNNNNNNNNNNNNNNNNNNNNNNNNNNNNNNNNNNNNNNNNNNNNNNNNNNNNNNNNNNNNNNNNNNNNNNNNNNNNNNNNNNNNNNNNNNNNNNNNNNNNNNNNNNNNNNNNNNNNNNNNNNNNNNNNNNNNNNNNNNNNNNNNNNNNNNNNNNNNNNNNNNNNNNNNNNNNNNNNNNNNNNNNNNNNNNNNNNNNNNNNNNNNNNNNNNNNNNNNNNNNNNNNNNNNNNNNNNNNNNNNNNNNNNNNNNNNNNNNNNNNNNNNNNNNNNNNNNNNNNNNNNNNNNNNNNNNNNNNNNNNNNNNNNNNNNNNNNNNNNNNNNNNNNNNNNNNNNNNNNNNNNNNNNNNNNNNNNNNNNNNNNNNNNNNNNNNNNNNNNNNNNNNNNNNNNNNNNNNNNNNNNNNNNNNNNNNNNNNNNNNNNNNNNNNNNNNNNNNNNNNNNNNNNNNNNNNNNNNNNNNNNNNNNNNNNNNNNNNNNNNNNNNNNNNNNNNNNNNNNNNNNNNNNNNNNNNNNNNNNNNNNNNNNNNNNNNNNNNNNNNNNNNNNNNNNNNNNNNNNNNNNNNNNNNNNNNNNNNNNNNNNNNNNNNNNNNNNNNNNNNNNNNNNNNNNNNNNNNNNNNNNNNNNNNNNNNNNNNNNNNNNNNNNNNNNNNNNNNNNNNUUAUGUUUUCAUUUAUGAGAUGUUCUACAACUCUUGCCCUAGGGACAAAACUUAAUUAGCUCAAAGACUUUCAAACAACAAAUUAUACCCUACGGGCAAAAGUUGACUCUACCAUGUUAUGUUUUCAUUUAUGAGAUGUUCUACAAUUAUUGCCUUAGAGGCGAGACUUAGCUCAAGGACUUUCAAACUACAAAUUAUGCCCCACGGACAAGAGCUGACACUACCACAUUAUGUUUUCAUUUAUGAGAUAUUCUACAACUCUUACCUUAGAGGCAAGUCUUAAUUAGCUCAAAGACGUUCAAACUACAAAUUAUGUUUCAUGGGCAAAAGUUGACUCUAGCUACCAUGUUAUGUUUUCAUUUAUGAGAUGUUCUACAACUAUUGCCUUAGAGGCAAGACUUAGCUCAAGGACUUUCAAACUAAAAAUUAUGCUCCACGGGCAAGAGUUGACACUACCACGUUAUGUUUUCAUUUUUGAGAUGUUCUACAACUCUUGCCUUAGAGACAAGACUUAAUUAGCUCGAAGACUUUCAAACAACAAAUUAUGCCCCAUGGGCAAAAGUUGACUCUAACAUGUUACGUUUUUAUUUAUGAUAUAUUUUACAACUAUUGCAUUAGAGGCAAGACUUAGCUCAAGGACNNNNNNNNNNNNNNNNNNNNNNNNNNNNNNNNNNNNNNNNNNNNNNNNNNNNNNNNNNNNNNNNNNNNNNNNNNNNNNNNNNNNNNNNNNNNNNNNNNNNNNNNNNNNNNNNNNNNNNNNNNNNNNNNNNNNNNNNNNNNNNNNNNNNNNNNNNNNNNNNNNNNNNNNNNNNNNNNNNNNNNNNNNNNNNNNNNNNNNNNNNNNNNNNNNNNNNNNNNNNNNNNNNNNNNNNNNNNNNNNNNNNNNNNNNNNNNNNNNNNNNNNNNNNNNNNNNNNNNNNNNNNNNNNNNNNNNNNNNNNNNNNNNNNNNNNNNNNNNNNNNNNNNNNNNNNNNNNNNNNNNNNNNNNNNNNNNNNNNNNNNNNNNNNNNNNNNNNNNNNNNNNNNNNNNNNNNNNNNNNNNNNNNNNNNNNNNNNNNNNNNNNNNNNNNNNNNNNNNNNNNNNNNNNNNNNNNNNNNNNNNNNNNNNNNNNNNNNNNNNNNNNNNNNNNNNNNNNNNNNNNNNNNNNNNNNNNNNNNNNNNNNNNNNNNNNNNNNNNNNNNNNNNNNNNNNNNNNNNNNNNNNNNNNNNNNNNNNNNNNNNNNNNNNNNNNNNNNNNNNNNNNNNNNNNNNNNNNNNNNNNNNNNNNNNNNNNNNNNNNNNNNNNNNNNNNNNNNNNNNNNNNNNNNNNNNNNNNNNNNNNNNNNNNNNNNNNNNNNNNNNNNNNNNNNNNNNNNNNNNNNNNNNNNNNNNNNNNNNNNNNNNNNNNNNNNNNNNNNNNNNNNNNNNNNNNNNNNNNNNNNNNNNNNNNNNNNNNNNNNNNNNNNNNNNNNNNNNNNNNNNNNNNNNNNNNNNNNNNNNNNNNNNNNNNNNNNNNNNNNNNNNNNNNNNNNNNNNNNNNNNNNNNNNNNNNNNNNNNNNNNNNNNNNNNNNNNNNNNNNNNNNNNNNNNNNNNNNNNNNNNNNNNNNNNNNNNNNNNNNNNNNNNNNNNNNNNNNNNNNNNNNNNNNNNNNNNNNNNNNAGCUCAAGGACUUUCAAACUACAAAUUAUACCCCACGGGCAAGAGCUGACUUUAUCAUGUUAUAUUUUCAUUUAUGAGAUGUUCUACAACUAUUGCCUUAGAGGCAAGACUUAGCUCAAGGACUUUCAAACUACAAAUUAUGCCCUAUGGGCAAGAGUUGACACUACCACUUUAUGUUUUCAUUUAUGAGAUGUUCUACAACUCUUGCCUUAGAGGCAAGACUUAAUUAGCUCAAAGACUUUCAAACUACAAAUUAUGCCCCAUGGGCAAAAUUUGACUCUACCAUGUUAUGUUUUCAUUUAUGAGAUGUUCUACAACUAUUGCCUUAGAGGCGAGACUUAGCUCAAGGACUUUCAAACUACAAAUUAUGCCCCACGAGCAAGAGUUGACACUACCACGUUAUGUUUUUAUUUAUGAGAUAUUCUACAACUCGUGCCUUAGAGUCAAGACUUAAUUAGCUCAAAGACAUUCAAACUACAAACUAUGUCUCAUGGGCAAAAGUUGACUCUAGCUACCAUGUUAUGUUUUCAUUUAUGAGAUGCUCUACAACUAUUGCCUUAGAGGCAAGACUUAGCUCAAGGACUUUCAAACUAAAAAUUAUGCCCCACGGACAAGAGUUGACGCUACCACGUUAUGUUUUCAUUUAUGAGAUGUUCUACAACUCUUGCCUUAGAGGCAAGACUUAAUUAGCUCAAAGACUUUCAAACUACAAAUUAUGCCUCAUGGGCAAAAGGUGACUCUACCAUGUUAUAUUUUCAUUUAUGAGAUAUUCUACAACUAUUACGUUAGAGGAUAGACUUAGCUCAAGGACUUUCAAACUACAAAUUAUGUCUCACAUGCAAAAGUUUACACUACCACGUUAUGUUUUUCAUUUAUGAGAUGUUCUACAACUCUUGCCUUAGAGGUAAGAUUUAGCUCAAGGACUUUCAAACUACAAAUUAUGUCUCACAUGCAAAAGUUUACACUACCACGUUAUGUCUUUAUUUAUGGGAUGUUCUACAACUCUUGCCUUAGAGGUAAGAUUUAGCUCAAGGACUUUUAAAUAAUAAAUUAUGCCCCACGGACAAGAGUUGACACUACUACAUUAUGCUUUUAUUUAUGAGAUAUUUUUCAACUCUCUCCGUAGAGAGACGACUUAUCUCAAGAAUUUUCAAAGAACUUCGUAACAACAAUUCAUGCCCUUAAAUUUGCUUUGAUAGCAAAAAAAGAGGAUAACUUUGCGGAUUAACCAAUUUUUUAUUUAUUAGCAAAAUAUAAUAGAAGUUGAGACAAAAGAAAAAAGAGAUCAACAAAAUAGAGAAAUAUGAAAAAGAUUGAGAAAAAAAGGAAAGAAAAAAAAAUAAAGAUCAAUAAAAAAGCAAAGAAUUUAAAAAAUUUAUAAAAAAAUAAAAAUGAGAGGAAAAAAUAAAAAUAAAGUUAGAGAAAAAUGCGGGAAAAAAAAGAACUGAAAAAAGAAAAAAGAGAUCAAACAAAAUAGAGAAAUAAAAAAAGAGUGAGAAAAAAAGGCAAGGAAAAAUAAAGAUUAAGAAAAAAAUGAAGAAUUAAAAAAAUGAGAAAAUAAAAAAAUGUGAGAAAAAAAUAAAAAAAAAGUUUGAGAAAAUAAUGAGGGGAAAAAAGAGAACUGAUAAAAACUAAAAAUAAAAGAAAAAUAUAGGUUAAAGAUAAUGAAUUAAAAAGAAAAAAAAAAGAAAUAGAUAAUGCUUGAGAAAAAAAAAAGAGAAAAAAAUAAAGGUUGAGACAAAUGAAUUAAAACAUGAAAAUAAAAUUAAAGAAAAAAAAUAAAAAGUGAAAAUAAUAAAAAAUAGAAUAAUAAAAUUAAAAAAAGUGAAAAUAAUAAAAAAUAGAAUAAUAGAAUUAAGGGAAAAUAUAAAAAGAGAAAGUAAUAAAAAAUAAAAUUUGAGAGACAAAUAAGUAUAGAAAGUUAAAAAAAAAUAUUUGAGGUGUAGAGAGACAAAAUGGUACUUAGACUAUACUUAAAAAGUAAGGAAGGUUAUUCUUUAAAUACAUUUCUUAUUGAGGUCAGAUAUCUAAAGCUACGCAUAAUUGGGUGUCCAAAAUGAUAUUAAAUUAAUUGAUAUUUUUAUUAUUCUAAUGAUUAUUUUCAAACUAAAAUUGGACUGACAAGUAAUUAGGUCUUCCAUCUUUGUUUCAUUAUUAUAAAGGGAAAAAAAAACAUAAAACAUAUAUGAUAUAAAUUUCAACGAAAAAUGAUUUCGUUUACUACCUUCCUAUUUUUUUAAUUUUAGUUUGGCAACUAACAUAUUGUAUUAAUCACGAAUGAGUUAAUUGCAAAGCCUAAGAUGUAAAAAGUGAAAAUAAUAAAAAAUAGAAUAAUAAAUUUUUAAAAAAAAAAAAGCAGAAUAAUAAAAGUAAAGGAAAAAUAAAAAAGUGAAAAUAAUGAAAAAUAAAAUUUGAGAUAUUAAUGAGUAUGGAAAGUCUAAAAAUAUAUUGAGGUGUAGAGAGAUAAAAUGGUACUUUUAGUAUAUUAAAAAGUAAGGAAGGAUAUUCUUCAAAGACAUUCUUAUUUGGGGUCAAAUAUGUAAAGUCACCCAUAUUUGAGUCUAUGGCAUGCAAUUUCCUAGUCUACGCUGAGAUAAUAUCACUAGGCCCUUGAGGUAAUGGCCUCGAUGGUUUGGUGUUUUAAAGCCGUGAGGGCUCUGGGCCCAGAGCGGUGCCAAGGGCCUCAACCUUGGUUGUGACACUUAGAGUGACCGAUAAUGUUGUUGUCAUGUGAUCAGGAGAUCACGGUUUCAAGCCAUGGAAACAACUUGUAGUAUAAAUGCACGUUGAGGAUGCGUACAAUAGAUCUUUGCGGUCCGAUCCUUUCCUUGAAGCUUUAGUGCACCCCUUAUCACCCCCUUUUUAAUCGGAUGGAGGUUAACUUCUCACCCUCUCACUUGACAGAUAGUCAAGGCCAGCUUGCUAGUCAAAAGAGCAGCAUCUAUUUAGGUGGUUUGACAUGCACUUCAAGCUUGUACGAGGCAACUCUGCUUGCAUCGUCAUUACAUUCAUGUUCAAUCUUUCAAUUCUGCUGAUUCAAUGCUAUGCCACCCUAUGUAUGAUGAUAUUCGCUAAGAAGUUGGUUCUAUGGUAAUAUUUGUUGCCUUUCAACUAGGGCUGAGCAUUCGGUUUGUUCGGUUUUAUAAUUUAAUAUCGAUUCGGUUUUUUUAUUUUUGGAUUGACAAAAAUGGCAAUCAUAACCAAACCGAAAUAAAUUCGGUGCAGUUCGAUUUCUACAAAUUCGGUUUCGUUAUUUCAGAUUUUUAUUUCGGUUUUGAAGAUUAAAAUAAUGAACCUCUCUUUGUUAUGACUAGACAUCUAAAAUUAAUGAUUUUUAAAAAAAAAAUAAUUCAAACCUAUUUUUCAUUCCCACAUAUAAAUAACUCAACAUGGAUGAAACUAAAUGAUAUAACCAUAAGUUUAACAUAAUAUAUAACUUCAUUAUGCAUAAGUUUGCAUAAACAGUCGGAACUCGAAAGAGUGGUCGCGGUCGAAAAGACCACAAUCGGCACUGCAGGCUGCAACCCACAAUGGUCGUCUGGUCGUCGGUUCUAGUAUUAUUGUACAGACGACGAUCUCGUCGAUGGUCUAUGGUUCGAUCGAUUGUUCGAUUAUUGGACUGAUGUAUGCUGUUAGUUGUAUGUGGCAGUGCUAUUACUUAUUAGUCAUUAGGAUUGCUAUUAUAUAUUUAUAUUAUAUAUUAAAUAUUAUAUAUAUAUAUAUAUAAUAAAUAUAUAUAUUAAUUAUUUAUAGAAUUUCGGUUAGUUGUUAUAGAAUUUUGGUUAAUCGGUUUAUUCAAAUUAUUUUUUUGAAAAAUCGAAAACCAAAUCAUUUAAUCGAAUUUUAAUAAUUAAAAACCAAAAUCGAUCCGAAAAAUCGAAAACCAAACCAAAAUUAAAAUUUCAGUUGCCCAGCCCUACUUUCAACUAUAGAAAACUACGAGAUAUUAAAUGUAUUAUUCUGGACGGAGUGAGUAAUUUAAUAUAUCUUUAUUAAAAUUUUUGUUGACACCGAAAGCGAAAAAGAAAUAAUAAAGCAAGUCCCAUAUCACAGACAUUAUGGUCAAUUUUGAAAACGAUAAAAAUAAUGUUUCAUAGGGACAAACUUCUUGAUCUUUAAUUCGUUUGUAGGUUUGAAUAGUUCAGAUUAUACGCCACAGGCACCUGAAAUAAGUUAAAAUUAUUGAAUUUGAUGGAAAAGUUUGAGAGACUCGUUUUCGGUUUGUCAGUUCCUUUACUUUAUAAGGUUCCAUUUUAUCUAGACCCCUAAAUUCCCUUGACUGUUGGACCAAAUAUAUGUGAGAUUAAGUUGGUUGAGUUGGUGAAAGUGCAUAAAACAUUAGUGUAAAGCGAGUGAAUUCGAUAAUUUUUAUUAGAAAAGGAAGAAAACAAAAAAUAAUUUUCAACCCUCACCCCAGUGUCAUCUUCUUCAUCUCCCUUCGAAAGAUAUGACAUUAAUUUAUUUAGUGAGUCCGGAACCAUUCUAUGCACCAAACUACAUCAUAUACUUAAAAAUGUAUCAAUCUAUGCUUAACUCACAAAAAUUGUGAGUUAUGCACAAAUAUCUUUAACGGAAGGCAGUUCACGGUGUUAAUUUUUUUAAAAAGUGCAUAAGUCACAAUUUUUGUGAGUUAUUCAUUCUUAUUUUAAUAUAACUCACAAAAAUUGUGAGUUAUGCACAAAUAUCUUUAACGGAAGGCAGUUCACGGUGUUAAUUUUUUUAAAAAGUGCAUAAGUCACAAUUUUUGUGAGUUAUUCAUUCUUAUUUUAACAUAACUCACAAAAAUUGUGAUUUAUGCAUUUUAUUUUAACAUAAUUCACAAAAAUUGUGAGUUAUGCAUUCUUAUUUUUAACAUAACUCACUAUUUUUGUGAGUUAUGCAUUUUAUUAUAACAUAACUCACAAAAAUUGUGAGUUAUGCAUUUUAUUUUAACAUAACUCAGAUAAAUUGUGAGUUAUUUAAAUAAUGAAAAACUUUUUCGAAAUUCUAUUUAACAUAUAACUGAUAAAAGUAUAUAACUCACCUUUUUUUUUGAGUUAUGCAUCUGUUUUAUCAUAACUCACAAAAAAAGUGAGUUAUAUACUUUUUAAAUUCUCCUAUUUAAACACCCGUAUACAUUCAUUCUUUGAUUAUGGUUUUCAAAUUCUUCUUCUUCUUCUUCAACUUCAAUUCUUCUUCUUUUUUCAAUCAUCUUCAAACUCAAUUUAUCUUUUCAAAACUUUAUUAAAUUUUAGAGAAUGAAUUUUGAACGUGUUAAAGUUUCACUUUUUUGGGAUGGCGAAAUUAUUCAUGAGGGAAAUACAGUAUAUUAUAGUAUGUCCCCCAAGUCCAACGCGAAGUAUUCAAUUUCAAUUGGUUAUAGAGAAUUUGUAGAAUCAAUUUUUAGAAGAAUGAAAAUAAAAAAUAAUGAUUUUGAUUUAUUUAUAGUCGGACAGUAUCCAAAUUCCUUCUCAUCUCAAGGAAUAGUAAAUUCUGGAGAAUGGAUUAUUAGUGAUGAUGAGUCGUUGACUGAAUUUCUGAGGGCUCCUUGUGACUAUGCUAGUCAAAUAAAACUGAACAUUCUUCAAGUUUAUGUUAAGAAUGAGCGUAAAAAUCAUCUUGUGCAGUCUCCGAUACAGAUAAAUGUGCAUACGCAAUUUGAUGAUUCAACAAGUGAUGUUAAUGCUCAUUUAACUCAGUAUAAUAUUUUUUUUGGCAUGAAUGCUCCCCAAUACAUCAUGCCGAGUAACAUGCCAACACAAUUCUCAAUACCUGAUUUGAAUGAAACUUUGAAUGAAAGUGAUCGGUAAUUUUUCUUAAUUUGUGUUAUUAUUAAUAUUUUAUAUUUUUAAUGAUUUUUUUUCUAUUUUUUUAUGUCAUAUGUUAUAUUUUAUUUAGGGGCUUAACUCUGCGUGACACGAAUAAUGUUGAUUUAUUUGAAAAUGACUAUAAUUAUGGUCAAUCAUCUCAACUUGGAUGGAUGCACAACGCCGGAACAUCUACAAAUGUUCAUUUAUCACUAAGCUUGGAUACUGUCGAUUAUUAUUGGUAGGUCUAAAAUAUCAUCGCUAAUAAGUUAUGUUUGUUAAUUUCAUGUUAUUAUUAUUUAUGUUGCUAAUUUCAUAUAAUUAUUAUUCAUUCUUUUUGAUUGUACUAAAAUUAUGUUAAAAAUAAGAAUGCAUAACUCACAAAAAUUGUGAGUUAUGUUGAAAAUAAAAUGCAUAACUCACAAUUUUUGUGAGUUAUGUUAAAAUAAGAAUGAAUAACUCACAAAAAUUGUGAGUUAUGUUAAAAUAAAAAUGAAUAACUCACAUUUUUUGUGAGUUAUGUUGAAAAUAAAAUGUAUAACUCACAAUUUUUACGAGUUAUAUUAAAAUAAGAAUGAAUAACUUAAAAAUUGUGAGUUAUGCACUUUUUAAAAAAAUUAACACCGUGAGUUGCCUUUCGUUAAAGAUAUUUGUGCAUAACUCACAAUUUUUGUGAAUUAAGCAUAGAUUGGUACAUUUUUAAAUAUAUGGCAUAAUUUGAUGCUGUUUUUAAUUUGAUGGCAUAAAAUGGUUCCGGACUCUUAUUUAAUGGAUCUGAUGUGUCCUUUAUGUCAAGGCAAGUGAGCAAUAUAGAUGUCAAGAGUGUAAAAUGUUUAUUUUGAACAAAUUCAAAAGUCUAGAUAAAACUCCGCAGAGUAUCACAAAUUGGAAUGACAAAUCGAUAUAAGUACAUGAAUCUUAUUUAUAAAUUUUAAUUCCGCUUCAAAUGAAUCCGGUAUCGCAAGGGUGGAUCCAGCCCUCCGAACAACAUGAUUAAAUAAAGAAGAAAAAGACAGGGGGCGUUUGGUGUGAGGUAUGAGGGAUAAGUAAUCCCGGAAUAAAAUGAUCCUUUAUUUUAUUCCAUGUUUGGUUGAAGGAAUUAGUCAAUUUCGGAACACUUAUCACUCCAUUUACACCAUAGUGAUGGGAUAACUUAUUUUAUAUGCAUGGUGGGAUAAAUUAUACCGGAUAAUCCCAAAAUUAAUUAUAUCGGGAUAACUAUUUUCCAACCAAACGACCAUGUGUAAGGUACAAUAGUAUAUUAAAGUAGUAUGAUAAUAUCAAUGUAAUGUGUGUCCCCAAACCCAUACUUCAUAAACAAACCAACACGUUACAUUUCAAACAUCACUUUCAAUCCUGCCAAUUCACAGCUAUUUGCCUUCAUAUAAUUUAACGUCCCCUUCUUCGAUCCUUCCUCCACCCAUUUCGAAACUCUACUAUAUAUAUACAUAUAUCCAUCCAUCCUCCUUUGUAUCACAAUCUCAACACACAUUCACAGAACAAUUAUCCCAUUUCAUCUUCAAAUUAAAGUACAAGUACAUAUUCUAUAAUGUUGAUGCACCUCUCUAGUGACCAGCGAGCUCAGAUACAAGAUGGAGGGCGCAUACUCGCCUUGUCCCUUGACAAAAUCUCAGGUUCAGGAUUUCACUUCAAGAAUGAAUAUUUAUUCGAAAGGUUCGACAUGCAGCUCAAACUAGUACCUGGAAAUUCUGUUGGCACUGUCACCACUUUCUACUUAAGUAACACACUUUUUUCUCUUUCUAACUAGUACUCAAGUAAAUAACCGAGGAGACAGAUUGAAAGGUAACACUGCAUAAAAUAGAUCCCUCUGGUCCGACCUUUUUCCAAACCCCACGCAUAGUGAAGCUUGAGUACACCUGGCUGUCCUUUCAACUAGUACUGCAUAGUUAAUAAAACAUGUCCAAUUGAUAAAGUAUUUCUUUCUGCUAUUUACAGUUGUCUUCUCAAGGAGUAGAACACGAUGAAAUUGACUUUGAGUUUCUUGGAAAUUCAUUAGGACAACCUUACACGGUUCACAUCAAUGUUUACUCUUAGGGUAAAGGCAACAAAGAACAACAGUUUCGUCUAUGGUUUGAUCCCACCUAGUCGUUCCACACCUACUCUAUUGUCUGGAACUUGCAACGCAUCAUGUACGUUACUGAUUAAACAAUUACUAGCUAGUACUACUAAUUAGUAUUAUGUAGUGUUCAUGUUUGAUAUUUUGGAGAUUUUGUGCAGAUUUUUGGUGGAUAAUAUCCCAAUAAGAGUGUAAAACAACCACGAAGCACUUGGCGUUGCUUCCAAAGAAUCAAGCAAUGAGAGUGUUAGAGUACGAGCCCUACUAAUUGUCCAUCUGUGUAACAAGUAAGUAAACGUGGUUCACAGAAGUAAAUACUGAACACAGUGUUUUUACGUGGAAAAUACUCGGCUCAAGAAAGGUGUAAAAAAACCACGACCUGUACCUCUACAGGAUUUAACCCAACUUUACUAUAAUACUUGAGCCUCAACAAUCAACAGAAUUACAAGACUUCUUGUAAACGAGGAAUUAAAACUUCUACCUCCUAUUACUACAAAAACACAAAUCUUCCCAAGAUAAGUGCUCCCAAGUCUUCGAGUUCCCAAACUUGAAGACACAAUUCCUAACUCAGUUUAUAGAUGAUUGAGACUAAAAAAAUGACUUAUUACAACUCAAAGAACCUACUCACUACACAAAUUCUACAACUUGCCAAGUAGGAGAUCAAUUUUUUUCUUCAAGUAUGAGAACUGAUAUACUGAUUGUUGAUAUGUUUUUCAGUGCUUGAGUGAGUGCUUUUGAAUUCAUUUCUUGUAUUUAAGCACCCACCUCAUGGAGUCCUUCAAUUGAUAUUAACUUCUAUAUUUAAUAGGACUCGAGAUAGUUUCCUGCUACUCUUUGCCGCCCCUCUCUUCUUCUUUCAAUAGGAUUUCUCUUUUCUCUUUCUUCAAGACUUCUUGUUCAACUCAACUUCUGCACUUCUUUUUUUUCCACUCAACUUCUGCAAGUCUUCUUUUUCAACUCAACCUCUAAUGUGAUAAAUGUUAUCAACUUCUGUUUGUAAGCCAGGUCAUCAUAUAAAUAACUUAUCUGUAGGUGACCUUGGUUUAGUUGGAUAGAACAGCUUUUACCAUAUGUUUCAUUCUCAUAUCUACCAUCAAAACUCCACAUUCUCUAACAAUUUCCCCUUUUUUGAUGAUGACAAACAUAGCAGUAUAAUACCAAAAACCUGAUAUACUCACCAAGAAGUUAAAUAAAGGAAACAAAAUGAAACACAGAUUAGUCAGUUGAGUUAUAAGCACUGUAUAAUUUGUUCUUCUCCCUUUUGACAUCAUCAAAAAACUGGACCAAUAAGUGAAACAAGUCUUAUAAUUCAUGACCACUAGGGCUAUCACUAAAACAUGAAGACAUAGAGCAAAAAAAAACAAACAAUGUAUCAAUAACACGGAAGUGAGCCACAUAAAACAAAAAGAGACCAUGGCAUUGAUAGAACAGAAUACAAUGAUCACAGCCCAUGAUAAAUAAUAAGAGAGAACUAGCUUAACCAAAAAGUAGGAGUGAAAGAUGCCUAAGGACACUAAGAGGGUUUAAGUGGAUGAAAAAGAAGGAAUAAGAGAGGUCUUCUUAAUAAUAUCUGCAUUUUCAGCUCUUUUCUUUUCCAAAAGGGUUGUGAGGGAGGAAAUUUGAGCUUGAAGGACCUAUUUCUCCUCCUCAUGAGUAGCCUGAGCAACUUCCAAUGCAGCUUGUGCCACAUCCACCUCACUUUGCUUGGCAACAAGAGCAUUUCUUAGCCUUUUCAUAGGAUUAUCAGCACUCCUCAUAGCAGCAGGCAACAUAGCAUGGUUCACAGACCCAAUGACAUUCUUUGUGGUCUACAAUGACCAUACUUUGACAGGAAUAUGAAAGUCCUCAAAAAUAGGGGCAAGCCAGAACUCAUAUGGUAAAGCAUGGCCAUUUUCAUCUUAAAUUAAAACCCUUUGCAUGUUUUUAAUGAUUAGUGUAGGAAGAUUUAUUGGAAUCUGAGAGUUUAGCAAUUCUAUCAGGGUGAGAUCAAGAAAAUUUGCUACUGUUCUCCUUUACUAUCUAGGAAGGAUCAUUUUGUGAACCACAUCAAAAUAGAAUUGGUGGAGAGGAGAUAUCUCAUUCUUGAGAACCCUUCUAUGAGUUAAAAGGGAAGGACAUCUAAAGAAUUUUAUAGAAAUAUCAACAGCUGAAGGAAAGUUAUCAAGAGGAGGCCAAGCACCUUUCACAUAAUGACCCCAACCCCCAAUAGGAACAUGUAAAAUUCUACUCAGAUCAGCAAGGUAAAGAUUUAGGAUUUUACCAUGAACAGUGGUGGAGAACAUCUCCCCUACAGCAACUCCAUUAGUGUAAAAUUCAUACACUUCAGCUUUUCCAAACUUUCUUUGAUAAUCACCUUGAAGAAACAGGUGUGACCACCUUUGAGCAUUCAGUUUAGUGAGCAACACAUCCAUAUCAGGACCCCCAAAACCAGUGACAACUCUACCCCUAGCCAACUUACGUUUUUGAAAGUGGAGAACUUGAGCUAACAGGAAGGCCUUGUCAGCAGGAGUAUCAAAAGCAACAUCAUAGUCAAGAUCUAUAUCAGGUUGAGUAGAGAAAGUAGGAGGGAUAUUAGAAAGAAAAUCAGAAUCUGAGUUUGAGAAAUCAGAAGAAACAGGUUGGGAUACUUGUUUCUUCAGACGAGAAGAGGAUUUUGAAGAGCCUCUGGUGGAAGGGGAUCCUUUAACAAUGGAGGCUUUCUCAGGAGAAACUUUCUCCGUAGAUUUUGAGGACGACGAAGUUUGGGAAGUGGGUUGGGAUGAAGAUACAGGUGUGAAAGAGGAUUUUGAGGUUUUGGUAAUGAUAUGCUUUCAUUUUCUUUUAGAAUGAAGGAGAAUAUCAGGAGAGGGAUUACUGAGAGGUGGAGAACUAGAAGGAGCAACCCGUUUCUUUUUUCUUGUAUGAAAUGCUUCUUCCAACGAAGCAUCUUGUUGUUGUUUCUUUCCUCGAGUAAGAGGAAUGCGAGGAGAAACAACUACAGAAGAAGGCUUAACUGAAGUAGAUUCAUCUACAUCAAUGACAAAAGAAGAGGGUUUUCAUUUUAGAACGGAUAUGGACCUUCGAGAGAUGAGAUUUGUAAUGGGUUCAUCAUCUUUAUCAAUAAUUUGAAGUGGAAUUAGUGGAAGAAUUGAUGGGCUGGAGUGGAAUGAGGUAUUUGGAGAAAAAAUGUGUAAAAAGAUUUGGGAAGUUUUUGAACACAGUAAAAUCAGAGAAUUCUUAGAUGAUUUGAGGAGGAAUUAAUAGAGGUAAGAUGAUGUUUGGGUGGAUGACAAUGGAGGUGAAAGUGUUUGUGGCGGAGUCAGGUGAAGAGGAUGAAGAAGAUGAUGAUGAAUUCAUGGCUAAUGAGUCAGAAGGUUUUUGUGUUGUUUUAAAGAAGGUGUAAAGGAAAUAAGAAGGAGAGGGGAAAAGAAAACGUAUUUAAGAGAGAUUUAGAGGAAGUUGAAUCAUGUGAGGAAAGGAUUUGGAUAGAAACGUAAUGAUAAAGGGGUCUAAACUGAUGGAAAAAGGCUGGCAACUUUUUAAGACAGAUGACUUUUAGAGUUUGGUAGUUUAAGUAUAACGGAAGGGACCAAGUAAAAAACCUGUUUCUCUCUUAUGCAAUCAUGAACAAGUGAAAAUCAUACCUGAACUGUGUAAACAAUGGUCAAAAUUUGCUUUGAUGGUUCUUCCUAUCUGCAAAAUUAACACAUAGCUGAGUUAAUUUAUUCUAAAAUCUUGGAAUUAGGAUACACAACUAAAUGUGUAAGACUGAGUUAAUCAACUAUCACUUAAGUACAGUCUUUUCUAAUUAAUCAUUGGGGGAGAUUUAUACAAUUUUAAUCAUUCCCAAGGCUAACCUGUUUCUUUCAAAAUAUUCUCUACUCAAGGCCUUAGUAAAUAUGUCAGCAAUUUGUUCCUCAGUUGAACAAAACAUAAUUGAUAUAUGACCUUUUUCAACAUUAUCUCUAAGAAAGUGAUGUCUAAUAUCAAUAUGUUUGGUUCUUUUAUGUUGAACAGGAUUUUUAGCUAUGUUAAUGGCACUUGUAUUAUCACAAAAAAUGGGAACACAACCAACAUCUAUACCAAAAUCCAUAAGUUGUUGUUUAAUCCAUAACAACUGAGCACAGCAAGACCCAGCAGCUAUAUUCAGCCUCAGCAGUGGACCAAGCAACUGAAUUUAUCUUCUUUGUGGACCAGGUGAUUAAACAUGAUCCCAAGAAGUGUGUCAUACCUGUAGUGCUUUUCCUGUCCACCAGAUAUCUUGCAUAAUCAGCAUCAGAGUAUCCUACCAAAUCAAAGUUACUACCUUUGGGAUACCAUAAUCUAAGAUCACUUGUUCCUUUAAAGUAUCUAAAGAUUCUUUUCACUGAUUUUAGAUGUGAUUCCUUAGGCUUAGCUUGAAACCUGGAACAUAGCCCUACACUAAACACAAUAUCAGGUCUACUUGUAGUGAGGUAUAGGAGUAAUUCUAUCAUACCUCUAUACAUCUUUUGCUCUAUAUCUGAACCUGUUUCAUCCAUGUCCAGCUUUUUGGUAGUGGCAAUAGGAGUACUGAUCUCCUUUGCUUCUUUCAUGGAAAAUCUUUUGAGAAGCUCUUUGACAUACUUCUGUUGGUGGAUCAUUAUCCCUGAUGCUGAUUGUCUUAUUUGUAAACCCAAAAAGUAAUUUAGUUCUCUCAUCAUGCUCAUCUCAAAUUCACUACUUAUGAGUUUUGAAAAUUCAUGAGUCAUAUUCAUAUUAGUUGAUCCAAAUAUAAUAUCAUCCACAUAUACUUGCACAACUAACAAAUCCUGUCCAUUAGUUUUUAAGAACAGGGUAUUAUUAAUUUUACCUCUGGAAUGACCAUUCUCCAAUAGAAACUUUGACAACCUCUCAUAGCAAGCUCUAGGUGUUUGUUUCAGCCCAUACAAAGCUUUAUCCGGUUUAUACACAUGAUCAGGAAACUCUUUGCUUUCGAAUCCUGGAGGUUGCUUGACAUAAACCUCCUCUUUGAGAAACCCCAUUCAGAAAUACACUCUUCACAUACAUCUGAUAAAGUAUAAACUCCUUGUAGGCAGCAAAUGCAAGAAGUAAUCGUGUAGCUUCCAAUCUUGCUACAGGAGCGAAAGUCUCAUCAAAGUCGAUUCCUUCAUCUUGGUUAUAUCUGUGGACCACCAACCUUACCUUAUUUCUUGUUACUGUUCCAUGCUCAGCAACUUUGUUCCUGUACACUCACUUAGUUUCAAUUACUGAUCUAUCUUUUGGAAGUGGAACCAAGUGUCAUACUUUGUUUCUUUCAAACUGGUUCAGUUCUUCUUGCAUAGCUAUGAUCCAAUCAAUAUCAAGCAAUGCUUCAGUUACCUUCUUUGGUUUUAUUUCUGCUAGGAAUGCCUUGAAAGCACACAUACUUCUCAGUACAGAUCUUGUAGUAAUCCCAAAGGUGAGUUCAGUGAGAAUAUUUUCUAUGGGAUGUGAUCCUUGAUAUUUGUACCCUUUUGGAAUCAAGCCUAGUGAUCCACUAGGAUUACUGACAGCAUUUUGAUCUGGGGUAGCUGGUGGCACAGUUCCCCCUGUCACUGUGCCUUCAGCUUCAAUUCCUCCUGUUGAAGUGCUCCAAAUUUGGUAGCUUCAUUCAAUGAACAGAGUUGUGCAACCUGUUUCUCAGCAUCAUUUUCUUCCUGCAGGUUAGUCUUGACACAGGAUUCAUCAAAGAUCACAUGCAUGUUUCUUCAACAUAGUUUGUUCUGUUGUUUAAAAUCCUAUAUGCUUUACUAUUGAGUGAAUAUUCUAAGAAGAUUCCCUCAUCACUUUUAGCAUAAAAUUUUUCCAAAUUAUCCUUUCCAUUAUUAUGAAUAAAACAUUUACAUCCAAAGAUUCUAAAGUGAGAGAUGUUAGGCUUUCUUCCUUUUAGUAAUUCAUAGGGAGUCUUCUCUAACAAAGGUCUGAUCAUGCAUCUAUUUAUGAUAUAUGUUGCAGUACUUAUUGCCUCAGCCCAAAGGUUUUUAGCAACAUUUGUUGCAAUCAUCAUUGUUCUAGCCAUAUCUUUCAAAGUUCUAUUUUUCCCUUCCACCACUCCAUUUUGUUGUGGUGUUCUAGGAGAUGAGAAGUUGUGAUCUAUACCAUUUGUUGAACAGUAUUUCAAAUUCUGAACCAUGGUCAGACCUUAUGGAAACUAAAGAAGUACCUAAUUUCUUUUCAAUCUUUUUAAUGAAGAUUUCAAAGACAUCAAAGGCAUCUUCUUUAGAGGCUAGAAACAAAGUCCAAGUAAACCUGGAAUAGUCAUCAACAAUUACAAACACAUACCUUUUUCCACAUCUGCUUUGAAGUCUCAUGGGUCCACAUAAGUCUGCAUGAACCAAGUCAAGGCACUUGGUUAUGCUAACAUGGUUCUUGGACUUAAAAGAGGAUCUUACCUGCUUCCCUCUUACACAUGCAUUGCAUAGCUUUUCUUCCUUGAACUUGGUCUUGGGUAAUCCCAAUACCAUGUCUUUGGAUGAAAGUAUGUUUAGUUAAUUCAGACCUGCAUGACCAAGUCUUCUGUGCCAAAGAAGGGGAUCAUUUUUUAUAGCACUAAGAUAAGUCAGUUUAAGUCCUGGUAGUGCCAUGAUGUCAGCUUUGUAUACAUUUUUAUAUCUCCUUGCAGUGAGCACAACCUCUUUAGUAUCCAUCUUUUUACCUUGACUCCUGCAGCUGUAAAAACAACUUUAUUACCUUUAUCACACAGCUGUGAGAUGCUCAGCAGAUUAUGCUUCAAUCCUUCUACAAGAUAGACAUCCUCCAAUGCUUUUGACUCUAAUGAGCCAAUCUUUCCAAUUUAAGUUAUAAUUCUCUUUUUUCCAUCACCAAAAGAAAACUCCUACUCCAUUUAUUUUGGAGAGUAAAAGGAACUUUUUCUUAUCCCCAUUCAUGUGUCUUGAGCAAGCACUGUCUAAAUACCAGUGUCUUGUUUUUUUUCACUUUCUCCUGUAAAAUGAAUUCAAAGGUUAGCCUUAGGAACCCAGACAAGCUUGGAUCCUUUUUUUAUGAGUGAAAGGAUGAAUUAAAAUUCUCUUAGUCCAUGCAGGCAACACGUAGUGCAACUUGUUUCUCUGACCAGAAUUGGUUUUGUUCCUUUUGGUCUGAGAAGAUUUGUUAGCUAGAUUUUGACUGUUUAAUCUGCUUUUUGCCACUACUAGACAUUCAGUGGUGGGAUGUCCAAGGUUUCCAAAAAUGUAACACAAAUCUUUUGGAUCAUCAAAACUUUUGUGGAAUCCCAAACCUGUCUUCUCAUUGAAAUUUUUCUCACUUAAUUUGUGAAUAAUUCAAGAGGAGUUUGUCCACCUGUUUGCCCUUUCAAGAUCCAAUUUUAGUUUAGUGAUAUCCUGACUCAACUUAUUCAUUUUUUCAGUUAAAUCAUGGCAUUCUUGUUUGUAUUUAACAAGCUCAAGCCCAGCAUCUUCUUGUUCUUUACUCAUGGCCUUCUUUUUAUUUUCAGUGAGAGUUAAUUUGAGAACUUCAGACCUAAGAUUGUUAUUUGAAAUCUCAAGUUCUGCAACCUGUUUCUUGAGACUAUAAUUUUCCUUGUCAAUUGUAUCUGAGCAAGCCUUUAAAUCGAUGAGAUCAAAUUUAAGACUUGCUAGACUGUUGAACAAUUCAUCCCUAUCCGAGGUUAACUUUUGGAAAUCAUCAAUCAAUCCACUCAUUAAGGAAACAAGUUUUGGCUUUGAGAAUAAUUUCAGCUUUUCUUUGAUUUUAAGUAUACUUACCUCAGAAUCCUCAUCUUCUUCAUCCAGAUCUGCAUCCCCAAGGGCCAUGAAUGCAGUUUCAUCAACUUCAUCUUCAUCUAAAUCAGAUCCCCAGGCCGUUAUCAUUGCAUGCUCCUCCUUUCUUUUUGCCUUCAGCUCUUUUUCAGCCCUUUCCUUCUUCCACUCCAUUUCCCAGACUGGACAGUCCCUAAUAUGAUGAUCAGUUUUGCUAUAUUUGUAGCACCCAUUUGGAUCAUCAUUGGAAUGUUUCUUAGUACCUGUUCCCUUCUUUUUUUUGAAGAAUUUGCUGAAGUUCUUAGUUAUGAAGGCAACUUGCUCAUUAUCAAGUUUAAAUUCGUCAUCACUAUUCGAAGAUUUUAAUGCUAAGAUUUUCUCAGGAGCUGCUCGUUCUUUGACCUCAUCAACUUCCAUUUCAUAAGUCCUUAGGUUCCCUACUAGUUUAUCCAGAGUCAUACCUUCAAGAUCCUUAUUAGCUUCCCUGAUUGCAGUCACCUUGACAUUCCAUUUUGAUUUGGGUAAUACCCUCAGCACCUUUUCAACUUGUUCUUCUUCAGAGAUGACUUUUCUUAAGAAAGUCAGCUCAUUUGUUAAAGUGGUAAGCCUUGUCAUCAUUUUAUGCAAGGUUUCAUUUUCCUUCAUUUGAAUGCCUCAUAUUCGGUGAAAAGAAAACAGAACCUGAAUUUUCUUACCUGAGACGUGCCUUCAUGAGUAUUUACCAGUGCAUCCCAAAUUUUCUUAGCAGUAGUGCAGGUGGAUACUCUGUUGUAUUCAGCAGAUCCUAGCCCACAAACCAAGAUGUUCUUAGCCUUUGCAUUUUUCUUCAAGGCUAACAAGUCAUCAGGAGUAAAUUCACUUCUUACCUUUUUGACUUGUUCACAUCAACCGACUUCAUUGGAAUAGUGGGACCAUCAGUAAUCCUAUCCCAUAAUUCAUAAUCUUCCCCUUGAAUGAACAUCUCCAUCCUUGCUUUCCACCAGAUAAAAUGAGAGCCAUCAAAAAGUGGAGGUCUAGUAGUUGACUGACCUUCACUGUGACCAAUAGGAGGUGCGGAAUUCAUCAUAUUGAUUUUUUUAGGUACUAGCCUUAUUUAAGACAACCUCGCCCUGAUACCACUUGUUAGAGUACAAGCCCUACUAAUUGCCUACCUGUGGAACAAGUAAGUAAACGUGGUUCACAGAAGUAAAUACUGAACACAAUAUUUUUACGUAGAAAACACCCGGCUCAAGAAAAGUGUAAAAAAACCAUGACCUGUACCUCUACAGGAUUUAACCCAACUUCACUAUAAUACUUGAGCUUCAACAAUCAACAGAAUUACAAGACUUCUUGUAAACUAGAAAUUAAAACUUCUAACUCCUAUUACUACAAAAACACAAAUCUUCCCAAGAUAAGUGUUCCCAAGUCUUCAAGUUUCCAAACUUGAAGACACAAUUCCUAACUCAGUUUAUAGAUCACUGAGACUAAAACAAUGACUCAUUACAACUCAAAGAAUCUACUCACUACACAAAUUCUACAACUUGCCAAUUAAGAGAUCAGUUUCUUUCUUCAAGUAUGAGAACUGAUAUGUUGAUUGUUGAUAUGCUUUUCAGUGCUUGAGUGAGUGCUUUUGAAUUCAUUUCUUGUAUUUAAGCACCCACCUCAUGGAGUCCUUCAAUUGAUAUCAACUUUUAUAUUCAAUAGGACUCCAGAUAGUUUCCUGCUACUCUUUGUCGCCCCUCUCUUCUUCUUUUAAUUGGAUUCCUCUUUUCUCUUUCUUCAAGACUUCUUGUUCAACUCAACUUCUGUACUUCUUGUUUUUCAACUCAACUUCUGCAAGUCUUCUUUUUCAACUCAACUUCUAAUGUGAUAAAUGUUAUCCACUUCUAUUUGUAAGCCAGAUCAUCAUAUAAAUAACUUACCUGCAGGUGACCUUGGUUCAGUUAGAUGGAACAGCUUUUACCACAUGUUUCAUUCUCAUGUCUAUCAUCAAAACUCCACAUGCUCUAAUAAUUUCCCCCUUUUUGAUGAUGUCAAACAUAGCAGUAUAAUACCACAAACCUAACAUACUCACCAAGAAGUUAAGUAAAGGAAACAGAAUGAAACACAGAUUAGUCAGUUGAGUUAUAAGCACUGUAUAAUCUGUUCUUCCCCCUUUUGACAUCAUCGAAAAACUGGACCAAUGAGUGAAACAAGUCUUAUAAUUCAUGGCCACUAGGGCUAUCACUAAAACAUGAAGACAUUAGAGUAAAAAAAAACAAGCAAUGUAUCAAUAACACGGAAGUGAGCCACAUAAAACAAAAAAAGACCAUGUCAUUGAUAGAACAGAAUACAAUAAUUACAGCCCAUGAUAAAUAAUAAGAGAGAACCAGCUUAACCAAAAAGUAGGAAUGAAAGAUGCCUAAGGACACUAGGAGGGCUUAAGUGGAUGAAGGAGAAGGAAUAAGGGAGGUCAGCUUCUUAAUGAUAUUUGCAUUUUCAGUUCUUUGCUUUUCCAAAAGGGCUGUGAGGGACGCAAUUUGAGCUUGAAGGACCUAUUUCUCCUCCUCAUGAGUAGCCUGAGCAACUUUCAAUGCAGCUUGUACCACAUCCACCUCACUUUGCUUGGCAACAAGAGCAUUUCUCAACCUUUGCAAAGGAAUAUCAGCACUCCUCAUAGCAGCAGGCAACAUAGCAUGGUUCACAGACCCAAUGACAUCCUUUGUGGUCUGCAAUGACCAUACUUUGACAGGAAUAUGAAAGUCCUCAAAAACAGGGGCAAGCCAGAACUCAUAUGGUAAAGCAUAGCCAUUUGCAUCUUGAAUUAAAACCCUUUGCAUGUGCUUAAUGAUUAGUGUAGGAAGAUCAAUUGGAAUCUGAGAGUCUAGCAAUCUCAGAACAAUUAUCCCAUUUCAUCUUCAAAUUAAAGUACAAGUACAUAUUCUAUAAUGUUGUUGCACCUCUCUAUUCUUGUAGUUCUCUUGCUAUGCCCGGCAGCUUGGACUGAAAAUUUCUACCAAGACGCCAUGGUCACGUUUGGUGAUCAGCGAGCUCAUAUACAAGAUGGCGGGUGCGUACUCGCCUUGUCUCUUGACAAAAUAUCGGGUUCAGGAUUCCAGUCCAAGAAUGAAUAUUUAUUCGGAAGGUUCGACAUACAGCUCAAACUAGUACCCGGAAAUUCUGCUGGAACUGUCACCACUUUCUACGUAAGUAACAUGUCUUUCCUCUUCUUAUCUAUUACUCUAGUAAUUGACCGCGGAGACAGGCUGCAAGGUAACUCUGCGUGAAAUAGACCCUGUGGUCCGGCCUUUUCCCCGACCCCACUUAUAAUGGGAGCUAUAGUACGCUAUGUUUUCCUUUUAACUAGUACUGCGGUAGUUAAUAAAACAUGUCCAACUGAUAAAGUAUUUUUUCCUUGUAUUUACAGUUGUCUUCUCAAAGAGCAAGACACGAUGAAAUCGACUUUGAGUUUCUUGGAAAUUCAUCAGGACAACGUUACACGGUUCACACCAACGUUUACUCUCAGGAUAAAGGCAACAAAGGACAACAAUUUCGUCUAUGGUUCGAUCCCACCUCGUCGUUCCACACCUACUCUAUUGUCUGGAACUCUCAAAGAAUCAUGUACGUUACAAUCUAAGCUUCCUUCAAUCUAAAAAGAAAAAGUUAGCACCUCGUGUUGGAUCCUUCAAUCAAAAUGCAUAUUGCAUUUUUGGAGAAUCCAACACGAGCGUGGCAGCACUUAUGGAGAUUUGAGCAAAAUUGCUUCUUAAUAUGCAUGUUUAACGUAAUUGACAUUUGUCUAAUCGUCCAGAUUUUUGGUGGAUAACAUACCAAUAAGAGUGUACAACAACUACGAAGCAAUUGGUGUUCCGUUCCCAAAGAAUCAAGCAAUGAGAGUUUACGCGAGUCUAUGGGCAACCCAAGGAGGGGGGGUGAAGAUGGAUUGGUCAAUGGCGUUUACAGCUUCUUACAGGAAUUUCAAUACAAAUUCUUGUGUCUGGUCAGCUGCAUCAUCUACUUCAUCUUGUGGAGGCUCUAAGACUGACUCAGUGAACAAUGCUCAAACAUGGCAAACUCAAGAACUGAAUGCUAAUGAAAGAAAUAGGCUUCGAUGUGUUCAGCAGAAAUACAUGAUCUACAAUUACUGCGCCGAUUCUAAAAGGUUCUCUCAAGGUUUUUCUCCUGAAUGCAAGCGUUCAAGGUUCUAAGGAUUGAGCUUACAAAUGUUGUCUAUAUAAUUCUCUUGUUUUUCAUUUCUAUUCUUUAUUUUUGUUCUGGGAUACUAGGAGAAAAAGAACAUAGUGUAAUAUUUUGUGUAAGCAAUGUAUUCUUUAUUCUUUUUGUAAUCUUGAAAUAGAAUGAAUUGUUUUUUUCUUGUCAAGCCUGCCCAUCUUUGUGAACCAUCAUUGUCUUUUAGUAAUCUCUUAGAACACAUACAAAGGUAACUGAAGGAAGGGACUAUUAUAUUAUGGGCUAGCAGCUGAAGGAUAUUUUUAUUUGAGUUGUACUCAACAGAGCAACGCAUCAAAGCAAUAAUGGUCUUUUGUGAUGUUGUCAAAAAGAUGAAAUUAUUCAUUCGUAUGGGUGAACUUGAACGUCAGACAAUGAUGUUUAUGAUUAUCAAUGAUAAACUUUAGAGUUUGGUAGACGUGUGUAUAAGUGAUGGCUCUAUUUUGAUAGUUUUUGCUUAACUAAAAACCUUCGAAGGUUAAUUGUUGUGUUAUUUUUUUGAUACCUCGGAGUACAUCCUAUCUUGUCUAUGAAUAUGCUUGGUGUAUGGGCACAAUGAUCAUAGUUCUUGUAUAACUAGUAUCUACGAAAAAUCUUGAAUGUGGUGGCACUUGUGAUAAACUCAAAUGAUGUAUGUAAAUGUAAUUAUUAAGUUUGCAUAGUAUAUAUUUUGUUAAUUGGUGUAUUUGCUUAAGUUUAAGGACUAGUUGAAAGGUCCCAUUUCAAUAUUAUGCUAGAAGUUCAUUAUCGGGGACAAUAGAAGAUCAGGUGAGCAAAAUUUCUACUUGCAUAGAAUCACACAGAAUAAUUUGGUGAAUGAAAAUGAGAGAUGCUAUUAUAAUAAGCUGCAUCCGAUUCUAUCCACUAAUUUCGACUCUUCUAUACCAUCCUAUGUCACCAGAUGCUACAACAAAUUUGAACUCUCCGGUGAGACGCUUCCUCUUGGUCAGGUAGUCGAUAAUUUUUCAGUUGGUAGUGUUGUGGAUGCUUGGGUUGAUACAAGGCAACUAAGUGAUUUCUUAUCUUAUGCGUCCGAGACUCUUCACAGGUUUUACAACAACUUAGGAAUGUAUCCUUAUAUAUGGAAUCAAUUCUCUCAACAACUAUUUGAUAAUAUGUUCCAAACAUGUGACUGCUCCAAGGUGUUUGCAGAAAAUUCCCAGGGAGAUGCAAUUGAUGUACGAUGUCAAUUUGACUUGGUGAGGUCAACACCAGCGAAUUCAAUAAUUGCUUCUUAUUUUAUUCCAUCAAUGAUCGAAGGUAUCACCCUUAUGUUAGAUAGCAGUCCUCAGUGGUGUCUCUCAUUUAAUGUGUUUCAUUCAAUACCAACAAUGAAGUUUGAAAAGAAUUAUGUUGAGGUUAUUGCUGACAAGUCUCUUGUUUUCAUAUUAGAGUUUGAAGAGGCUGUUAUUCUGACUUCCUCUAUAUUUAGAGCUUAUGACCGUUCAGCUUUACCAUAUCAUUAUUGUAACUCCCCGAAAUUUCAUCCUGAGACGUCAUACGGUGCUUAAGGAUGCAAGUAGCCCUAAGCUAACUCUUUGAGCCUGAUACAACUCCCAACAUUUACUUUAGGACAAUUAUAGCAAAACGAGCAUACUGUCAUAUCAUAUUUCAACUGAAAUAACAAACGAAUACUGUCCGAAUAGCAACAUAAUGAAAAGUCUCAAACAUCACUGAUAGUCUAGUCUGACAAAUCCUUUACUACCCAAACUAGAGAGCCAUUGGGAUAGACCCCCAAUUGACUCGAACUGAUCUAAAAGUAAUGCUCAAAACACUAUGAAAGCGGAAAAGCUGCAGAUAUAGGUCCUCGAACUAUGUGGACUCACCAAAAUAAAGAUGCAGAUGAGAUUCUCGAAGAUCACUGUCACUGCUGAGACUGAGCACCUGAACCUACAUUACGAGACAAUGUAGCACACAGACGUAUAUGUGGAUCAGUACUUUAAGGAUGUACUGAGUAUAUGGGGUGUAUGCAAUGAUUAAAACAACAAUAUCAUCAAUCUUUAUAGAAAUCGUGCAUGCUGAUACAACUGACUCACAUAGCUUGAAUAACUCAAAAAAAGUAAAUCUCAUCCAUUAUGAAUAAUGGGAUGCAUAGUAUAAAUCUCGUGAGUCAAUAUACUUAUUUCUGAAAUCUAUAGUUCUAUUCCCUUCUCAAAACAUAUAUUUGAUUAAAUUGCGAGCCUUUACACUUAUUUUCUUAACCCUUGGGGAAAUAUACUUUUAAAAGUUUGUCUUAAUUAAUAGAGAAAAUAACUCAUCUUGAGGGAAAAUACUUUAGGAACUGAUUAUUUACUUUCACUAGCAGGGAGGUUCUCUCAACCGACAUACACCAUGCGAGCUACAUGGAGUCCAACGUCUUGUCCUCCUAAGGAAGAAACUUCACGUUGGGGAGAGGCGUCAUACUCUUGCCAGGGAGUAUAACCUCAACUCAGUGAUCACUAUCUCGGCCUCGGGCCUAUAAAUCUCAAUCCUAUGAUGGCACGUAGUUCUAGAGUAUGAAAUCGUAGUAACUUACCCAACUCGAUGCUAAAUAUUACUCCCUUUAAUUAGCUACACUCAUCUCAUGGAAAUCCUCAUUAAAACUCGUAUAAGGGUUUACUGGAAACCAGUUAUGCAUUUAACAUUAUGAGAAUAACUCUGGGAUGUGGAUUUCAAAAAUCAUGUAAGGAUCAAAAGAUCACAUACUGUUUAUACUAUUUAAUAUCAAUGUAUCAACUCAUAUAAAUGCAUGGCAAAUCACCAUGCUUUGUAAGUUUUUCUCAAAAUUCUACCAUAAUACCAAAAUGAUAGCUUCAAAUCACAAUCUCAUACUUAAUUCAAUGGAAAACUGUAGUCAAUGGCUCAAAUCAUGCUCAUGAUAUUCAAAAUCAUAAAAGAACAUUCUUUAACUCAAAGAAACCAUGAAAUUUCAUAAAUCAAUCACAUCAUACUCAAAAUUUCUCAACAAAAUACUAUGGGUAUAAAAUUCAAUAUUUAAAAUCAUAAGUAAUCCGUAAAACAUAGCUUUUGGGCAUAAGGGCGAAAGGAUUGCUCUUGUUCAAACUCCACAUACCUUAGAUUAAUAAACUUGGAUGAACAACUUACUUUUGAGAUAUUAUUGGUACUCUUGAAUGCGGGUUCUUGCAUCUUUUGACUUGGGAGUCUUGAAUCUUGACUCAAUUUAGAAAAUCUGUGGUGAACCCUUGAGAUUCUUGGAAGAGGAUUUGGAUGCUUAGGGUUUUUGGUUGAGGGAAAUCUUGAGAAAAUCUCAUAUGAUGCUUGUAGUGACCUCAAUUCUGAUGUUUGUACGGUUUAAGAGGCUUGAAAAAAAUCCAAAGUGUCCUUUUUAACUUCUGUACGAAGCUGGAAAAAUUGAACUGGAAACCCGACUUUAUGGGCCACCGCGAUGCCCCACUAUCGCGGUGGAUCACUGAAAAUUGACAAAUGGGAAUCUGGGAGUCACCGCGACGCGGAGCCAUCGCGCUGUCCCACUGGUUGGGACCUGGACCUUCAGCGCGACGCGUCACAAUUGCGCUAGGCCACUGGAAAUUGACUAUUGGGAAAUUGGGUUUCUCCACGACACGCCACUAUCGCAGAGUUCCACUGGAAUUUGACAAUUGUUAAAUAGACCCUCUCCGCGACGUGCCAAACACUAAAAUGAUGGUGUUUUACGACUAGAACUUAAAUUAGCCAUAACUUCUUGCCCGACUAUCGGAUUUGGGCGGAUCUUAUAUCGUUAGAAAGCUAAUUAAAAUUUCCACAUGAUAAAAAGUCGAAAUUAGAGAAACUCUAUAUGGUUUAAACGUUACUCACUUAGAAAGUCAUUCCUUAACCUUCUAGAGACGAAAUUAGGCUUAGGGAAAAGUUUGGGGUAUUACAAUUAUAUUCCAAAGUCUAAAGCCAUGACUCUUAUUUCACACUUACCAGAUGCGCAGGACAAUGCCUUCACGACACUUCUUGUUGUAGAGUAUGCUAUGGUAAAUGUUGAACUUGAUAGGAAUUUGGUAUUGACUAUUGAGUGUCUCAAACAAGACAAUCCAGUUGAAUCCAAUUGCACAAGUUCCUUUAUUGGACACUCUUGAUAGCUAUGUAGGUGAGAACAAGGUUAUUGCCUGCUAUGCCUAAGUUGCGUGGACUCUUCAAUUUUUAUGCAGUACUCAUAUCGGAUUCUCCUAAAAUACAUUAUUUUUGAAGAAUCCGACAUGCAUUCGUUGACAAUUUUUUAAGAGUCCGAGCAACAUAGUGUUAUGCUACCCUAUGGCUCCACCAGUCCAUUCCAACUCUUUUUCAGAUUUAGAGCCCCAACACUCCGGCAUAUUUGGCAGAGAAAGUUGGUCAUUACAUGCACAGUAAUUGUUCCAAUAAUUUUAGGAAUCUAAGUGAUCUGAAUUUGGAUAAUUUAUGAGAUACUGCUCCGAAUCAGAUGUGGCCUAUUUUGGACGAUCCAGUUUCGAGAGUUCAACUUACACCUAGCACUGGGAAUGUUGGCUUAUAUUUUUUUAGAAGAAUUACAGUUUCCAACUCAUCUUGUAGUUCAAGUUCAAGGAUCACAUUUUUCCAAGAUGGAAUCUAUCAAGAGGAUCUGGUAACCAGCAAAUCUGUCUAUCAAGAGGAUUUGGAUAAUUUAUUAUGAUCACUACUUUUUAGAGUCUCCAAUAUUGUCUUUUUUUCAUCAUCAUACAUUUUUGAAAAUCAUAAAUGUUGCAAAAUUACACAAGAAAGUGACUAUAUGUUGUUUCGAUCCGCAAGCUUCUGUACUGGUGUUGGCUCAAUCUUUUGGCCUUUCCAAUCAAACACAUUGAAAAAUGCCACAGCUUGUCCUCUAUUGAAAUGUAUCUUUGGUUCAUAUAUUUUCACUGAAGGAUGAUGAAUAUCUUCAGAAUUAGGAUGUUGAAGGCGCGUUAGCGCGUUUAUCAGCCAGUUUAUAGGAGCCAGUCUGCUACUUGUUAGUAUUAGGCCUAGUUUUACCAAACACUUGAUAAAAAAUAAUCUCUGAAUUAGUAAUCCAUGUAUUACUAAUUCAUGUGUUACUAAUCUCUGUAUAACUUGGUUUCCUACCAAACGACCCUUUAGUGGAUCUGGUGUGUCCUCCAUGUCAAGGCAAGUGAGCAACAUGCGACGUCGAGAAUGUAAAAUUUUUACAAGAAUCUUACUCAUAAAUUAUAAAUCGCAAGGGUGGAUCCAGCCCUCCCAACAACACGAUAAAAUAAAGAAGAAAAAGCCAGAAACCAUUAGUGUGUAAGGUGCAAUAGUAUAUUAAAGUACUAUUAUAAUGUCAAUCUUUCCAUUUGGGUAAUUGGUGAAUAAAGUAUAUGUCACUGCCACCCAACCCCAACGGAUCUGAUGUGUGUCCCCACACCCCAUAUCUCCAAACAAACGAACGCGUUAACAUUUCAGACAUCAUUUUCAAUCCUUUCAAUUCACAGCUAUUUUACAGAAUGCCCCCUUCUUCCAUCCUUCCUCCUCCCUCUACCAAACUCUACUAUAUAUAUCACAAUCGCAACACACAUUCACAGAACAAUUAUCCCAUUUCACCUUCAAAUUAAAGUACAAGUACAUAUUCUAUAAUGUUGCUGCACCUCUCUAUUCUUGCACUUCUCUUGUUAUGUCCUGUGUGGGCUGAGAAUUUCUACCAAGACGCCACGGUCACGUUUGGUGACCAGCGAGCUCAGAUACAAGAUGGCGGGCGCGUAUUCGCCUUGUCCCUUGACAAAAUAUCGGGUUCAGGAUUCCAGUCCAAGAAUGAAUAUUUAUUCGGAAGGUUCGACAUGCAGCUCAAACUAGUACCCGGAAAUUCUGCUGGAACUGUCACCACUUUCUACGUAAGUAACAUGUCUUUUCUCUUCUUAUCUAUUACUCUAGUAAUUGACCGCAGAGACAGGCUGCAAGGUAACGCUGUGUGAAAUAGACCCCUGUGGUCCGACCUUUUCACGGACCCCACACAUAGUAGGAGCUGUGGUACACCGUCUUGUCCUUUUAACUAGCACUGCGGUAGUUAAUAAAACAUGUCCAACUGAUAAAUUAUUUCUUUCUGCUAUUUACAGUUGUCUUCUCAAGGAGCAGGACACGAUGAAAUCGACUUCGAGUUUCUUGGAAAUUCAUCAGGACAACCUUACACGGUUCACACCAACGUUUACUCUCAGGGUAAAGGCAACAAAGAACAACAAUUUCGUCUAUGGUUCGAUCCCACCUCGUCGUUCCACACCUACUCUAUUGUCUGGAACUCUCAAAGAAUCAUGUACGUUACAAUCUAAGCUUCCUUCAAUCUAAAAAGAAAAAGUUAGCACCUCGUGUUGGAUCCUUCAAUCAAAAUGCAUAUUGCAUUUUUGGAGAAUCCAACAUGAGCGUGGCAGCACUUAUGGAGAUUUGAGCAAAAUUGCUUCUUAAUAUGCAUGUUUAACGUAAUUGACAUUUGUCUAAUCGUCCAGA